This 154736-nucleotide long non-coding RNA is filed under the name Homo sapiens (human). Its description in RNAcentral is "long non-coding RNA NONHSAT174865.1". The record is from RNAcentral. Lineage: Eukaryota; Metazoa; Chordata; Mammalia; Primates; Hominidae.
AGGACAGAACUUGUUGGGACUUAACUACCCUUCACCUUGACGCCAGCCUCUCAUUUCUGGGCAAUGUUAUAUUGACUGGACUCCUACGCCACCCUUUCUCCUCCUUACAGAGAGAGAGAGUGAAGCCUGUUAAGACACUGUGGGAGUCCCUUGGGUUUGCUCACCUUGUUCUCUGUGGCAUGCUUCUCCUUUUCAACUUUCGUCAAGGUCAGCUCCAGGUCAUCAAUGUCUCUCUUGAGAGAGGAGCAUUUAUCUUCCAGAUUCCUCUUCUUGGCAACCAAUUCAGAAUUCAUCUCCUCUUCCUCUUCCAAUCUCUCCGUCAGCUCCUUGACUUUUGCUUCCAGUAGGAUCUUGCUUUUGAUGAGUCCUUCACACCGUUCCUCAGCGUCCAUCAGAUUUUCUGUUUCCUGAAAGAACCAGGUCAUUUUAUGUUUUGAUUGGCCUCUUUGAAAAUGCUACAAAGAAAGGGUAUCACCCUCUAAAAGCUUAUUAUCUACACCUAAGCCAAGAAAUGGGUCAUGCACACACAUGCACGCACAUGUGCACACACUGCACACACACGUGUACAUAAACUUAGAUAUCACCCAUAAACACAUUUUUUCUUUUUAGAUGGAGUUUCUCUCUGUGGCCCAGGCUGGAGUGUAGCGGCAUGAUCUUUGCUCACUGCAACCUCUGCCUCCCAGGUUCUAGCGAUUCCCUGCCUCAGCCUCCCGAGUUGCUGGGAUUACAGGCAUGUGCUACCAUGCCUGGCUAAUCUUUGUAUUUUUUUGUAGAGAUGGGAUUUCACCAUGUUGGCCAGGCUGGUCUCCAAACGCCUGACCUCAGGUGAUCCUUCCGCCUCGGCCUCCCAAAGUGCUGGGAUUACAGGCAUGAGUCACUGCACCUGGUCCAUAUACAUGUUUUUUUUUUUUUUUUUUUUUUUUAACUAGCAAGAACAUUGCUUAUAGAAAUUUGCAUAUAAUAAUUUGUUCAUUUAUUUCUUUAGAGACAAGGGCUUGCUCUGUUGCCCAAGCUAAAGUGCAGUGGUGUGAGUGUAGCCCACUGCAUCCUCACACUCCUGUGCUCAAGUGAUCCUCCCACCUCAGCCUCCCAAGUAGCUGGAACUACAAGGUAUGUGCCACCAUGACUGGCUUCUUUUUUGGUGUGUGUACAGAUGGGGCCUCCAUGUGUUUCCCAGCUUGUCUCAAACUUUGAGCCUCAAGUGAUCCUCCUGCCUCAGCCUCCCAAAGUGCUGGGACUACAAGUGUGAGCCACCAUGCCUGGCCUCACUUAUAAUAAUUUCAAACAGAGGAGUUUGUGAAAUUACAAGUUCAUUUUAAAGAAUGAAGCCUCUAGAAAUUUGCCACAUUUGAACAGCUGGUUAUCUCACUCUUCCUGCUACCACCAGUUGGAAAAUGACUCAUCUACUCUAUGUUAUCUCAAGCUGACAAAAUAGUUUCAAAACAUUACUAUCUUUUAACUUUCAUUAAAUUUAUUUUUAAAUAUAUGGAUUUAUUUAUUUUCUAGAGAUAAGGUAUCACUAUGUUGCCCAGGCUGGUCUCGAGCUUCUGAGCUCAAGUGAUCCUCCUGCCUUGGCUUCUAAAAGUGUUGGGAUUAUAGGCAUGAGCCACCAGGCCUGGUCCUUUCAACAGAAAAGUUCUACCUAUGUCUCCUUAGCUGUGUCUCCUCGAACCACAGAACAGAAAAUUAAAAACACCCAAGAAUUCGUGAUUGAAUACAUAUGUCCCAGAAGAUGCUGCAGUGAGUCUCUUGGACAGACCAAGAUCAGCUACUUCUGUUCUAAAUCGGGCUAUAUCUUCCCAUAUAAGAAUAUUUAUUUAUAUAUUUGUUUAUUUAUUGAGACGGAGUCUCACUCUGUUGCCAGGCUGGAGUGCAGUGGCGCGAUCUCGGCUCACUGCAACCUCUGCCUCCUGGGUUCAAGUGAUUCUCCUGCCUCAGCCUCCUGAGUAGCUGGGACUACAGGUGCCCACCACCAUGCCCAGCUAAUUUUUGUAUUUUUAGAAGAGAGGGGGUUUCACCAUGUUGGCCAGGAUGGUUUCGAUCUCUUGAUCUCAUGAUCCGCCCGCCUCGGCCUCCCAAAGUGCUGGGAUUACAGGCGUGAGCCACCACGCCCGGCCCAUAUAAGAGUAUUUUAAGACACACACUGCAGGGUAAUGCAUGGGAGGAGACUGGCAAGCCUGCAUGCUAAUGUUUGCUGAACAUCUAUAAACAUGAGCUGUGUGCCAGGCAUUUUACAGGCAUUAACCACUCUGAUUUUUCAAUAGCUGGAUGAGGUGAGUACUCUGACUAUGCCCAUUUUACAGACGAGAUAACAGAAGCACAAAGAGGAUAUGUAGCUCAUCCAAGGUCACACAGCUAUCAGGUGGAGCAUCUGGGAUAGAAACCCAGUUAUCUUGUUCCAAGAGCUGUUCUCUUGUCCGCUGUACCUGGGAAAGUGCUCCUAUUAACUCACUAUAGUGAUUGGGAAAGUGAAAAGGGGAGCGGAAAAUGCUCUGUAUAAAAACAAAAGGUAAAAGUAUUUGGGGAUUUAUUAAAAAGGGAAAAUUAUAAAUGCCUUCACUCUGUGAAAGAGACAAUUAUACUGCCCCAUUUCUUUUCUUUUUCUUUCUUUCUUUCUUUUUUCUUUUUUUUUGAGACGGAGUCUUGCUCUGUUGCCAGGCUGGAGUGCAGUGGCACGAUCUCGGCUCACUGCAACCUCCACCUCCUGGGUUCAAGUGAUUCUCCUGCCUCAGCCUCCUGAGUAGCUGGCACUACCAGCGUGUGCCACCACACCUGGCUAAUUUUUUUUUUUUUGUAUUUUUAGUAGAGACGGAGUUUCACCAUGUUAGCCAAGAUGGCCUUAAUCUCCUGACCUUGUGAUCUGCCCGCCUCGGUCUCCCACAGUGCUGGGAUUACAGGUGUGAGCCACCGCGUCCAGCCUAUACUGCCCCAUUUCUUUGAUAAAACUAUGUAUCUUUAAAGCACUUUUUUUUUUUGAGAUCGGGGUCUCACUGUGUUGCCCAGGCUGGAGUGCAGUGGCAUGUUCUCAGCUCACUGCAACCUCGACUACCUGGGCUCAGGUGAUUCUCCCACCUCAGCCUUCUGAGUAUCUUGGACUAGAGACAUGCACCACCAUGCCUACUAGUUUUUUUUUUUUUUUUUUUUUUUUUUUUUUUUUUUUUUGAGACGGAGUCUCGCUCUGUCGCCCAGGCUGGAGUGCAGUGGCGCGAUCUCAGCUCACUGCAAGCUCCGCCUCCCAGGUUCACGCCAUUCUCCUGCCUCAGCCUCCCAAGUAGCUGGGACUACAGGCGCCCGCCACUACGCCCGGCUAAUUUUUUGUAUUUUUAGUAGAGACGGGGUUUCACCGUUUUAGCCGGGAUGGUCUCGAUCUCCUGACCUCGUGAUCCUCCCGCCUCGGCCUCCCAAAGUGCUGGGAUUACAGGCGUGAGCCACCGCGCCCGGCCGCCUGCUAGUUUUUAAAAAUUUUUUUACAGAGAUGGGGUUUUGCCAUGAUACCCAGGCUGGUCUUGAACUCCUGGGCUCAAGCGAUCCUCCCACCUCAGCCUCCCAAAGUGUUGGGCUUACAGGCAUGAGCUACCACGCCCGGCCUAAAGCACUUUUUACAUAUUAUUGUAAAUAAUAUAUAGAAAAUUACUCUUGCUACUUUGAAUUGGGUUAUUUAAUUUUGAUUAUUUUUAUUUUUAUUGAUUUUUAAAAGCUGUGGUGCAUAUACAUAUGACACAUAUAUAUCCCUCAUGCCCACAGCAAAAUAUAUCUAACUCUGCGAUGACGGGGAGAAAUCAGGGAGAGCACAAAUUCUCUUUGCAGACAUAAUUUCCGGCAUUCACUGCUUUGCUAAGCCCGGGACCAGGCAUCCUUUUACGAGCAAGGUGGUGCUGCAAUACUCCACAUGACCACUGGGUGGCACCACUGUCUCUCGAAUAGACACCUGAUGGCGCCCUCAAUGUUCCUCCCCCUUUUCUGUCCUCCAGAGUCUGUGUUUUGCGUUCUCAAGUAGAAGGUACUUACAGACUGGACCUGCAAUUGGAGGUCAUUCUUCUCCUGCAGGAGGGAGACCAUUUUCUCCUCCAGCUCCUUCCGGCGAGCCUCAGAUCGGGCCAGUUCUUCCUUGGUCCUCUCAAAGUCUUCCUUCAUGGUGGCCAUCUCCUUCUCGGCCUCUGCACUCUUCAGCAGGGGCUUGAUUUUGAAGAACAGGUUCAUCCAGGGCCAGUGCUUGACGUUCAUAAAAGAGCGGAUGUUGUACUGGAUGCAGAAGAUGGAGUCCCUGUACACCCAUUAGGACUCAAAUUAAUAAAUCCAGCAAGGUCUGGUCUCUGCACCCCCAACCUGUCCCCGACGGACCCCAUCCUCCGUCUUUCUCGGUUAGGUGGGAAGGAGGUGCAGCCAAGCUUGGCAGAUCCUCUGGAUCCAGAGUAGGUCUGCAAAUGAGGGGCAGAGGAAACAGAGGUACGUGCACAGGUUGGAAGGUAGGAGAGGGCGUGGAGCUACCUGCGGGCUCCUGGUCACCUGGCUGCCCUUCCCACCACCCUACUGAGAGUGCCCUGCCUGAGGGCGUCCGUGACCUCCUAAUGCUCAAUGCAAGGAAUAGCUUUCAUUCCUAUUCUAUUGGGUCUUUCUCCCAUGUUUGAUGUAUUAAUCAGCUCUUAACUUUUGAAACUUUCUCUGCCUUAAAUUCCAUCCACAUUUUCCCUGUUUCACUGCAUUUUGCCAUAUGGGGUUCCUCUUCCUGCUGGAGAAACCCAGGACUUGUCCUUGGUCAUUUCCCAGUCUCUUGCCCUGGUAGAGUUGAUCUGUCUUCCCAAUUUCUUUCUUUUCUAUUCGUUUUUUUUUUUUUUUUUGAGAUGGAGUCUUGCUCUGUUGCCCAAGCUAGAGUGCAAUGGUGCAAUCUCGGCUCACUGCAACCUCCGCCUCCUAGGUUCAAGCAAUUCUUCUGGCUCAGCCUCCCAAGUAGCUGGGAUUACAGGUAUGCGCCACCACGCCUGGCUAAUUUUUGUAUUUUUAGUAAAGACUGGGUUUCACCAUGUUGGUCAGGCUGGUCUUGAACUCCUGACCUCAGGUGAUCUGCCCGCCUUGGCCUCCCAAAGUGCUAGGGUUACAAGCGUGAGCCACCACAACCAGCCUGUAUUCCUAAUUUCUGCUGCUGUUUUCAUCCCAGUGUCACCCACAUGAUCUCCUCCCCUUCACCCUCCACAGCUUUAUAUUUACAUAGCUUAUGGAUUCCUGAACACUGGCUUCUCUUUCCCUUCUUGAGAUUCUUUUCAUCUCCGUGCUGGCUUCCAUGUGCUUCACCAAGCUCGAUGCCUGGGAGUGAUUCCUGACGCAUACAUGGUGGCGGUUCAUUAUGGCUCUGACAGUUAGAGCCACACAGGGGAUCAGGGAACCAGGGAGAACAGGCUCCCUCCCACACUCCCCUCUCCCUCCAAUCCCUGCAGGUGACUAGUCAUCAAUGCUGCUAUUCCUUCUCUUGAAUUAUCAAAGGAAAAAGACUUAAACAUUCCUUUAAUCCAUGCCCUCCUCUCUCACCCAUCAACUAUGUCCUACUUCAGGUCCUUGUCAUCCCUUACUUGGACUUCUACCACACUGUGGCCUUGCCCCGUCAUAGCCUUUGUGUUCACUCUCCUAGCUGCCAGAGUGAUGCAAUCCUACCCCUUGUCUCUGCACACACCUUCUACAGCUCUCCAUCAAUGACAGGGUGCAGCCUGGGUUUCUGAAUGUGACACAUAGGGACCUCCACUACCUGCCUCUUGCUCUCUAUUCCAAUGACAGCCACCUGCUUGUCGGGCUUCCUCCCAGACCACCCACUCUCAGGUUGUGUAGAGCUUGCUUCAGAAAGUGCUUUCGUCAGCUGGGCGCAGUGGCUUACGCCUGUAAUCCCAGCAAUGUGGGAGGCCAAGGCGGGCGGAUCACCUGAGGUCAGGAGUUCAAGACCAGCCUGGCCAACAUGGUGAAACCCCAUCUCUAAAACAAAACAAAACAAACAAACAAAAAACAAAAUAGCCGGGCGUGGUGGUGCAUGCCUGUAAUCCCAGCUACUAGGGAGGCUGAGGCGGGAGAAUCGCUUGAACCUGGAAGCUGGAGAUUGCAGUGAGCCGAGAUUGUGCCACUGCACUCCAGCCUGGAUGACAGAGCAAGACUCUGUCUAAAAAAAAAAAAAAAGGAAAAAAGAAAGUGCUUUCUUCUUGCUGACACCUUCAUGCCAACUCCAACCCCCUAAUCAGGCUGGGGGCUUAUUCUUGCCAGUUCCCUAUCCCCCGACUAUAACUCGAACAUUGAGCUUGUCACAGGCAUUAAAACCAGCCAUACAUGCGUCUGCUUCCCACUCCUUUGUGACCCUGUGAGGGAGGGUUCAUUUCUGUCUCCCCAGCGCCAUGCAGAGCACCCAGCCCAGGAUUGCCGCUCAGUAGAUGUGGGUUAAACAAAUGAAGGAAAGAGAGCAAGCACAUGGAAAUCCCAAGACUAAAAGCAGGAAGUGACAAUCAGCUGCUAAGCAGAGAGGGCAGGAUAAGGUGGAGGUGAGGGUCUGUGUCACCUCCUCUCCAUCAUCUUCUUGAACUCCACCCGCAUCAGGUACCCCCUGCACACCGCCUGCGUGCUUGUCAUCAGCGUCACCAGCUUCUCAUCUCUCAUCUCCUCCAAAAGUCCCAGGAGCCCAGCUUUGAAAAACACCUGCAUUAAAAGACAGAGGAGCCUUGAUCUUUUUCCCCAGCAGGCGUUCAGCCGGGCCCUUGAGGGGGCCUGUUUCUGCUCAACUCUGAGGCUCAACUCUCAGAGCACGGCAGGGGCAGCAAUUCUGUUUCCAGGACUUGCUUCUCGGUGGCUCUGGUCUCCUCAGUGGCUCCUCCUGGGCAGUGAGGCAGCCUGGUCCAGAGUCUGUUCCAAGCUGGUCAUGGUGGCUCAUGCCUGUAAUCCCAGCUCUUUGGGAGGCCGAGGCAGGUGAUCAUUUGAGGUCAGGAGUUCGAGACCAGCCUGGCCAACAUGGUGAAACCCUAUCUCUACUAAAAAUACAAAAAUUAUCCGGGCGUGGUGGUGGGGACCUGUAAUCCCAGAUACUCAGGAGGCUGAGGCAGGAGCAUCACUUGAGCCUGGGAGGUGGAGGUUGCAGUGAGCAGAGAUUGCACCAUUGCACUCCAGCCUGGGUGACAGAGCAAGACUCUGUCUCAAAACAAAACAAACAAACAAAACAACAACAACAACGACAAAAACAACGUGUGUUCCAGGCCCCACCAACCCACAGAGAUCAGUUCUGACAGAGCUCACAUACAGGAAACAAAGAUGAGUCCAGAAAGAAACCAUGGGACGCAAUUGUGCCCAGAUCAGAGAGAUUCACAGAUGCGUUGGCUUCACCCUCUUCUUCUGUCCAUCUGGGAAGGUUGGUCCCAUGCUCAGGCCCACUUCGCCCACUCCCUCCAUAACAUUCCAGGGAAACUAAGCACCCUCUGGGGCCAGCAGGCUCUUCCUUGCUGGAGACCCCCAGCCUGCCCGUUUCUGAGAUGUGGAUCUUUGGAGGCAGGCCAGGAUUUGAAGCUGACCUUUGCCACUUACUAUCUAUCCAUGUGUGACCUUGAGUAAGUUUCUCGACCUCCCAAGAACCUGAUGAGUAAGUGCCACCCUUAUCACCAUCACUCCCACCUCGCUGGUUAGUGAGGAGUCAGUGAAGUACGUGCAGGAGGCUUCUCACAGGGCUGAUACUCACGUGCUCAAUAAAUGGCAGCUAGUUUGUCUUUGUUUUUGUUUUUUUGAGACAGGGCUUCACUUUGUUGCCCAGGCUGGAGUGCAGUAGUAUGAUCAAUCGCACUGCAGCCUCCAUCUCCUGGCCUCAAGAAAUCCUACUUCAGCCUCCCAAAAGCAUGGGAUUAAAGGCAUGAACCACUGCGCCCCGCUUGGUAGCUGAUUUUAUUGUUUAUAGUCAUUCUCCUCAAGGCCUCAGUGUCCCUGGAGUCCUCUCUAUGUUCUCCUCUCUCUUCAGCUCUUUCUUACCUCUGGGACACUAGAGUUCCCCAUUGGCUUUUCCUAUCCUUGCUGCAUGGUGGGGCUCAGGCUUCCAAUCUAAGCUUUCAGCCACUUACAAACCAACAGGGAGACAAGCUCUGUCUACCUAGACACAGAGCUCCCCUUACCUGGGCGACUGGGCAAGGACGGUCAGGUGGACCAAAAGGAGAAGGGGACCCUUUUUCUGAUCAGCUAAGAAGCAGCCCAGGGCUGUGGGGUUACUAGGGGAGUCCCAGCCUUGCCUGUGCUCACCUUGGUGUUGCCGAACCUGAACUGCUCCCGGUCCACAUCGAUGGAGUUGAGGAGCUUCUCUGAGGCAUUUUUGCUGUCAAUGAACUGCCCUUCAGGGAUAGCACUGGCAUUGAGGAUCCGGUACCUAAGGAGAGAGGACAUUUCCCAAAUGGAUUCCAAUCCCCGAAAGGCUUCAUAGCUGAGACCAGCCUUCUAGAAUCUUCUCCUGCUCAAGCCUUAGGAGGAAGUGGAAUACUGUACAGCUGGUCUGGGAGAUGGGAAUAGCUAGGGACUGAUUCUAGCAAGGGGGCUUGAAUCAGCCCCCUUGGGAGAGAAGCAAGGUGGGUGGGAGAGAAGCAUGAAAGAAGGGAGCCCAGCUGAGUGCAUGGCGGGAAGUUUGCUUUCAGAGGAAAUGGUUCUUCUCUGGCUUAAAAGAGGCCUUGAAAUCAACCGUGACCUGUAGGCCGUGGUUCUCCUACUUCUGGAAGGUCCUCUCCUGUCCUCCAUCCUGGACAAGGCCCGGACUUGUGCAACCCAAUGGUGGCUCAGAGGAGAGAGUUAGUCUAGAGCUGCGGGCCUCAGCUGGGUGUGAUUUGGCAAUGUCUAGAGAGUUUUGAUUGUCACAGCUCAGUGGGGAGGGGUGUGGUUUGCUACCACAUCUCUUGAGUAGAGGGCAGGGUUACUGCUAAAAUCCUCCCACACCCAGCACAGCCUCCACAAUAAAGGAUGAUCUAGCCUGAGUGUCCAUAGUACAGAAGUUGAGACAUCCUGGUCUAGAGUCACAAUCAGGCUAGAGGGUCUGGGAUCUGAAUUUGGAACCACUUGGGCUGGCCCACUCACUGUGGGCAUGGGAUCAGUUCCUCUAGCAAGAGAUGAAGUCUGUGGAAACUCUGGGGGACUUGGGAGCUCACCAAAUACCCAGGUCAAGAAAUGUCUUAGGGAAAUGCAAAAGGUGCCCUCGGAAGGAGAGAGAUGCACAGGAGAGAGGGAACCUACCGCUGCUUGAAGUCAGCAUAGAGGAUCCGGCUGGGGAAUCCCUUCCUGCAAAUCCGGAUGCCCUCGAGGACCCCGUUACAGCGCAGCUGGUGCAUGACCAAGUAGUGGUCCAUCACACCUGGAGAGAGAACGUCCCGGGGGUGUGCCUGUGACCCCUUCAUUUGUUGUUGAUGGUCUGAGGCACCAUGAGACCCUCCAACACAUCCACACUUGAGUGGGAGAGUCAGUGAGUGGGAGAGUCAGUGCCAGCUCCAAGGUAGAGGGCUGGGGGUGGCUAGAGCCUGCCUGCAGGUCCCGCAGUGAAAUAAUCCCACCCUCUUGGGGAGAUGCUAGCACCCCAUAACCGUGGCAGUAAGAGCCAAAGCAUUGUGCUUUCUGUCCUCAGCCCUGACUCUGCAGCAAGGCUGCAAAAGCUGCAGAGUGAGUACAGGGUGCACUUGGGCUUCCCAUGGGAUAACCCGAGAUGUCUUCUUGCAUCUACACAAAGAUGGGGAUGGAAAAAUCUGCAGGCUGUGGCUGCAGAAGAGUAACCCAGCAAAGAAGAGGAGGCCGGCUGGGCGCGGUGGCUCAUGCCUAUAAUCCCAGCACUUUGGGAGGCCGAGGUGGGUGUAUCGCCUGAGGUCAGGAGCUCGAGACCAGCCUGGCCAACAUGGUGAAACCCAGUCUCUACAGAAAAAUACAAAAAUUAGCCAGAUGUGGUGGCACACACUUGUAAUCCCAGCUACUUGGGAGGCUGAGGCAGCAGAAUCACUUGAACACAGGAGGCGGGGGUUGCAGUGAGCUGAGAUUGAGCCACUGCACUCCAGUCUAGGCAAGAAGAGUGAAACUGCACCUCAAAAAAAAAAAAAGAAGAGGCCGUGGGAGGGGACCCAGAAGGGGGUUGAAGGUAGGGCGGCGGUCAUCUGCUGACCACUCAGCCCCUGCUAUAGGAAUUGGGGGAGAAAUGGAGCUUGGCUGGAAGGAGAGGAGCUAGAGGGGCAAGCCCCUUUGGGGAGGUAAUGUGGGUGCUCGUGGUAACCAGCCUGGGUCAGGCACAAAUCAAACUAGGAUGGAGAAAAUUCUGUCUCAGGUCUGCGUGAGGGGUUAGAGGACAGGGGCUACGGCAACCUGAUGGCUUCUCUUUGUGGGCUCCCUAAGUUGCCGGGGUGGGAGUGGUGGGGCCAAGGCUGGCUUUGACUUAACCUUAGGGAAGCUUCUAGAAUGCCCACGUGGUUCCCUGGUAGCUGUGGGGAGACAUCACUAUACAAUUAGAUGAUUUUUAAGGCUUUGGUAGAGCUGCACUGUCAGAUACCGUAGUGACCAGCCACAUGUGGCUAUUUACAUUUAAAUUCAUUAAAAUUAAAAAUUAAUUAACAUUUUAAAACUUUUCAUGUAAAUGUAAACAUUUCAUGUAACGGUGGCCACCCUAUUGAACAGUGCAGACAUGGGGCAUUUAAUCAUUUCUGAAAGUCCUAUCAGGUGGUGAUUCUCUAGAGAAAACAUGGUUGAGAGCAAGGAGAAAAUGUCUCAGACAUUCAGAGAACUGGCCAGGUGCAGUGGCUCAUGCCUGUAAUCACCGCACUUGGGAGGUCGAGGUGGGUGGAUCACCUGAGGUCAGGAGUUCAAGACCAGCCUGGCCAACAUGGUGAAACUCCAUCUCUACUAAAAAUACAAAAAUUAGCCGGGCGUGGUGGCAGGUGCCUGUAGUCUCAGCUACUCGGGAGGCUGCGUCAAGAGAAUCGCUUGAACCCAGGAGGCGGAGGUUGCAGUGAGCCGAGAUUGUGCCACUGCACUCCAACCUGGGUGACAGAGCAAGACUCAGUCUCAAAUAAAUAAAUAAAUAAAUAAAUACAAUAAUUAAAAAAUUCAUAGAACCGCCGAUGUGGAGAGAACCUUAGCAAUGGUCUAAUUCGACUCCCAUGAGCUCUCAGAUGAUGAUUCUGAGUGGUUAAGAUCCCAGCUAUGCUGUUUACUAGCUUCGCGGACUUGGCCUGUCUCUGCCUCAAUUUCUUUAUUUGUAAAAUAAGGAUAAUAAUGUAGGUUGAGCAUCCCGAUUCAGAAAACUCAAAACCUGAAAACUUUUGAGCUCCAACCUGAUGCCACAAGUGGAGAAUUCCACGACUGACCUCAUGAGGCAGGUCGCAGCCAAAACUGUUUCACGUACAAAAUUAUUUAAAAUAUUGUAUAAAAUUACCUUAGGGCUAUGUGUAUAAGACCCAUAUGAAACAGAUGAAUUUUGUGUUUAGACUUGGUCCCAUCCCCAAGAUAGCUCAUUAGGCACAUACAAAUAUUCCAAUAUCCACAGAAAUUUAAAAUUCACAACACUCGUGGUCCCAAGCAUUUCAGAUAAAGGGAUAAUCAACCUGUAGUAUCUGCUUCAUCAGGUGGUUGAGGAUUACAUGAGUUAAGAUGAGUACAGGCCCGGUGCGAUGGCUCACGCUUGUAAUCCCAGCACUUUGGGAGGCCGAGGUGGGCGGAUCGCCUGAGGUCAGGAGUUCGAGACCACCCUGGCCAACAUGGUGAAACCUCUUCUCUACUAAAAAUAUGAAAACGUAGCUGGGUGUGGUGGUGCGUCCCUGUAAAUCCCAGUUACUCGGGAGGCUGAGGCAGGAGGAUUGCUUAAACUGGGGAGGCAGAGGUUGCAGUGAGCUGAGAUGGCGCCACUGCACUCCAGCCUGAGCGACAGAGUGAGACCCUGUCUUGAAAAAAAAAGAGAGAGAGAGAAAAGAUGAGUACAAAGGUUAAAAUGGUGAAAGCAGGCAUGAUUAACACUUGCUUUAACCAUGUGGCUGAGGCCUCUUUCUUCUUAAGCACCGGGAGCAGAGAGAAAAAGGCAUAGUUACAAGAGAAUUGAAGCUUCUAGAGCCAGAAGAAAGCUGAAAGGACCAUCAUUUUACAGUGGGGAGGCCAGAGAUGCCACCAUGCUUGCCAGGCUGUCCAUCCUGUUAGGGGUCGUGUCCGACUUGGACUGGGAGAUCUUUUCUAAUUCCCGCAGAGGCAUCCUAUGGGGUGGCGGGGCACUGGGGGAGACUGAGGCCCAGAGAGGUGAAGGGCUUUGCAAAGCUGUAGCAGAGCCGAGACGCCACUCUUCUCUCUCACAGGGCCCCUCUGGUUUGUGCAGACUCAGAAUCCUGAGCUGAGUUCUCUUAGGGCUUGCUUUGUUUUUCCUUAAACCCGGCCUGAGAUGUUUUCUAUCAGGUCCACGUAAAGGGCCUCCUUUGCUUUUGUACCAAUGCGUAAAACUUCUAAAAAUUCCCCUGAGCUAUUCUCUCAUCCUUCUGCUCCAGCCGCUGAAGGGUUUUUCCUCUUUAUUUCUCCAAGUGUAUCACUUCCAUCCCACUCCUUUCUCCAGCCAUCUUGGCCUCUGUGGGCAGUGGUAUUAGCCAUGCUUUUGAAAUAUGCUGUAUCUUAUGAUGAUCCGGCAUCAUGGGGCCUCCUCGCUGGCUCAGGAGAGACUGCCCUUCCCGGGGCUAGCCAUUCCAGGAGAUGGCAAAAAAGCCUCCUGCAAGCACGUCUUUCACAUGCAAACCAGCCAUCCAAAGCCCUUAACCCCCGACCCCUACCUUUAUCAGGCUCUCACAGGGCUCUUACACUCUGGGCCAAUACUUCCCUGUCCUGGUCACCUCAGGGCCCCAGGUACCGGCCAACUUGAGAAAGUCCCUACAUUUUGAAGCCUGCUGAAACCAUUCAAACUUGGCAAUGCUGAACCUGCUUGGCCUGUUCAUGCUACCUCGCCUGCUCCAUCCCAUGGGAAUGACCCUCGAGGCUCUGGCCUGUGAUUUCUCCUUACUCCCCCAACCCCAAACCUAGCUCUGGUGCUUCCCCUCGUGGCCCUCUGUGGCAGGCCCCCUCCUCUUGAGCACUGUGUCUUUUUUUUUUUUUUGAGAAGGAGUCUCCCUCUGUCACUGAGGCUGGAGUGCAGUGGUGCAGUCUCGGCUCACUGCACCCACCGCCUCCUGGGUACAAGCAAUUCUGCUUCAGCCUCCCAAGUAGCUGGGAUUACAGGCAUGCACCACCACGCCAGGCUAAUUUUUGUAUUUUUAGUUGAGACAGGGUUUCGCCAUGUUAGGCUGGUCUCAAACUCCUGACCUCAGGUGAUCCACCCACCUCAGCCUCCCAAAAUGUCGGGAUUACAGGCGUGAGCCACCAUGCCCGGGCGUGACUGUCUUUUUAAUGGUAACCAUCUUCUGGUCUGUUGGCCUCACCAUCCCUUAACAAUAAUAAAACCUACAUUUAAAAACAGCAGCAAGCCAGCUUUUGGUGAGUCAGCAGCACAGACUUAGCAGGCUCCAGGUUUGCUGCAAGAGGAGAACGAGAGGAGUAGAGGCUGGAGCCUGCUCCCGAGGGGCCCUUGUUCAGCAGGCGAGCAGAGGACCUGUGCCCGUGAAGUCCUAGAGGAUUUGGGAGAACAACUAGCAAGCCCCGUAUGUGCCUGUGGGUGGGGAGGGACUUGAGAUUUGAUCAUGGAUCGUGACUCCCAGCCCCUGCUCUAGGUGCCCUGGGGUAAGGCAUGGAAAUCUCCAUAGUCUCUAGUCUUCUAGAAAAUAAAGAGGGCACACUAGCUGCUUUCUAAGGUGUCACCAGGCUUCUGUAUUCGUGUUGGGCUAUUCCCAGAAAUUGACAUGAAAACAGAGAGGUAGGUGCCAGAGCUAAGGAGAAGCAAAUGCAACAGGAAAGGACAGACAUUUCAGCAACAUUUACCUUCCCAAAGAAAAUGUAGGGCCGGGCGCGGUGGCUCACGCCUGUAAUCCCAGCACUUUGGAAGGCUGAGGUGGGCAUAUCACGAGGUCAGGAGAUCGAGACCAUCCUGGCUAACAUGGUGAAACCCCAUCUCUACUAAAAGUACAAAAAUUAGCUGGGCAUGAUGAUGUGUGCCUGUAGUCCCAGCUACUCAGGAGGCUGAGGCAGGAGAAUAGCUUGAACCAGGGAGUUGGAGGUUGCAGUGAGCCGAGAUCGUGCCACUACACUCCGGCCUGGCGACAGAGCGAGAGUCUGUCUCAAAAAAGAAAAAAAAGUAAGCCAGUGGAUUACCAAAAGCAUUCCUCCCAGAGGCACAGUUUGAAGCCAUCCCCCACCACCUUGCAGGCCAUCUGCUUAGAGAGGAGUCAGGCCACAAGCAUGUUUGAUUUAUGCAAACAUGUACUCAACGACGACAGUAACAGAAAUGGAUAUUUUCCAAGACCUACUACAAGCCAAUGAUUUCGUGUGAUUCUUAACCAAAGAAACCACUCUUCCCAACACUGGAGAAGCCGGCUCAUUGGUCAGGAGGCUGCAGGAUGCCCCAGAUAAUGCAUAUAUCACAAUGAUGUAGUUGGUUAUUGCUUUUGACUUAGACUUUAGAACCUAACUUUCAUGGAAGAUGCAGUUUCACUAACUAUAACACACCUGGCUAUUGGGGAUUUAAAGUUUAUAGUUCUGAGUGAUAAUAAUAAUAAUAAUAAUUAGCAUCCAACAUUUGCUGGGUGUUCACAAUGUGCUCAGCCCUGUUGUAAAUGCUUGACUUGCACUUACUCAUUGAACCCUCACGACAACCCUCUAAGGUGGGUUAAAUGAGCUAAUAUUUGCAAAGUGAGUAACCACUUUAUGAGUGCUUAUUAAAGAAGUAAAUAAUAGAUUAAAAUGCCACUUUUAUCCUUGUUUUUUUUUUUUUUUUGUUUGUUUUUUUUGAGACGGAGUUUCGCUCUGUCGCCCAGGCUGGAAUGCAGUGGCACGAUCUCGGCUCACUGCAAGCUCCGUCUCCCGGGUUCACGCCAUUCUCCUGCCUCGGCCUCCCGAAUAGCUGGGACUACAGGCGCCCGCCACCACGCCCAGCUAAUUUGUUUGCAUUUUUAGUAGAGACGGGGUUUCACCAUGUUAGCCAGGAUGGUCUCGAUCUCCUGACCUCGUGAUCCACCCGACUCGGCCUCCCAAAGUGCUGGGAUUACAGGCGUGAGCCACUGUGCCCGGCCUAUCCUUGUUUUAUGGACAAGAAAGCUGAGGCAGAAAGUGCUCAAAUACUCUGCUUAGGAUCACGUGGUAAUAGGUGAACUUUUCCCCCCCAACCCCCCGACAACGUAUACCUCUGUUCACUCAUAAUGUUGCAGAGGCAGAAUGUUUAAUCCUGAGCUGGGAGGCCCGUGUUGGGCAUAGAACAGCUCAGCUGGUGAGUUAGCUACCCCAUAGCCACAGCUCCGUGUGACAGUUUGUUUUCCUUUUUGUGACAAAUGACACUGAAAAAGCUAGACUCCAAGAAUAUUCGCAAAUCAGGAUGAAGUGACAGUUAAAGGAGUCCUCUAUUGCACAGGGUUCUAUAUUUAUAUAUAGUCUGUAUUGCACAGGGUUCUGUAUUUAUAUAUAGUCUCUGAUUCUCAGUUUUCUCAUUUAUAAACUGGAGAUCAAUACGCGUAUCUUGCAGAGAACUGUUGCAAGGAUUCGAGGUAAUAUAACAAAGUGAUUGACAUGCAGUAUGGCUUCAAACAGUUGUUAUUGAUGCUAUUUUGAUUAUGGGAUACCCAAGAUGAUUAUUUGCCAAAUGUAGUGGUAUUUAACUUUGGGGUAAACAGAGCCUUUAUCUUAUGAAAGCUGUGGCUCUGAUGUGCCUAUAUACAUACACACAAUAUUUUGAAUAUGAUUUCGUAGUAGGGGUGCCAGAUAAGAUACAGAUGCCCUGCUGAAUGUGAAUUUCAGAUAAACAAUGAAUACUUUUUUAGAGGAAGUAUAUUCCAAAUAUUGCAUAGGUCACACUUAGACAUUUUUCAUUGUUUAACUGAAAUUGAAAUUUAAUAACAUUUAAUAUGGCAUUUGGUUUUUAGCAUUUUUGUGGUUACAUAAUAGUUGAACAUAUUUAUGGGGUACACAUGAUAUUUUGAUACAAGCGUGAAAUGUGCAAAGAUCAUAUCUGCAUAAUUGGGAUAUCUGUCACCUCAAACAUUUAUCAUUUCUUUGUGUUGGGUACAUCCGGUAUUUUUAUCUGCUAAAUCUGGCAACCCUAUUUCAGAGACUACUUUCAGAAGUGAUACAGACCAUCACUCUUUCCAAACGCACACCCACAGAAUUUUGCAUUUAUCUCAGGGCGUCCUGUUCUGUUCAAAUACUUGGCAAGAUCUGCUGGUACUCACCAGGAGUCUUGGUCUCAUUGGGAAUCAGACAUCGUACAAAGUGAGGGUGGGUGCUCCUUAAGUUAGUCAUCAAUUUGUUUAAAUUUUCCUGGGACAUAAACCAAAACAAGCACAUUUAGCAACUGCCAUUUCACUGGGGAGAAAAACAAGUGAAUAUGGAAGCUGCCAAAACACCAACCCUGAACACGGCCGACACGGUCUGGAAAGAGGAGCCCUUCUUCUUCCCGCCCUUCUUGCUUCCUCCGGAGUCGCCUGGAGACAGACACAGAAGAGCGUGUUAGAUGCAUCCCAGAGGACCCAGCAGUGGGCUUCCUGAACCACCUGUUCCCAGCCCCGAGUUCUGGUUUCCUUUUGACAUAAGAGACUUGAGGUUUUGUUUGUUUGUUUUAGACGGAGUGUUGCUCUGUUGUCCAGGCUGGAGUGCAAUGGCACCAUCUCAACUCACUGCAACCUCCACCUCCCGGGUUCAAGCCAUUCUCUUGCCUCAGCCUCCCAAGUAGCUGAGACUACAGGCGUGUGCUACCAUGCCUGGCUAAUUUUUGUAUUUUUAGUAGAGAUGAGAUUUCACCAUGUUGGCCAGGCUAGUCUCGAACUCCUGACUUUGGCCUCCCAAAGUCCUGGGAUUAUAGGCAUGAGCCACCUUGCCUGGCCUGUUUGUUUUUAAAAUGCCCCCAAACUACCCAGGAUUAAGAACCCUCAGCUUUAUCAUUGUGGGAAUGGGGUGGGAAUGGGGUGUGGAUAGCAUUUAACUGGGAGUAUAACUUAAACUCUCAGUAGAAAAGGGGAGUCCUUUCCUUUAGAAAUCAGAGCUGAAAGCAAACUGAAUAAUUUGCAAGAUUGAGAUGUCCCUCUUAAUGUUUGUAGUUUCUUUUUUUUUUUCAUUCUUUUUGUUGUUGUUGUUUGUUUGUUUUAAGAUGGAGUCUCGCUGCGAUGCCCAGGCUGGAGUGCAAUGGUGCAAUCUUGGCUCACUGCAACCUUCGUUUCCCAGGUUUAAGCAAUUCUCCUGCCUCAGCCUCCCAAGUAUCUGGGACUACAGGCGAGCGUCACCAUGCCUGGCUAAUUUUUGUAUUUUUAGUAGAGAUGUUUAGUAGAGAGUUUCACCAUAUUGGCCAGGCUGGUCUUGAACUCCUGACCUCAAGGGAUCCGCCCACCUUGGCCUCUCAAAGUGCUGGGAUUACAGGCGUGAGCCACCGUGCCUGGCAAUGUUUGUAGUUUCUUUCAUGAAUUUACCUCCUUUUAUUCUUUAAUCCCUGCUUAUCUCUAAAGAGUAAGUAACUGAAAGUAAUAAAACGGAAUUUUCUCAACAAUAUUUUAUAAGUUGAUUUCUUUUUCUUUCCUACAGGAAACAACCCAAUUUGCCAUCUUAAUUUGGAGUCUACUUUUUCUGAAUGACUCAGUUUUCUCUGAUACUUAAUCAAGAUGCAGCCUUGGGGGAAAAUGUCAUGUCCCAGUCUCCCCCAUGUUCCUUUCCCUUCAUCCCACUUUGUCCCCGGGGUCUAGCAUGACUGUGUGUUUGGAUUGGGGAAGUGAAGGCAGGAAAGUCGCUUCCCCAAAUCCGCAUCCACACAGGGUCUUAUGUUAGAGUUGAUGUUAUCUCUAGGCGAGGUUAUGCAAUGUAGUUACAGAGACAUUGUGAUUAGAUUCAAAGAAAAUGAUUUUCAUCAUUGAAGUUUACGCAUGUGCCCAUUUCCUAUUUAUUACAUUCCCUGGCCCAGAGGACAUUAGGCUUUCAUUUUUAAAAAAUGAUCUCAUUAUCUAAUGAAUAAUUAUAUUUCAUAUAUUUUAUUAAUUUAUUAAAUGUAUGCAUUUAAAAUGGCAUAUAAUGUUAAAACUCUAUGUUGGCUACUAUUUAAAAGUAUAUUUACUGGUAAUCUUAAAAAGUGUUACUGGCUUGUGUUACUUAUUUAUUUGUUUGAGAUAGGGUCUCACUCUGUCAUCCGGGCUGGAGUACAGUGGCCCAAUCAUGGCUCGCUGCAAUUUCAGCCACCCAAUCUCAUGUGAUCCUCCCAGCUCAGGUUCCCAAGUAGCUGGACUACAGGUGUGCACCACCACUUUUGGCUAAUUAUUUUAUUUUAUCUUAUUUUAUUUUGUUUUAGAGACAGGAUCUCUAUGUUGCCCACACUGGUCUUGAACUCCUGGCCUCAAAUGAUCCUUCUGCCUCAGCGUCCCAAAGUGUUGGGAUUACAGGUGUAAGCCACCACGCCUGGCCCCUGUGUAACCACUCUGGAAAAGAGUUCAGAAGUUACUCAAAAUUUUGAACACAGUUAUCAUAUGACCCAGCAACUCUACUCCUAGGUACCGUAUAUAUAUACCGUGUAUACCCAAAAGAAUUGCCAAUAUAUAUUCACAUAUAAACUUCUAUACAAAUGUUCAUAGCAACAUCAUGCACAGUAGCCAGAAAGUUCAUCGGCUGAUGAAUGUGCAGACAAAAUGUGAUAUAUUCAUACAAUGAACUAUUAUUUGUCCAUAAGAAAGAACAAAGUCCUGAUACAUGCUACAACAGGGCCAGACCUUGAGAACAGUAACCUGAAAGAAGCCAGACACAAAAGAGCAUCCAGUAUAUAAUUCCAUUCACAUGAAAUGCCCAGAUAGGCAAAUCUACAGGGACAGAAAGUUGAUGAGUGGUUGCCAGAGGCUAGGGAUAGAAAUCUGCUCAUGGGGACAGGCAUGAUGGCUCGUGCCUAUAAUCCCAGCACUUUGGGAGGUCGAGGCGGGUGGAUCACAAGGUCAGGAGAUCGAGACCAUCCUGGCCACCAUGAUGGAACCCUGUCUCUACUAAAAAUACAAAAAAUUAGCCGGGCGUGGUGGCGUGCGCCUGUAGUCCCAGCUACUUGGGAGGCUGAGGCAGGGGAAUCGCUUGAACCCAGGAGGCAGAGCCUGCAGUGAGCCGAGAUUGCACCACUGCACUCCAGCCUGGAGAAAGAGCAAGACUCUGUCUCAAAAAAAAAAAAAAAAAAAAAAAUCUGCUCAUGGGUUACGGGGGUGUGAAAAAUGUUCUCAAAUUCCACAGUGGUGAUGGUCACACAACAUUGUGAAUAUCCUAAAAACCACUAAAUUUUUUUUUUUUUAAUAGAGUCUCACUCUGUCACCCAGGCUGGAGGGCAGUGAUGCAAACUCCAUUCACUGUAACCUCUGCUUCCUAGGUUAAAGCAAUUCUCCGGCCUCAGCUGCCUGAGUAUCUGGGACUACAGGUAUGUGCCACCACACUCGGCUAAUUUUUGUAUUUUUAGUAGAGAUGGGGUUUCACCAUGUUGGCCAGGCUGGUCUCAAACUCCUGACCUCAAGUGAUCGGCCCCCGCCUUGGCCUCCCAAAGAGCUGGGAUUACAGGCCUGAGCCACCAUGCCUGGCCAAAACCACUAAAUAGAUUUAAGGGUGAAUUUUAUUAUAUGUGAAUUAUACCUCAGUAGAAAACUAUUAAACAAUGUGAUGUUGACUAUCUUGGCCACUGAGAGGUCCUGUUUACCUCCAUAGAGCCCAGUCUCUUACAGAAGAGGAAGAAUAAGAGCAGGAGGAAGAAAAAUGGAGCUGAAAGAGAAACAUCAUACUCAGCUGAAGCUCAUGUCUGAUUACUGGUUCUUCACAAGCAGCUCUGGGUUAGGAGUCAUUACAUAGAACGUCCCACAGAGGGAAAGAAAUGAUAGAAUUUUACCUGUCUCUGCACCAGCAUAGUUGGAAAAAAGGAAGGAGAGAAGCUUCAGCGAAGACUUCUGGUACAGCCCCACCACAGUCUCGUUCAGGGGGUCCUUGUUUUUGUCCAGCCAGCCGGCGAUGUUGUAGUCCACGGUGCCGGCAUAGUGCACCAGCGAGAAGUGAGCCUCAGCCUUGCCUUUGGCAGGCUUGGGCUUCUGGAAGUUGUUGGAUUUUCCAAGAUGCUGGUCAUACAGCUUGUUCUUGAAGGAGGUGUCUGUUGCCUUGGGGAACAUGCACUCCUCUUCCAGGAUGGAGAAGAUGCCCAUAGGCUGGAAAGAGGAUAACAGAGUCUACAUAUAAUAGUGCAUACCCAUGCUUCAUGGUCUGGAGAAGCCAAAAAACCUUCUUUGGUGCUUUCACUCUGGUACCAGGAAUGCUGGCAUGUACGCUCGGUGAGAGCAAGACUCUUGGUCUGUUUGGGGGAUGACCAGAAAGUGCUAGGCAUAGAGUAUGUGCUUAAUUAAUAUUUGCUGAACAAAAGAAUAUAGGAUAAAAUUAUGUGUGUAUAAACCUAGCAUACUUUUUUCAAUAGGUGUACAAAAAAGUAAAGUUUCAUAUAUAGCCAUAAAGUAAUGUGAGUAAUAUUUUGAACAAUAAUGUCCCAAUUUCUCAGUAGCCACCUUAGGAAGAUAUACUCAUUCCAACAUGAGCAGUGCUCAAAUAUUAUGGGAAUUCCUUUUUAAAAAGUUAAUGUCGGCCGGGCGUGGUGGUUCACGUCUGUAAUCCCAGUACUUUGGGAGGCUGAGGUGGGUGGAUCACAAGGUCAGGAGUUUGAGACCAGCCUGGCCAACAUGGUGAAACCCCGUCUCUACAAAAAAAAGAAAAAAAAAAUUAUCUGGGCGUGGUGGCGGGCACCUGUAGUCCCAACUAUUCAGGAGGUGGAGGCAGGAGGAUCGCUUGAACCUGGGAGGUGGAGGUUGCAGUGAUCCGAGACUGCACCACUGCACUCCAGCCUGGGUGACAGAGCAAGACUCCGUCUCAAAAAAAAAAAAAAAAAAAAAAGUUAAUAUCUAUUCCUGUUUUCAUAUUAACAUCCCUCCAAGAGCCACACUGCUCCAUGGUUCCGCCUCCUUGGGUCUUUGGGUAAGUCAAAUAGGUAAGAAAUGCCACAGUCCUUACUGGGGUUCCAUCACAUUCUUGGAGAUAACUGAGCCCUUGGAUUUUAAUGACCCGUAAACCUCUUUAAGUGUCAGAACAGAUUUAGGACAUUCAUUCUCUUUGCAAAUAGGCAUUCAGUUAUCUAUCUGAAGGCUUGCAGCCUGGGGGCUAGGGGCCCCAAUCUGUGAGCAGAAAAGAAUCAGAGCAAGAAGGGGAGGGCCCCCAAUAAGGAGGAGCUGUCCCAGGCAGCAGUAUCUCUCUACCUUCUCGAUGAGCUCGAUGCAGGCAGCCAGGUCCAUUCCGAAGUCAAUGAACUCCCACUCGAUGCCUUCCUUCUUGUACUCUUCCUGCUCCAGCACGAACAUGUGGUGGUUGAAAAACUGUUGCAGUUUCUCAUUGGUGAAGUUGAUGCACAGCUGCUCCAGGCUGUUGAACUGGGUGAUUCAAAUACCAAAGAAUUUGAGUGAGCUUGGAAAAUACAUUGGAGAUUCAGCAAAGCAGACAAGAAAGUAGAAGGUCACAACUCACAUCAAAGAUCUCAAAGCCAGCAAUGUCCAAGACCCCGAUGAAGUACUGCCUGGGCUGCUUGGUGUCCAGCUGCUGGUUGAUGCGGGUGACCAUCCACAGGAACAUCUUCUCGUAGACGGCUUUGGCCAGAGCACCCACCGAAUUGGUCACCUUGAAAAAGGAUCACCCACUCAACCCUUGAGUUAGUGUUUCUAUGGCUGCAUUAAGUUGAAACAUAUGAAAUUGACUCGAAAAUCAAAAGCUGUUGGCUAGGCGUGGUGGCUCACACCUGUAAUCCCAGCACUUUGGGAGGCCAAGGCGGGCGGAUCACGAGGUCAGGAGUUCAAGACCAUCCUGGCCAACAUGGUGAAACCCCGUCUCUACUAAAAAUACAAAAAUUAGCCAGGUGUGGUGGCAGGCGCCUGUAGUCCCAGCUAUUCGGGAGGCUGAGGCAGGAGAAUCACUUGAACUUGGGAGGUGGAGGUUGCAGUGAGCCAAGAUCGUGCCACUGCACUCCAGCCUGGUGACAUAGCGAGACUCUGUCUCAAAAAAAAAAAAAAAAAAAAAACAAAAGAAAAAAAGAAAAUCAAAAGCAGUUGAAUAUUGGCAAUUUCAGAUCAUUCAAUGCAAUAUUAAAUAUUUUAUGAGGUGUUUGCCCAGCUCAUGUUGUUCACCUUUCUUUGAGAACUAUCCUAUUCACAAAGAUAUUUUUCUAACAACAUGGUUAUAGCACAUGACUCCAGCCCCUGGCCACACUUAAUUAGACCAGAGGUGAACACUUGAUCCAGAUUGGAUUAAUUGAGUAUCUCUCCUAAGAAUUUGGAAUAGGGAUCAAAAGACACUGGUCUCAGUCUCAGGGUGAGGCUGGAAACACAGAGAUAUAAACUUGGGAGCUAUGGGGUGGCCACGGGCAAGAGAGGUCCAGGAAACUUAUCUGCCUAGCAAGGACACAACAGAGGAGAGACUCAACAGCCCAUGAAUCCCAGAGGAGCUGGAGGGAGGCUGCCUGGCUCCAGAGGGCUCUUCACUUUCUAAUUCCAGGUCCUCAUGGCGUCCAAUGGGCACUUAAUGAUUUGCAUUCCUUCAGUUGCCUCUGAAGCCUAAAAAUGAACUUCCUCUUAAUGUGAAAGCUGAUUUCAUGUGCAUUUCUGAUACCUGCAACUGAAGGAGCUUUAAGAUAAUGGCUCAAAUAGCAAAAGAUCUCAAUCAACUGGAUUCAGAGCAUCUCCAUUACCUGCUGGACAUUUUGCCCUUUAGUGACAUAUUCAUUGCCAACCUUCACCCUUGGACAGCACAGGCCCUUCAGCAUUUCUGCAGAAUUCAGUCCCAUCAGGUAUCCGGCUUUGUCAGCCACUGAAGGAAGAGAAAAAAAUGGCAUCAUGCAAAAACAGUAGCUGCUAAAGUGUCCAGUCAGCCCCUGGCUUCUCCCAGAAGUGUUUUCUGUAAUUUUCUUAAAUGUUUUCAUGUUGUCAUAUCUGUACCAGGUCUGGACUUGUUCACUGAAGCUUUAAUCCCAUAUCCAGGGGCCCAUGGUUCUCAGGAACUUCCAAUUUGCCUCCUAGAUGCAGUUUUAACAAUAAGAUACUCCGUGGCCAAUUUUGACCUACUGAUAUUUCGAUUUCAUAAAAGAAUGUUGAUUACAGGCCAGGCACGGUGGUUCAUGCCUGUAAUCCCAGCGUUUUGGGAGGCUAAGGCGGGUGGAUCACCUGAGGUCAGGAGUUCGAGAUCAGCCUGGCCAAUAUGGCCCUGUCUCUACUAAAAAUACAAAAAUUAGCCAAGCAUUGUGGCAAGCGCCUGUAGUCCCAGCUACUUGGGAGGCUGAGGAAGGAGAAUCACUUGAACCUAGGAGGCAGAGGUUGCAGUGAGCCAAGAUCGUGCCAUUGAACUCCAGCCUGGGUGACAAGAGCAAGACUCCGACUCAAAAAAAAAAUUAAUUAAUUACAUAGUUAUGUUGGAGUCUGACAAUACGUUAAAAUGUUAUAUGAGUAAAGGAGCCACCACUUGGACAGUUGACAAUAUACAUGAGGCACCUUCCUAAUUUAAGCAAAGUACCAUGCUCAUAGUUGAAAGAGAAGUACAAAACUUGACCCUCCCUUCAAAUGUUUGGAGAUGGUCAAAAGCACUUGACUUUUGGCUGUUUCCUACAGUUCAUGGGUUAUAUAUUUUCAUAUAUUUCAGCAGACGUUCAUUGACUUUGAGAAGGACCUGGGGGCCUGCAUUGAGCUCAUCAAAAAGGCAGAGAAAUGCUGCUCCCCAGGGACUACUUCUUUUUUUUUUUUUUUUUUUUUUUGGAGACAGAGUUUCUCAAUGUUGCCCAGGCUGGAGUGCAGUGGCGCGAUCUCAGCUCACUGCAAGCUCCGCCUCCUGGGUUCACGCCAUUCUCCUGCCUCACCUCCCGAGUAGCUGGGAUUACAGGCACCCACCACCAGGCCCGGCUAAUUUUUUUUUAUUUUAGUAGAGAUGGGGUUUCACCAUGUUGGCCAGGAUGGUCUUGAUCUCCUGACCUUGUGAUCUGCCCACCUCCCAAAGUGCUGGGAUUACAGGUGUGAGCCACCUUGCCCAGCCCCCAGGGAUAACUUCUUGGUUGGGACCCUUGCUUCAUUGCUGGGUGGGGAGAUGAGUUAAUAAAAAUCUAGGGCAGUCUAUGUUAAGUACUUAAUCAGAGGCCAGAUGCGUGCUUUACUCUCUCCUCGAAUUAUCUCCUUUUCUUGCUUUGCCCAUUCAGGUAGAUGGUACCAUUAUUCUUCUUCUUGUCAUUUAAACUUGAAAGGGGUGAUACAUCCUUCUCUCUCUUGCCCCUGACAUUCCUUUGUUCAGACAGGCACCAAGUCCUGCUUAUUUCACUCUCAAAAUGCCUGGCCUCUCCACUGCUUCCAGCAGUUAUAGUGGCCAAGAGCCUGGGCUCUAGAGUCGGACUGCUCUAGGUUUAGGUUUAGGUUUAGGUUUUGGUUUUGCUUCUUUGUGCCUCAGUUUUGUCUGUAAAAUGGGAGACAGUGACAAUACUCAUGUUAUACGGUUGUCGUGAAGCAUGCCUGGUGACUAGUGAGCACCCAGCAAAUAUUAGCUUGGGUUGGUAUCGUCAUUGAUAUCAUUGGAGCACUGGCCUUGAUUAUAGUCCUCCACUUUCUGCUCCUAAGCACUGCACACACACAGCUGCUAGGGCUGGAAGAGGGCCUGGGACCCUACUGAGGUAUAUCAAUACGUGUAUCAAUGCAGUCCACUGUUGCUGAGGAGCCUGAUACUCUUUUUUUUUUCUUCUCAAGUUUUCCCACUUUUGGUGAGCCUGGCUGCUGACAGAUUAAUUUCAGGUUGUCUGCAUGUACUUCCCCUGCUACUUGGACAGCGGCUUCCGUGGCCUGCCAUAUAUUCUAAACCAUUCAUCCUGACACUCAAGAUCUUCCCAAACUGAUGCAAAAAUUGUUACUUUAAAAUUCUCAUUUCUUACAAAUCCACUGCUUAUAUCCUGUUCUGUAGCCAAAGUGGACCACUCACUGUGCCUCCAUCCCCAUCACAGUUCAUCCUCUGCCCCUUUGCACAUGACCCUUCCUUCCUUCUCCCUUCCCUUCCCUUCCCUUCCUUCUCCCUUCCUUCUCCCUUCCCUUCCCUUCCCUUCCUUUCCCUUCCCUUCCCUUCUCCCCCUCUCUCUCUCUUUCUCUUUCUUUCUUUCUCUUUAUUUCAUGGAGUUUCACGAUUUUCACCCAGGCUGAAGUGCAGUGGUACAAUCUUGGCUCACUGCAACCUCCACCUCCCGGGAUCAAGUGAUUCUCCUGCCUCAGUCUCCCGAGUAGCUGGGAAUACAGGCAGGCACCAUUAUGCCCAGCUAAUUUGUAUUUUUAGUAGAGAAGGGGUUUUACCAUGUUGGCCAGACUGGUCUUGACCUAUAACCUCAGAUGAUCCACCCACCUCGGCCUCCCAAAGUGCUGGGAUUACAGGCGUGAGCUGCUGUGCCCAGCCUGCUCAUGACAUUUCUUCUGCUUGAACUGAUCUCUCCCCCAAUUUUUCAGAAUCCUAUUCAUCCCUCAAAGUCCAAGUCAGUGCCCCUUCUAUCAGGAAGCCUUCCCUGAUUGCCCCAGUCAGAAGUGUUUCCUGUGUGAAGACUUGGAGUCCCCUCCACUGUGAUGGGCAGGAUUCUAGGAUGGCACCCAAGGUGUGCCCCCUGGUGUACAUGCCUUGUAUAACCUCCUUUACUUGAGUGCAGUGGAACCUGUACAACUCCCAUGAUGCGGUGACCAAUCAGUUGACUUUGAGUUAACAAAAAGGGAGAAUUAUCCCAGGCAGGCCUAGGAUAGAAGGUUGGUAAGCAUUUAUGGGACACUGAUAAGGUUAUGUAGAUUUUCCCACCCUUUAAUUUAUGGCUGCACUUCCUUUUUAUUACUUGAGAGUUUAAAGCGCACUGCUUCACAUACUGUGGGGCUGUAAUCAAAAGGCAGAAUUAUCAAGAACGAUCCAUGUUGCCAGGCUUUAAUUCAAGGAACUUGUAAGAAGCAUCGUGAGAGCUAAGAAGUCUAAUGAGCAGGACGUAUGGUGGGGAGUCAGUCACUGCUCAGCCCUUCCUGCUGCCCUGUGCUCUAGUUCCAGGCCUCUUAGGGAUGGGGCAGAGGGUGGCAGUAGGAUCAGCUAGGUGAGAGUUAUGGGGAGGAAGAACCGUUCACCAUUCUUGGUUCAGGGUCAAGUUCAACAGACGCUGGGGUGGAGGCGAUGGGAGGAACAAAACUUGGCUCCCACUUUACCAAAGGCCUCAUUUUAGGCCUGAGUAAUUAAGACUGCAUUCUGGUGGAGAGAAGAGAAGUUCACCUAACAAUAUUGUCUCAAAAAAGUCCACCUUAAAAAAAACAGGCACAUUUAGAUGGUGAAAGAUAGUGGAGUGCGUGGUGAUUAUUCAUUUACAAGAAUGAUGCUUUUUGUUUUUCAAGAAUUCACUACUCUGGGAGUCCUUGACUGAGUGAGCAGACUUCCUAGUGCAUGCUACAAUGAGCUUCAGGAAACCCAGAUUUGAUUUAUGCAGUUUUGGAAGAACAGCUCUUGAAAUGAAUGCAGUUUAUCUCACACGGCCUCGCCCGCACAUGAACAUAGAUGGACCCAAUCGCAUCCCUUUCCCAGAUGCAGUUACCUUCGGUGCCGUCUGGCUCCGCCUGCUCCUCACGCUGCUUCUGCUUGAACUUCAUGUUCCCAUAAUGCAUCACGGCUCCCGUCAGUUUGUAGAUCCCGACUUUCUCCUCUGAGCUGAAGCCCAGGAUGUCAAUGGCAUUCUGGAAAGAAAAAAAGGACAACUGUCAUAGCAGGAAUCAGGGAUCCAUAUGCAGCCUUUUCUUGGCAAAGACCUUACCUCUUUUUUGUAUAGCAUAUGAGACAGCAUUUGCCCAAAUAAGUGGAUGACAGGUGGGGAUGUGGUAAAUUAGAAACCAUUUGUUUCACGUGUUUGUGUGGGUGGGUGAAGACUAUGGGAAAAAGAUGUGAAUUGUCUGUUUCCUUCCAUCAAAUAAGAACUGAUUACAGUCGGGCGCGGUGGCUCACGCCUGUAAUCCCAGCACUUUGAGAGGCCAGGGCAGGCAGAUUACGAGGUCAGGAGUUUGAGACCAUCCUGGCCAACAUGGCGACGCUCCAUCUCUACUAAAAAUACAAAAAAUUAGCCAGGCAUGGUGGCUGGCACCUGUAGUCCCAGCUACUCAGGAUGCUGAGGCAGGAGAAUCACUUGAACCUGGGAGGCGGAGGUUGGAGUGAGCCAAGAUUGUACCAUUGCACUCCAGCCUGGGAGACAGAGUGAGACUCCAUCUCAAAAAAAAAAAAAAAGAGAACUGAUUAUGAUCUUUUCUCACUGUACAUAGAUUUGGGGGAGCAGUUUUCUGGAUGAGGCGAUUGGGAACCAUUGUAUGAUACUGAGAGCUGGGAAUGUCAUGGAGAAUGACUGGGAAAUAAUGUUUAAUGGCUUAAGAGUUUGGCAUUGUAAUCCAGGAGUUCCAGCAUUGUUCAGACUCAAGACAAUAUGCAUUAUGGAAUAUUAGAUCUGGAAGGGAAGAUCAUCAAAGAUGGCAUCAUCAUUUCCCAAAUGAGAAAGGGGCAAGCUUUUGCAGAGCUCUUUCUAUGUGCUAGACAUUGGGUAGGCAUCAUCUGUAUGUUAUUAAAUCCCCAUGAAGCCCCUUUAGCUGUGCAGGUUUUUCCAGAUUUCUGGAUGAAGAAUUGAGGGUCUAGUUGGUAAGUAGCCUGUCAUACAGGGAGGGUGUGAUAAGACUGGGACUGGAGUUAGGUCUUGGUCCCUUCAAAACCUAGGGUCAUUGCUGGUUUGGUUUUAUAAUCAUGUUGCCUGUCUUCCACCACAAAGGUUUCAACAAAAAGAAAUCCUUCUCUGGGGUACACAUAUUGAUUAUGCAGUAGGGUUUGCAGCCUGAGCCUGUAGAGUGUCCAUUGGUAGGAUUGAAACAUGUUUGGACGUGUUUGGUGAGCACGUAGGAUAGACCCAAUAGGCCAACACCAGCAGGAUGAUAUUGGAGAGUCAAGCAUUCUUGGAGUGGCACCCCCUUUAGUGGAGAAUGAGCCUAUGCCAGGAGCUGGGAUAUAUGGGGAGGAGAGAUUCCGAGGCCAUGAUGGCCAUCCCUUGAAUCCAUAUCCCAUUUCAGGGUUGCAUAUCUCUGUCCUAGGGAAGGGUCGUUGUAGGUUAAAAGAGAAAGAACUCUUUCAAAAACACUAAAAGGAGCAGGUGAAAGCGUCACUGCCUGGGGACCCUUUUGGAGAAUGUCAUCUCCAAAGGGGUGCAGGUGGAACCUGGGUAUAUGAUGGGAUGUCACUCCCAUUAUGAAGUUACCAAUCAGUUGACUUUGAGUUCAUAAAAAGGGAGACUAUACCAGGCAGGCUAUAAAAGCUCCGUGAGGCCAGGCGCGGUAGCUCACAUCUGUAAUCCCAGCACUUUGGAAGGCCGAGGUGGGUGGAUCACAAGGCUAGGAGUUCAAGACCAGCCUGGCCAACAUGGGGAAACCCCUUCUCUACUAAAAAUACAAAAAUUAGCCGAGCGUGGUGACAGGUGCCUGUCAUCCCAGCUACUUGGGAGGCUGAGGCAGAGAAUUGCUUGAACCUGGGAGGCAGAAGUUGCAGUGAGCCGAGAUCGCACCACUGCACUCCAGCCUGGGGACAGAGCGAGACUCCAUCUCAAAAAAAACAAAAAACAAAAAACCAAAAAAAGGCUCCGUGAGAGGAAGGAGCAACAGCCGCAUCUGGCAGAAGGCAUCUUGGUGAGGACAUGACUUAGGUAAGGUGACUUUUAGAAUUCCUUAGGUGGGCCUUUCUCAGUGGAUGGGGGCCUUGUAGCAGUCAUUAGCCUGGCCCUUUCUGUGCUUACAAGUUAGUGAAGACUGGGGAAACCUCAUUAAAAAUAUAUAACAACUUAAAUUAAAUUUGGUCUAAAACUGCCUCCAUACAUAGCAAACUAUAACCUAAAUUAGUAUGUAAACAAACUGCAACCUAAGAGUAUAUUCUUGUAACAAAUAGCUGAGUCUCAGCCAGUCACAGCAGCUGAGCUUCAGCCAAUCACAGCAGCUGAGCUUCAGCCAAUCACAGCAGCUGAGUCUCAGCCAAUCACAGCAGCUGAGCUUCAGCCAAUCACAGGCUGCCAAACUGAUGGGCCAUUGUGCAUAUAACACAAAUGCUUCAUCACACCACCUGCAGAUAAGGCAAAGGCAGACCUGUACCUAAUCAAGCUGUUUCUGUAUGUCACUUCCUUUUUCUGCCUAUAAAUACUGCCUGCCAUGUUGCUGGGUGGAGCUCUCUGAGCCUCUCCAGGUGCUGAGUGUGGUCCAACUCAUGAAUCAUUCUUUGCACAAAUAAACUCUGCUAAAUUUAAUUUGUCUCAAAUUUUUCUUUUAACACUAUUAGACCUAAGAUAACAAGUUUAUUUGAUCAUGAAAAUUUUUCUAUUUGUGUUAAAACAAUUAUUAUCAGCUGGAAAUGUCACCAAAUGAAGGCUAAGAAGCUGGUCAUGGGGCAGUGUCUCUAGGAUGAUGGACAAGACCCCUUUUCGCAAGCUCUUGAAGCUUUUGUAUGGGUGGAGCCAACAAGGGUGGAGAUGAAUUGCUCACAGACGGUAUACUUUAAUUAAAAAUGUAAGCUCUGUAGUUAGGCAGACCUGUGUUUAAAUACUCUGUCAUUGGGCCUGGUGCAGUGGCUCAUGCUUGUAAUCCCAGCACUUUGGGAGGCUGAGCUGGGUGGAUCACCAGAGAUCAGGAGUUUGAGACCAGCCUGGCCAACAUGGCGAAACCCCAAUUCUACUAAAAAUACACACACACAAAAUUAGCCAGGCAUGGUGGUGCAUGCCUUGUAGUUCCAGCUACUUGGGAGGCUGAGGCAAGAGAAUCUCUUGAACCCAGGAGGCGGAGGUUGCCGUGAGCUGAGAUCAUGCCAUUGCACUCCAGCCUGGGCGACAGAGCGAGACUCUGUCUGAAAAAAGAAAGAAAAGAAAAGAAGAGAAGAAAGAAGGAGAGAGAGAGGAAGGAAGGAAAGAAGGAAGGAAGGAAGGAAGGAAGGAAGGAAGGAAGGGAAAGACUCUGUCAUUGACGAAUUGUGUCUUCCAGAAAAUUAUAUAUAUUUUAAGAAUCAGCUUCCACAUUUGUAAAAUGGAGACAAUAAUGACAUAAUUUUGAGACUAUAAUGAGACAAUGCAGGUAAAGCCACUUAUCUCAGUGCCUGGCACAUGUAAGUGCUCAAUAUAUUUGGUUAUUAUUGUUAUUAAGAUUAUUAAUCCUACAGGUACUUCCCCAAAAUAAACACCACAGGCCUGACAGGUGUACUGAGGAGCUGAGUGUCUAAGGUGAGCCUAAAGUGAAAGGCAGAAAGAAAAAUGGAGAGGCUAUUACAGAGUGGGCUUGGUUUUCUGCUUUAUACAUUUUUAUAUUUUCUAAAUUUUCUUGAAGAACCAUGUAGAUGGUUUUGCAACAUGAAAACUUUCAACGAAUGUUAGGUUAAAGAUCUUAUAAAUGCAAAAAUGCAUUCCAGUUAAAAUGUUAGAGAACAGAACUGAAGGCCUGCUUUGGUGAACCUUCUGGAUUUCCAUUUUGGAAUGCUGUGAGGUGGAGCUGAGUAGGGAGGGGCCAAUCUGUGCUAAUUCUCUGAGCUCUUGAUCUCUGAGAUCUUGAGUCUAAUCACUUAGUAUCCCUGGAUUUCAGCUUUCCCAUUAGCUCACUAACGUGUCUCUCAGUUCAUAAACUCAAUAAUUCUGUGCAUAAACAGACAAAUAAAUGGCAUGCUUACAUCUGUCGCCAGCAGUUCUUCACUGUCAUCGAUACUGGCUACCGUGACCUCUCCUUGGCUCACGAAGGGGAAGUCGAAGGGGUUGGUGGAGAUCAGAAGCAGGUCUGUGAAACACAGAUAUCCCUUUAAUGGCUUAUGCAUAACUUACUCUGGGUUGUUUUUUUUUUCCCAACGUCACCGAUUUGGAACAUAAGAAAGGUAUUCCAAGAGCUUACCAAUUAGUUCUGGCUUCUUGUUUGACAUAAUUUGGUAGAAAAUAUGAUAGCUUCUCUCACUGGAUAAUUGAAACGUCACUCUGGAUUUUUCUAACAGAUCUAAGGUAACAAAAAUAACGUGAUUUCAGGCUCCCAAGAGAUGCUUUUGUGGCCAAAACACCAACGGAUUUAUAGAGUGUUUGGACUCACAAGUUUCGAUGUCUGCCGAUGCCAGCUUUCCUGUGGCUCCAAAAUGAAUCCGAAUGAACUUCCCCUGUCCAAUAACAGGUGGACAAAUGUUACGGUUAUUUGAUUUAUAUGGUUUUGUGGCUGGCCUUAGAUAGGUGCUGCCACAGAUAAAUUAUAAAUGCAAAAAUGCUAGAGAACAGAACUGAAGGCCUGCUUUGGUGAACCUUCUGGAUUUGCAUUUUGGAAUGCUGUGAGGAGGAGCUGAGUAGGGAGGGGCCAAUCUGUGCUGAUUCUCUGAGCCCUUGAUGUCUGAGAUCUUGAGUCUAAUCACUUAGUAUCCCUGGAUUUCAGUUUUCCCAUUAGCUCACUAACAUGUCUCUCAGUUCAUAAACUCAAUAAUUCUGUCCGUAAACAAACAAAUAAAUGGCAUGCUUACAUCUGUCGCCAACAAUUCUUCACUGUCAUUGAUAUUGGCCACCAUGACCUCUCCUUGGCUCAGAAGGAAGGGAUGCCAGAACAUGGGCACCUCUCCACCGGGUGCCCAGUGCUCCCAAGCUGGGUCAGCAAGGACUCAGGUAGCUCUACCCAAGCACCUGUCCCUGUUCCCACAACUCAGGGGAUGCCCACAGGCUCCUUCUCCAGCUCUCUUCUUGGGACUACUCCAUUCUUGACUGCCUGCCUGGUUUUCAUCCUGUUCUCUUAUACCUGGAUUCUUAAAUCUUCAUAACACCUUUUAAUUGUAACUGGUUGGAUUGUUCUGUCUGACUUUUUUUUUUUUUUUUUUUUUUUUUUUUUUUUUUUUUUUGCUUGUAUCUUAAUAGAUGCUACUUCUGAGAUUUCUUGCCUGAGUUUCACAUAUGGCUGACUACAGACAAAUCUGGCUCAGAGGCCCGGGCUCAGGCUCAGGCCUGGCUCCCUGGCUGCCAAAAGAACAACUCAGGGUCUAGGUGGCCCACUUUCUGGGGAGUGGGAGGUAAAAUUUCAUAUGCGUGUUUGUGUGUAUGCACCUGCUUCAUACAUUAUCUGCUUAAUUGGUCCUCAACGACACUGUGCGCAAAUUUGAGGACAAAAAAUGUUUUCUUGCUUUUUCACCCACAGUGUCUGAAAUGUGGAUGGUACUUAGUACUAGCCUCAAUAUUUUCUGAAUGAACCCCAGGAAAAGUUAGUGAAGGAUCAGUAAAGGCACAUGUGCACUGUAAGUGCUGUGUCUUCAGUAUAUUUAGCGGCUUAACAGAAGACAAUGGAAGUCAUCCCUAGCCUGCAAAUAUUUGGAGGGUGGAAAGAGGACAAAAUAAUUAGAAUGAUUGUGACUUCUGGGUCAGGGCUAAGAGUAGAGGCCCAUGAACUAAGUAAAUGGGAAUGAGAAGAGGGAGUGCCUGAAGGUAUUGUCUUUCACUUUAAGCUGGUGUCAGGCCAGUGCAAUAACUAACUUGGUCCAGGCAUGGGUAACAUACCUCUGCCAUGUAACAUGUGCCCAGAUCUUCCACAAGGAAGAGGAGUUUAUUUGGGCACUGGGGAGGAUACAGGUGCAAACUGGCAGUGCACAGGGUACAAAGAACAUAUCCAAGGAAACAAAAGUCAAGGCUCAGAGCCAUGGUCCUUGAUGGAUUACCUACUUCCUCAUUGAUAACCAUUUUAUCUUUCAGGCGACGAAAUACAAGUUUGAGACUAUCCAACUAUUAAGAUGUGUGAAGUUUUAAUGUACUUUUGCAACCAUAGGCACAAAUGAUGGCUUUGCCUCUGAGUACUUGCUCCACUGGCCAGUGAAAUGAAAUAGAGGGCUGGAUGUGUGUUUAUUUCCGAUGGGAAGUAAAUGUCUUUUUGAUUAAGCCAAACCUAAGUAAAAAGUUGAAGGAUGGCAUAUAUCCUUCAAUAUCUUCAGUAUGAAUCUAUUCCAAUAUUUUUUUCUUUUUUUUGAGACAGAGUUGCCCUCUGUUGCCCAGGCUGGAGUGCAGUGUUGCAACUUCGGCUCCCUGCAACCUCCACCUCCCGGGUUCAAGCGAUUCUCCUGCCUCAGCCUCCCAAGUAGCUGGGAUUACAGGCAUGUGCCACCAUGCCCAGCUAAUUUUUUGUAUUUUUAGUAGAGAUGGGGUUUCGUCAUGCUGGUCAGGCUCGUCUCAAACUCCUGGUCUCAAGUGAUCCGCCCCCCUCAGCCUCCCAAAGUGCUGGGAUUACAGGCGUGAGCCACCGCGCCCAGACUAUUUCAAAUUUUUGAGCUCUUCUGCCUUCACUAGGUUUUCCCUGCUCCCAGUCCCUACUGAGUUGGAAGAGGUCAAAUCUGCUAACUUAAUUCACACUAAGGUUUCCGUGGCUAGACCAAUAGAUAUGGCUUAAUGGACGUUAACAUUUUAAAAUGUUUCCACACAGAGAGACCCAUUUUAGCAUAAAGUUGAUCUCUAAUUGUGGGAUUUGAAUCAUGUGAGUGACUUCAGGAUGCUGUGAGGUGACAUUGCCUAGUUAGGGUAGGACGGCAAAUCCUCCCUCUGCCAGGACCAAGCCAACACCUUCCUCAAAGUGUAUCACAAUAUUCCAGGUGGGUAGAUUGAUCUCAAUCACUUGGGGGUAGAAAAAGGCCCCCAUAUAUUCCAGUUUAUGGGGCAGUUUUUCAUAUCCAGCAUUUCAGGAGAGGGUAUGCUUUUGGGAGGAUACUUGAAAAUUGGGCCGGAUCUUACAAAUCUUGAGGAGUUGUCAUUCCUCACAGUCUUGGCAUUUCCAAAGGCCUCCAGCAGUGGGUUGGCCUGGAUGAUCUGAUCCUCUAGGGUUCCCUAAUAAUAAACAAGAAGAGGAAAAAGAGGACUUUGGAUGGUUUUCUAAAGUAGCCCCUUGAUGACUAAAACGGUGGGUACUCUGGGCAGGUUCAGGUAGAGAUGUCGACCAGCUCCACCUGGUGGUCAGUGCAGCACCCACGCCCCCACCCCCACCAGACCUGAGGCGUCUUCAAGGUACCAUCUUAGACAGGUUCUUAUUAGCAUAGCAUUGAAGUGACUUCUGGUCAUGCCAGGUUCUAGGCAGGAAUAUUACUCCCUCCAUCAGAACAUCCAGACUGCCUUUCUGAUAACAUUUCAUUAUAAAUCAUGGAUUUUUAUAACAUGCACCUCUGUUAUUGCAUGUAAUAUGACCCACCUAAUAUAGAUAUUUGUCUUCAGAAGGAGAAAUAGAAUGUGAGCAAAGCAAGCGACCCAGGGGAUGAUACAAUAACAACAGUGGUUCUCAAAAAGGUUUUUUAUGUAGCAAAAACUUAUGAGAAUGAUUAUUCAGAAAUCCACUACAGAAAGCAGAGUUUUCACCUUCACCUCCAUGACUGCUUUAUCCUUCUGGGUCCAGAGCAAUUUAGAAACUACUGUCAAACCUAGUGGUUCUCAAAGUGUGGUCCCUGGACCAGCAGCAUGAACACUACCUGGGAAUAUAUGAGAAAUGCCAGGUAUGGUAGUUCACACUCGUAAUUAGCACUUUGGAAGGCUGAGGCAGGAGGAUUACUUGAGGCCAACGGUCUGAUACCAGCCUAGGAAAGAUAGUGAGACUCCAUCUCUACAAAAAAUUAAAAAAAAACUAGCCAGGCAUGGUGGUUCCUGUAGUCUUAGCUACUUGGAAGGCUGAAGGAUGAUCGCUUGAGCCCAGGAGUUUGAAGUCACAGUGAGCUAUGAUGGUGUGCCACUGUACUCCAGCCUGGGUGACAGAGUGAGACCCUGUCUCUCCAAAAUAAAAAGGAAAAAAAGAUGCAAACUAUGAGGUCCCACCCUAGAUCUACACAAUCAGGAAUUCUGGGCCUGGGUUCUGCCGCCCUUUGUUAAGAAUCUCUCCUGUUGAUUCUGAUGUGUACUCCAGUUUGAAAACCACUGGUGUAAACAUUCCUUCUCCAGAGGAGGAUGUGGAGUUGGUCAAGGUCCCUCAACUGUAGGUGAUGGAGCUGGUGCUAGAACUCAAGUCCAUUCUGGUGGAACCACUUCCUGCUUUGCUCCAUGUGAUACUGUGAUGUAAUAGGAAUGGUAUAUUUUGGUCUUUUUCCAGUUUCCUGGUACGCAGCUCCUAAAACCCUUGGAAUAUCUGAAGUGAUAAAUGUCUUUUUGUGUGCUAAUGAGAUGAUUGGUGGCUUCGGGGUCCUGGACAGCUCAGGAUGGGGGCUGGCUGCCAGGGAACCAACCGCGUGAUUAGAGAGUUGGAACUUUCAGCCCUAUUCCUGACCCCUGGGAAGGAAAGAAGGGCUGGAGGUUGAGUCAAUCAUCAAUGGCCAGUGAUUUAAUUAAUCAUGCUCAUGUAAUGCAACCUCUAUAAAAACCCUACACAGAAGGCUUCAGAGAGGUUCCAGGUUGAUGAACACCUAGAGGUACUGGGAGGAUGUCACCUGCAGAGACCCUGCCCCUCCCCCAUACCUUGCCCUAGACAUCUUUUCCACUUGGCUUUUCCUCUGCAUCCUUUGUAACAGCCUUUAUAACAAACUGGCAAAUGUAAGCAAAGUGUUUCUCUGAGUUCUGUGAAGCACUCUAGGUAAUUACCAAACCUGAGACGGGGGUCGUGAGCUCCUCCCAAUUAAUAGCUGCUUGCUUAGAAGUUCAGGAGGCCCGGACUGGUCCCUGGUAUCCAAAGUGGGGUCAGUUUUGCAGGACUGAGCCCUUAACUUGUGUGAUUUGAUGCUUUCUCUAGGUAGUUAGUAUCAGAAUUGAAUUGAAUUGUAGGACACCCAGUUGGUGUCUGCAGAGAAUUAGAGAAUUGUUUGGCAUGGAAAAACCCCAUACAUUUGAUGGCAGACACGUUCUGUGUGAGGAUACAGAGAGGAAAGAAAGAAUUUUUCCUAUUUGCCGUUUCUACUGAGCGCAUACCCUGCAUACACUUGGUGCUCAUCCACGCUUUAAAGUAUACUUAUUCCAGUAAGCCUCCGGAUGCAGGUGGGGCUGCUCACCUGCAUUUUGCCUGGCUGUGUCUCCUUCUUCUUGUCCCCGGUAACUGCAAUUGUUGCAAAAUACUGGAUGACACGCUUGGUGUUCACAGUCUUCCCAGCCCCGGAUUCUCCGCUGCCAAUUUAAAAGUAAACGGGAUAAAGGAGAGUGGAAGGGAGGGCACUGGUUUCCAAGUCAUGAUGGUACAAAGAGGUGUUACUCACGUGAUGAGGAUAGACUGGUUGUCUCGAUCUAGAAAUGCAGAGGGAAGCAAAACAAAACAAAUAAACAACAAACAGAAUGUUAAAAUAAAGUAACAUUGGGGGUGGUUGGAGAACAUAGGCUCUAGUUAAUGUCUUUGCCAUUAACCACUGGUAUGAUUUGGGCAUGUCUAAUCUUCUUUGGGACAAUUUAGGCAGAUUUCUCAAAUGUGGGAUGUGCAACAUGACCAGCCUGGGAGGUGAAUGAUUCUCUACUCACUGUAGUGAAUCCCACAGUGUAGAAGUUACUCAUGUUUAUAGAUCUUUAACUCCCUGCUAGUCCUUUCCCAUCGCCCUUUUCCAUAAAGAAAGCAAGUGUCAGGUUCAGAGCUUGUGGGGCCACAGCUUUUCAUCAGCAUUUAUAGAUGCUGGUUGGUUUCAUUGCAUUUUUCUUUUACCUUUACCUUCUACUUGUGAAAAGUGAUACUGGUUUUUCAUUUACAAUAGAGCAUGGAUUGAACUGUGUCCUCCUAAAAUUCACAUAUUGAAUUUCUAACCCCUAGUACCUCAGAAUAUGACCUUAUUUGGAAAUAAGAUGUAAACAAGAUGCAGGGGUAAUUACUCAAGAUGAGGUCAUGCUGGAGUAGGGCAAGCCCCUGAUCUAAUAUGACUGGUAUCCUUAUAAACAGAAGAAAUUUGGAGACACACAAGCACAUGGGGAGAAUGCCAUAUGAAGAUUAAGGCAGGGAUCAGGGUGAUGCUUCUACAAAUAAAAAACAACAAAGAUUUCUGCUAGCAAACCAUAGAAGCUAGGAGAGAGAGACAUGGGCCAGAUUCUCUCUCAGCGUCCUCAGACUAACCAAUCCUGAUGACACCUUGACUUCGGACUUCAAUCCUCUAGAACUGUGGGAAAGUACAUUUCUAUUGUGUAAGCCCCCCAGUCUGUGAUACUGGAGCAGCCAUAGCAAACUAAUAGAAAUUGUGGUAUUAGUCUUCCCUUUAAAAUUAAUGUAACAUGAACUAAUUUCAAGAAAAAUAUUAAGUUUGCAGACAUGGCAAGGAUUGUGAUUGUGAGACAGAAAUGACAGAAGUUUGGACACCAUUGCAUUAGAUGAUUUUUAAGCAUCUACAGGUCUCAGAUUCAGAUGCUAGACUCUUUUUUUUUUUUUUUUGAGACGGAGUUUUGCUCUUUUUGCCCAGGCUGAAGUGCAGUGGCGAGAUCUCAGCUCACCGCAACCUCCUCCUCCCAGGUGCAAGCAAUUGUCCUGCCUCAGCCUCCUGAGUAGCUGGGAUUACAGGCACCCACUACCAUGACUGGCUAAUUUUUUUGUAUUUUUACUAGAGAGAGGGUUUCAUCAUGUUGGCCAGGCUGGCCCCGAACUCCUGACCUCAGGUGAUCCACCUGCCUCGGCCUCCCAAAGUGCUGGGAUUACAGGUGUGAGCCACCGCACCCAGCCUUGCUUCUACUUCUAGCAUCUGUUCCAAGUCAAGUCAGGUGAAGGUUGAACAGACAGACUUGAUAUUAGGCAUCAUGGCAUGACAGUGUUACCAUGUCCUUACUCCCCAGGUCAUUCUGGAAAUUAAAGGAGGUGAAGGGGAGCCUGAGUUUGGGGAAGAACGCAGGAACACUGCUUUACCCAUUUCUCCAACGUAGCAUUCCCUGAGUGGCUACUGAUAUGGUUUCUCUUCAAAGUACACCUGGAUUGGGGGUUCCCUGGGGACAAAGGUAGGGCAUCUCCUUGUGUUCCACAUUCUCCCAAAUAAGCAAGAGCUCAGUGUAGCUUCAGCCAUAAUCACAGGCCUUGUCAUGCACUGUGACUGGCAAUGGAAGAUGUUGUACCCUUUGCUUUUCAUCCCCAAAUCAUCUGACUCUCCGAAGAUCCUUUGAUUAUUGCACCAUUCAGAUGGCCAACGCCCAUCAAAAGCUUGAAAAAUUAACUAAGGAUGGCUUCAAAAAAUAUGAAUCAAAGAAAUUACUCACCAGUCAGCAUGAACUGAUAGGCAUUGUCAGAGAUGGAGAAGAUGUGGGGCGGGGCCUCCUGGCGCUUUUUGCCUCUGUAGGCAGCCACCACCUCGGGCUUGUACACCGGCAGCCACUUGUAGGGGUUGACGGUGACACAGAAGAGGCCUGAGUAGGUCUGGGAAGAUCAGAACAUUUAUCAUUUGGAUCUCGUUUUUACUCAGAGAGAGACAUGAAAUAAAAAGGUGUUUACAGACACUCACGUAGAUCAUCCAGGCUGCAUAGCGCUCUUUGAGGUUGUACAGAACAGCAGGUUCAUGCAGGUGAGUCAUCAUGGCCAUGUCCUCGAUCUUGUCAAAUUUGGGAGGGUUCAUGGGGAAGACCUGGUCAUUGUUCAGAGUGAGCAUCUGGGUAUUGAGAGGAAAAGCAGGUAAUAAAUUGGUGAGCCAAGUGCCCACAUUGCACUUUACUGGUGUGGUGGAAGUAGUGAGAUAUUGUGGAGGAAUUACCGCAUUGUGAUGGAUAAUUUCAUGGAUCAUUUCCAUGCCCCAACAUGAUCCAUAAAUAACAGUUCUUGAAGAAUCUGAUUCUGGUCAAACUAUGUAACCAAUUCUGGUCUGAUGCCCCUCAGUCAUCCUGCUGUCGUGUGUACCAGGAGUGGGUUACAGGUGUGCAGAGCUUUGGAGCCCUUUGCCUCUGUUUACCCUAUUUGUUGUGAGUGCUGUGAUGAGACAAAGGUUGGAAGGUUACAAAGAACUGCUCCAAAGUGUUCUGUGUUUUUCCACCUCAAAAUCUCUGCUCAUGAGGUUUCCUUCAGCUGGAAUGUCUUCAUGAAAAUUUUGUUUAGAAACCUUCAAAGCUCAGCUCUAGCACCAACUCUUCCACGACCCAUCUCCUCUCUCCCCUAUUGCUUCAAGGCUCCCAUAAUUAUUUGUACCUCUGCUCUAAUAGUUCAGACAUUUGGGGGUGCAUCAUGGUUCUUUGCUGAAUAUUUUCAGAAUAUUAUUUAAUUUUUUUUCCCUCUGUUUUUUUCCCACCUCUCUCCCCCAUUCAAGCUGGCUCUGCACUCCAUGGCUCAGGAGAGACAGAAAAUAGGGCAAGAACAGCUACUAGGGAGGCUGAGGCAGGAGAAUGGCGUGAAUCCGGGAGGCGGAGCUUGCAGUGAGCCGAGAUCACGCCACUGCACUCCAGCCUGGGCGACACAGUGAGACUCCGUCUCAAAAAAAAAAAAAAAAAAAAAUAGGGCAAGAAAAGAAAAAGAGCUUGUAAUACUUCCUGGAUUUUGUUUUCCAAAAACCUAAGUCCUUAGGAAAACUUUGAGGGUUUCACAGAAAAGAUAAAAGGAAGGAGUUUUGCUGGUAUAGACCAAAUUUUUUGAGGAAGGAAAGGCCUUCCACUCCACCACCCAAGACUAGAAAAAGAGAAACAGACACCCAAGGUAGCCAAAGGGGAGGUAGAAAAGUCUAUGUAUCCUGAAUCUUUAAGGACUGGGACUUGUUUCUGAAUAAAUCCUCCAGGGAGGCUGUGAGUCCCCCGUGUAGUGCUGUGUAAGGUUCUGAAAAUGUGACAUAUUCCUGAGGCGGUGGUGAGGGCACCCCAAGAGUGACUGAACACAUUUUUCCCCAGCCCACUGAAAAAGGACUGGAAUUAGAGGUUAAGUUUAAUAACAAAAAAUAAAAGCAAGGUCUCUCUCAUAUGCCUGAGUUUGUGAAAUGAGAUUCAUACCUGCCAUAUACAUCUUUGGGAAACUUUGGGAAAGCAGGUGCAGAGGUAUGCUUAUAUUUGCAAAGCGAUCAAUGCUAUGACCUAGACCUGGUAGAUGUCCGGUAAGUACUGAAUGGUACAUGAUAAUUCUCCACAUUAAGUGAGUCAAUGGCUCCUGAGCUUCCUCUGUAGCAGCCACUCUGCAGCCCAGAGAGGUAUAAUUGGUCGGCCCAUCCAGUAUCAGCCUCUUCCUUAAAUAGACCAACCUUUUCUGCCCUCACCUGCUGCUUUCCUCUAAAGCAAACACCACAAAACCCCUCAAAGCCCAAGUCCUUGGAGAAGGAAAGAGGCAAGAGUGAAGGUGCAUGUAAUAGCAGCUUUCAUCUGCUACUUCACCGCAGAACAGAUAAACUAAGUUUUGUUCUGUCUUCAGAUUCCGAAGGACCAGCAUGCAAUUUCUAAUAUUCUACUCCAAAGAAAAAUGAGCAUGCCCAUAUUAUCAAAGACAUCUGUAAUCAACACUCACCCGGUCAUCGAGGGUCUUGACUAUGACUUUGUCAUUUUCCCUAGUCUGGAUCAUGCCUUUCACAUACAUUUCCUUAUUAUCCGCUACAAAGCAGGCUUUCUUGGAAUCGAAUGGACGAUUUUGAGCCUCGAUUCUCUCCUUCUCUGGUUUCCGGAGGUAGGGAGCUGCUUCUCCAAAAAUGGCCAUUUCUGCGUCAGAGCUCAUGACUGCAGAGGGCUGGGAAGACCAGAGGGACUGCUGAGUCUUGUGCUUGGGUGACUGCUGAAGCUGCAGGGCCCCUACCCUUAUUCUAUUAAAACGGGGCCAGAUUCAAAGGCUCCUAGAUUGAACAUAGGUCCUGAGGGAUCUAUGGCCAGGUCUAGGAGCUUAAAGUGUGCAAGUGGGAAUAAGCUAAAGGGGAUAUUUUAUUCUAACAAAAAAGUAUGAAGGUUUUUUUUUUUAUCCUCUGAGUGUCGAUUUUGGGAAUAUUUUAGUUCAGUCCCAUGUGUGCAUGUCUGAAUCAAUUAGAGCCAUGGUGAACUCAAUAAAAGAGGCUUCAGGAAGCACUUUCUUUCUUUCUUUCUUUUGAGACAGAGUUUUGCUCCUGUCACCCAGGCUGGAGUGCAAUGGCUCGAUCUCGGCUCUGCAACCUCCGCCUCCCAGGUUCAAGCGAUUCUCCUCCCUCCCCUCCUGAGUAGCUGGGAUCACAGGUGCCCACCACCACACCCAGCUAUUUUUUUUAUAUUUUUAGUAGAGAGAGGGUUUAACCAUGUUGGCCAGGCUGGUCUUGAACUCCUGACCUCAGGUAAUCUGCCCGCCUUGACCUCCCAAAGUGCUGGGAUUACAGGCGUGAGCCACCGCCUCCAUCCUAGGAAGCACUUUCUAAAUCGCUCAUCGUGUUUGAGCCUGUGAUCUCAGUGUCAGUUUAAAAUCUUAAGAAUAUUUGAAAAUCGUCACUGGAAUGCUGAUAAUUCUUAAUAGACAUUUUGGUUAGCCCCGUGAAAAGUGAAUGACUUGAACAUGAAGAUUUGUCACAUUUGUUUAAAUAACAAGAUGAUGGGAGGCAAAAUGGCCCAGGGCAAUGGUCCCAAACUUUAACAUGCCAGAAUCCCCUUGAGGGGUUGUUAAAGCACAGAUUACGGGCCCUAUCCCCAUGGUUUCUGAUUCAGUAGGCCUGAAGUGGGGCCCAAAAAUGGGCAUUUCUAGCAAGUUCCCAGGUGAUGCAGAUGCUGCUGAUCCAGGGACCACACUGAGGAUGGCUGGCAUAGUGCCUUCCUGUUCCCAGGGUGGUCCUUGAAAUGCAGCAGCUUCAUGCAGGACUUCAUUAAGAAAUGCAGAAUCUCAGACCCACCCAAGAUAAUGGGAUCAGCACCUGCUUUUUAACAAGAUCCCCAGGUAAUUUCUAUGCAUAGGAGAUGGGGAAGUACUGGGCCUCUAAACUCUAAACGCGGUCUCUAAACUUUGUGCGUGGCGGUGUCAGGGUGUGACAAAUAUUGUUUAGUUAGAUUAAUACCCACCUUAGAACUUGCUGCAUGGUGUGUGUGUGUGUGUGUGUGUGUGUGUGUGUGUGUGUGUGUGUGUAUGGGGCUGUGUGUGUGUAGGGGGUAUUGGUCUCUCUCAUCCCUUGUAUCACUUUCUCCUAAACUAUCUCCCUUUGCUGCCUUUCUUGCUCUUCUCUUUAUGUAUUUUUUCCUUCUUUUAUGUAAUGUAUUGUCCCUGCUUAGAAUGCAGAAAAUUCAUCUUAAAGUCCUAGCACUGAUCAAACCACUUAAGCUCUCUGGUCCACAGCCUCUUCCCACUUAUAAGGGAGAAGCCAGCCUCACUCCUGUCUAAGGUUCCCGUAAGUCCUGUGUGGACUGUUCCUCUUCUCAGAAUUUGCUUCUCUCAUUCCCCCUCGGCACCUCUUCCCUCUACUCCACUACCUAUUUUCCUCAAGUCUCUUUCCUCUUUCCUUCCCUUCUCUCCUCUUUUCCUUCCCACUUAAUUCUAUAACUGACAUAAAAUGGAGUCAAGUCAUACACACACACACGCACACCCACACAUAUCUCUCCAUAUCUCUCUUAAGAAAUAAAUCUGUUUUUUUUUUUUUUUUUGAGAUGGAGUCUUGCUCUGUCUCCCAGGCUGGAGUGUAAUGGCACAAUCUCGGUUCACUGCAACCUCCACCUCCCGGGUUCGAGCAAUUCUCCUGCCUCAGUCUCUUGAGUAGUUGGGAUUACAGGCGCCCACCACCACACCCGGCUAAUUUUUGUAUUCUUAGUAGAGAUGGGGUUUUGCCAUGUUAGUCAGGCUGGUCUUGAACUCCUGACCUCAGGUGAUCCGCCCACCUUGGCCUCCCAAAGUGCUGGGAUUACAGGUGUAAGCCUCCAUGCCCCGCCUGAAAUACGUCAUAUUUUUUGAAUAAGGUCUUUUAUGUCCUCUUUUUAUAGUGGGAAAGUUGAACAUGUUAUAGUUCUCUCCCCCAUCUUAGCCUUUAUGAAAUUGCUCUCUUUAUUGGUAACUGGCCAUUGUUGAAAUAUCCUUUCCUGUGAUUCUGUGGGGUUCUGUCUUACAGAAAGAAAAGCAUCCACUUCCCAUGGGGCCUUAUUCAGAUAAGUUGCAUUUUAGUUAUACUUUGUUCAGUGGCUCUGCUGAACCAUCUGUGGGUUCAUGGUUAGGUUUUCAUAGUAAGGGACUGGAAUUCAAAUGCAGCACCCACAAAUAAGACUCUUGGCCUGCAGCCAUCAUGCUGGUUUAGAGUCUCUCAGUUACCACCUGGAGGAUGAGAAAGAAUUCAUCCACAUGGCUUUCUUCUCUCAUUUCUUUGAAGAUAGUCCCUAAUGUAAUGGCUUAGGUGGAUUUCGCUACAGCAGCGGUUCUCAAACUUUGUGGUUUCAGGACGCCUUCGCACUCUUAAAACUAAAUGACUGAAAGCCCCAUAAGAUUUGGUUUAUGUAAGUCAUAUCUAUUGAUAUUUACCAUAUUGAAAAUUAAAAUUGAGAAAUUAAAAAAUAUUUAUUCAUUAACUAAAAAUUACUGUCAAAUUCAUUACAUUAACAUAAACAUUUUAUUUUAUUAUUUUAUUGAGAUGGAGUCUCAAUGUGUCAUCCAGGCUAGAGUAUAGUGGCGCAAUCUCAGCUCACUGCAACCUCCACCUCCCGGGUUCAAGUGAUUCUCCUGCCUCAGCCUCCUGAGUAGCUGGGAUUAUAGGUGCCCACCACCAUGCCCAGCUAAUUUUUGUAUUUUUAGUACAGACGGGUUUUCACCAUGUUGGCCAGGCUGGUCUUGAACUCCUGACCUCAAGUGAUCCUCCCGCCUCAGCUUCCCAAAGUGCUGGGAUUAAAGGCAUGAGCCACCGUGCCUGGCCAACAUAAAUAUUUUAAUAAAAAUUACCAUAUUUUCCAAAACAAAAAGACUAGUGAGAAGGGUAGUGUUUUCAUUUUUUGCAAAUCUCUUUAAUGUCUCCUUAAUGGAAGACUGUUGGAUUCUCAUAUCUGCUUCUGUAUUCAUGCCAUUGCUGUAUGUUUGGUGAAAGUAAAUAUAAAAUAUUUAGCUAUGUAAUUCAGAAAAGGAAAGAGUAUUUUAGUCACCUUUUCAAAUAAUUGUGAAUUUUCUUCUCAGAUACUCUACCAAAACUUGACAAGUGGUAGUUUCUUAAAGGCUAGUUGCAAUGCGGAAUCUGAAGCCAUAUCAAUAAACAUUUUGUACUCUGUUACAUUAUAAUCCACUAGUCUGUCUUGCAUUUUGAGUGGAUCUUCUUUUCCCAUAUGUGAAUUUCAUACAGUGGUUGUUUGGAAAAUACUGGUUCACUGAAUUAUAUAGUACUUCCAAAUGUGGACACAUUUUCUUACACAAUAUUAAAAAAAUUACAAUCAUCAAUAUCACCAGUGUGAUAUCAUUUGAAAAUUCUUUCAGUACUAGGAAGUUGUCAAGCUAAUGGUGGCAAAUACAUGUUUUCCUGUAUGCAUUCUCAUUUAUACUUGAAGGCUCAAAGUUGUGAUUUAUAACAAAUGCUGUCAGUUUUUUCCUCGAGACGACAACCACAUUGUUCCUUUUGGAGAACAUGUUUGCCAAAUAUCCAAGUCUGAAUAACCAUAGCUUGUCUGCUAGUUGGUCUUUUAAAUAAAAAUGGUGCUUUAUGAAUAAAAUGGCCAGUUCAGCUUGCAACUCACACAAAUGCACAUGUGCUUUUCCAGGAGACAACCAUCAAACUUUGGUGGACUUCCCAUUUCAUCACAUAAAAUUGUUAAUGAAACUUUUUAGUGCAAGUGUAUGGUAGUGAAGAAUACAGUAAUUACUAAUACAGUUUGGUGCGGUGCCUUGAUUUGUAAUAAGGUACCAGCCAUUUAUUCAUCCUUGCUUUUGCAUCACUCAUGCAGUGAAAAUGGCAAAUAACAGCUGGGUAUUAUUGUGAAAGAGUUUUAGCCUCAAGUGCCUCCUAAAAAGUUCUUGGGACUCUACAAGAACCCACAGACCACACUUUGAGAAUGGCUGCCCUAUUGCAUAAGGGAAUCCUGACUGGUUACAGGUUUACGACCUUAUAAUAUGUAGCUUGACUUAGCGUUAAGCAUGAUACCCAAAAGUGUUGGAAGAUGAUUUACUUCAAAACCCUCUGCAACAUAAUCUCUAUGGCUGGGACCAGGGAAUCUGAUUUUUUGAUAAGGUCCUCAGAGAGAUGUUUGGGAACUACUGAUUUAAAGCAUUACUUUGCUUGUAUGAAACUACUCUGUUUUUCUAAAGCCAAAACCAUGGCACAGUCUCAUUGCUUGUACACAAAAUAAUUUUAGGCAAAUAUUUCUUAAUUUAAUAUUUGUAUGCUUAUUUUAAAGCCUAUUACCUUAUUUUAUCAAAAUUUGCCAUCAAUUAUAACUUCCACAAAUAAAAAAAUGCAGCUAAUUUAAACUGCAAUGCUUCUUUCAUAGAUUGUAAUAUGCAUCCUCAUUUCAGGGAUAAAUUUGUAAAAAAUAUAAAAAAAUCAGAAUUGAUGGAAAUAGGGUAAUAUUUGUUUAACACUUAGGAAGCGUGCUACAUCCAUGUAUUCUAUGAUAUAAAUCAGUGUUUGUCAAACUUAAAUGGGCAUAUGAAUCCUACUGUGAAUAUUCACUAGGUCUGGAGUUGGGUUUGAGCUUUUAAAUAUCUUACAAAUUUCUCAGCUAAUGCUGAUACAGCAAGAAUAUAAGGUAACUUUAAAAACAAAUAAGAAAAGAAAAUGAAUCAAUGUAAAUACAAAUAUUAAGUAAAUUGACAGUAUUGGUGUUAACAUGGCUAUUGCAAAACUUGUGAUGGCAAUAGGAGAAUAAAGUCUGAAGUCAGGGAAAGGCUGCCAUAGCUGAUAGUUGAGCCAUAUUUUUAGUCCUCCUGGAAAAACAAGGCUUUUCCCUGUGGGCCUCACUGACAGUUUUCAAGUAGAGAUUUUUUCUCCCUUCAUUUACUCUAACCGUGACUCAGAACCCAGUAUCUCCUAGUAGUAUUACCUAGAUGAUGUUUGAGUUAUCCCUCCAUAUUCCUGCAAUGGUGCAUCUAACCUAGUUGGAUACUUUUAGGCACAACUCUUUUCCCUUUGAUAGGCCAAAGAUUCUUCUUGCUUUAAAUUAAAAUCUGGCUCUCCAUUUGUUCUCCAUUUGAACAGCAGAAAGAGUUCAAACCUUCCUACGUGACAACUCUUCACCCUUUUGAUGGCUGUUCUGUGUUCUGCUUAGCUUUAUCUUCUCCAUGCUAAAUAGCCUCAACUUCCACUGGUUCUUCUAUGAUGUGCUUUUGAAUCCCUUACCAUCUCAGUCACUCUUCCCUGAACCCACUCCUGUUAAUCUUUUAAAGUGUGAUAUCCAAACCACAUGUCACCCUCCACUGGAGUGUGCCCUCACCUCUCUUGACCUAGGUGUCAUGCUUGAGGUGGUGAUUGCCUGUUGGCAGCCACGUCUCACACUGCUGACGCACCACUCCGUGUCGAGCAAAGCCCCUCAAUCCUCUCCGUGCAUGCAGUUGCUAAGUCAGAUCUUCUCCCUAUAUUUGUGCAACUGUGAGUUGGGACCCAGGGGAAGACCAUUCAUUUUUGACUGAUAAACUUCACCUUGUUAGAUCUGACCCAAGUCUCUAGGCAUGACUCAUGCUGCCCACUGAGCACCACCCUCUAGAGUUUCCUUAAUUAGCCUCUUCUCUGUUCCAAGAGCAGGACCUGCUUCCAACGUUGCAUAGCUGUGCCCCUUCAACCACUCUGUUCCUGUCUUUAAGGGCCUUCUAAUUGAGAUGACUACCCCCGCCUGCCUAAUCUCCAUCACCCACUUGUGAGGGCUCCUCUCUCUCUGUUUACCCUCUGUGUACCAUGACACUACUCUCAACUUUCAUCCCUCUCCUGGGAAUUUCACCGCUACUGUGUCUUGUCAGCAAUGAUGUGCUCAUGAUUCAAUGACAGCUUGGCUUUUUUGGUCCCAAUUCAUCUAGAACUACCUCUAAUAAACACACGUUUUAAGGGGAUAGGGUUUUUAUUACCGCACCGGGCAUAGGAUUGAACGGAUCCCUCCCCAUUCCUUCAGUAUUACACGUGAGGGAAGGUGCAGCUGUGUGGAUUCAUGGGUGCAGACUCUGCUCAAGGAGCAGCAAAGUUAGCCUUUGUGUGAAGACUGCAUUUGGACCCUAUGAACAUCAUGUUCUGUGCCAACUAAGUACUGUGUAUUGACUUGGAGCUUGUAUGUCAAAAUUCUGCAUUAUAUUUCGUACAUUUCAGUGUAAUGAGCAAAUAGGAGAAGCCAUUCUUCCUUUGGUAAAACCUGUAUAUAUUUUAAAAUCUACCUUUAAGAAUAGUUAAGUUAUUGGUUUCAAACUCAUCAAUUUCGUCUUCUUAUGAGUGUGGCAAGAAUGAGAACGUGUAAAAUGAUGUUUGCUAAUUUCAAUGAUUGCAUUCAUGAUCAAGCUGAAAAUAACCCUUACCUUCUUGGUUCCCAAGUGACAGUCAGUGUCCUUCAGGAAUAAAGCGUCUUCCUGGGGAUAAUUUGAGAAAAAAAAACAAACCAAAAAAACCCAAAUGAGCUACAAAGAGUUUAAAUAAAUAUAGAAACCAUGUUUGUUCCAGUUUAUCUACCUUAAAUAGAUACACAGUAGAUGGUGUGGAAUGAAAUAAAUUUGCUGUUUUGAAUUUUUACUUUUGAUUAAAAUCAUUAUUCUUUAAAUAGUUGGUUAAUUACAACAUUUAAUUAAUACUCUCUUGAGAAACUUCUGUGUGUACAAUGUACUGUGUCAGCUCCUUAAGGGGGUAUGAAGAGGAAAGUACAGUAUCUGCCCUAUAGGAAUGCAAAAGUUAGUAAGGGAUAAGAGAAUGCUCAAGUAAGUCUUUGAACAGGAUUAAGACAAAUUUUUAAGGAGUCUAAACAAAGUACUAUGGGAACUUAGAGAAACCGCUUCUGACUGGGGGGCUGUGAGGGGUCAGGGAAGAAAGAAAGUAGGGAGGGGAAUGCUCCAGAUUGCAGCUUGGAUGCUUAGGGGCAGUCACCUUUUUUUGGCAAUAGGAGAAAAGUUAUAAAUUGUGGACAAAGACUUCUUUAUUCUCUUCAAUGCUCUAAAUUCCUCCUGCAGAUGAUGAAGGUAGGGCAGCUGAAAAGUCACCUGGGACUAAGGAAUCUCAGCUCUAGGAGUUUAUAAACUACGUGGCUAUCUCAAGGAGGCAUGAGUGUCUGAAAAAUUUUCAAUAUCAAAUGUAAUCUAAGCAAACUUCCCAAUUACCAUUCAGUGCUUUUAUGGAGCCAGGGGAAUAUUUCAUGAAGCCCUAUUUAGGCAGGAACAGACACUUAGGAUUUGGUUUACUAUCCUUGUUGCCUCCUUCCUUCUCCGUCUUUAAUGCAUCUUAAAUAAUCUCCAGUUAUAUCCUAAAAUUCUCACAAUUUCUUAAAAAAUUAAAGUAUUACAUACUAUAUUCUGAAUCCUCAAUUUAAAAAAAUAUGGAGGCAGAGCUACAGAAAUUCUAAUAUCAGUUCUGUUAAGUAGCUGGUAUGAUUUCUUUGGGUUUCUGUUUCCUUCCGUAAAAUGAAUCAGAUGCACCAGAAAAUCUCCAAGAUUCCUUUCAGCCCUAUGAGUCUAUAACAGACAGUUCUCCGUAGAGAUGGUGGCCUGAAUUCAAAGUAUCACAAAUCUCUGAGGGAUGCUAUUGCACUGUCAGACACAGUCCAGUCCCAAGUCCAUAAAAUAUGCCAUGUGAGAACAGUCUGCAAACCAGUCAAUUCAUAUCAGACUAUGACACUUUGUAAGAUGGGUAAGAUGCUUGGGAUUAUUUCCUCCCACAACCAUUUUUCAGAAAUCCUGACAUGGGAAACAAAUUAAAUAAACAUAAAAAUUUCAAAUAAUAGCUUAAGCAAUCACAGAAGAGAUACCACAAGUUACCAAGUUAAUUUGCUAACUGAACAGUAUAACAUUGACCUAAAUAAUCAGAGGAGGAAUCAUGCAUUAUACUCAGUUUUGUUCUGCAGGUGAAUAUUUUUUGUCUUAUAAUUGCUUAUAUUCUUGUCUUUUCACCCCUUGUAAAAGUUUCUUGAAAGGCAGUUGUCUUGUCUUUCCAUCUUGUCUCCAACCUUGCCCUCAACACAAGACCUUGCACUUAGUAGGCCCUCCGUAAAGGCUACUUUAUUGUCUUCCCCCCUUGACUGGUAACCUGAUCAGGUGCAACUAUAGCUACGUGGAGCAAAAAAGUGAGCACUUGUGAGCACUUACCUAGAGAUGCUGCGGUCACAGCAAUUUCAGGAGUGUGACCCCCCAGCUCUCUUUAUACUCCCAAAUCUGCCAGCCCAGCACUCUAACUUGGCUAUAUUUGGGGGAGCACCAUUUACUUGUUAGAUGUAAAUGCGUCGUAGCCCUGAUCUCUCACUCUUGUUAAGUUACUUGGAUAAAUGACCAGUGGAGGCUGCAUAAUGCCAAGUCAGCUGCAUAGGGAUUUUGACGUUGGACACAGAUCUUUGAGACUUAGAGAGUCCUAGGGGCUGAGUGGAACUGGAGCAGAGUGUGCUAAGAAGGUCACUGAAGGGCAGAACCACAGGAUGCUUUGUCAAGCAAUGGGUGAUCAGUAGUGUGGACAGUAACUACACCUCAUUUACCCAGCAUUGGUAUGGGAUGGUGUGCUUCUCAUCUCAGAAAUCUCUGGAAAUUUAAGGUUGACCUUUUAACACAUCCAGUCUUAUUUAUGUAUUUGUUUGUUUAAAAAUCUACUGGAAGAAAAGCUUUCCAAAAUGUAUUUUACAUUAUCCUGCUCUGUGUAACCUACUAUCUUGAAUAGAAUUUAAGUUUUUCUUGAUCACUCUGGGGGUCUGGGAGAUGAUAUAAUAAAGUCAUCAAGGAUCUGGUUCUUAGUGGAUCAUGCCUGCACUAAUUGUUCCUGCUGUGAAUUUUGGUGUAUACUUUUAUUUAUUAUUAUUAUUAUUAUCGAAACAGAGUCUUGCUCUCUCCUCUAGGCUGGAGUGCAGUGGCGUGAUCUUGGUUCGCUGCAAACUCCAUUUCCCAGGUUCAAGCAAUUCUCUUGUCUCAGCCUCCCAAGUAGUUGGGAUUAUAGGCAUGUGCUAUAAUCCCAUGUGUUAUAUAUAGGCAUGUGCUAUAAUCGCCCAGCUAAUUUUUAUAUUUUUAGUAGAGACAGGGUUUCACCAUGUUGGCCAGGGUGGUUUCGAACUCCUGACCUCAAGUGAUCCUCCCGCCUCGGCCUCCCAAAAUGCUGGGAUUACAAGUGUGAGCCACCACACUUGGCCUUACUUUUUAGAUUUUCUGUCUUUGCCUUCAUGGCCAGCCUCUCAGGUAUAAUUUCUUUCUGUGGUAAGUUUGUCUUUACUAGCCUGAUUUUGUAUUAUUGAUUGGGAAAGAGAUUACAAAAUUAAGAUCAGGCUAAAGUAAGAGUAAAUAAGUUCUGAGUGCAGCUCUAGUGGGUUCUAAUGAAAAUACGUGGACUUUGUGACAAUUAUAGUUACUUAGGAGUUUUUUUAUUUUUUGCUAAAAUAUAAGUGAUGUUUGACUAUGUAGGAACAACUGUAUAUGUAGAAGUUAGAGCCAUUUACUGCAAUACAGUGUGAUCUGUUUAAAUUGUAUAUAAUCAGUGUUUGUUGAAUCAAAGUUUCCUUAAUCAGUCUCCAGUGGGUAGAAUUUCAUGUAGGUAGGGCAUUUCCAAAAGAUAGUUUGCAUUAAUCAAAGUGAAUUUUAGACCAGAGGAGGAGCAGGUAGAGAUAGGACUUCCACAAAGUAUUUUCUCUUCCUUCCUUCCUUCCUUCCUUCCUUCCUUCCUUCCUUCCUUCCUUCCUUCCCUCCCUCCCUCCCUCCUUCCUUCCUUCCUUCUUUCGUUCCUUUCUUUCUUUCUCUCUCUUUCUUUCUCUUUCUUUCUUUUUUUUUUUUGAGACAGAGUUUUGCUCUUGUUGCCCAGGCUGGAUUGCAAUGGCGCGACCUCCGCCCACCACAACCUCCGCCUUGUGGGUUCAAGCGAUUUUCCUGCCUCAGCCUCCCGAGUAGCUGGGAUUACAGGCAUGUGCCACCAGGCCCAGCUAAUUUUGUAUUUUUAAUAGAGACGGGGUUUCACCAUGUUGGUCAGGCUGGUCUCGAACUCCCGACCUCAGGUGAUCCGCCUGCCUUGGCCUCCCAAAGUGCUGGGAUUACAGGCAUGAGCCUGGCUUCCACAAAGUAUUUUCUAAAGUAGAUUUGACAGAAUGCAGAUUGGGAGGGUCGCUUCGAAAUAAAUGGUCCUGUGGUUAAAUGAGCUUAAGAAAUGUGUUAAACUCUAUUCCCUCCUGUUAGAGAUUCAUCAUAAAUAUUAGCAUAUUAAGGGAUGUGAGAAGCCCUUCAGUAAAGAAAUAUGAAUACUUUUUUUUUAGACCUGGAACUUCCCUAGGUGAUUUGAUGUUGGAACACAAACUUAUUUAUUUCCUGUUCCAGAAAACAAGAGAGGAAAGGCUGAAGGACAUAAUCCAUAGCAAAGUUCUGGCCCAGAAGAAAGCAACCGAGAGUGAUCAGCCCUAAGCACAGUUGCUUUUAUUUGAGGUGCAGCCUUUUGCAUGUAGCAGAUGCUCAGUAAAUGUUCGUCCUGGUGAAUAAAUGAAUCAAGAUGACUCAUAGGGGAGUCAUCCUGACUCAUGUGUUGAAAGGCCUGAAGUGAUAAGAAAAGAAUGGAAUCAGACUCUGAGUUUCAUUUAAUGGUAAUAAUUAAGACUUAAGAACUAGGCUGGGUGCAGUGGCUCACACCUGUAAUCCCAGCACUUUGGGAGGCCGAGCCGGGUGGAUCACUUGAAGUCAGCAGUUUGACAUCAGCCUGGCCAACAUGGUGAAACCCCAUCUCUACUAAAAAUACCAAUAAAAUUAGCCAGGCGUGGUGGUGCACACCUGCAUUCCCAGCUACUUGGCAGGCUGAGGCAGGAGACUCGCGUGAACCCAGGAGGUGGAAGUUGCAGUGAGUGAAGAUGGCACCGUUGCACUCUAGUCUGGGCAACAGAGAAAGACUCCAUCUCACAUAAAAAAAAAAAAAGAAAGAAAGAAAGAAAAGAAAAAAGACUUAAGAACUCACCACAUGCCAGGCUUUAUCCAUAUUGAUUCACUGAAGCUUUAUAAUAGUCCUGUGAGGUAGGUGCUAAUAUCAUUUCUAUUAUACAACUACUGAGAGUUUAAGCAAUCUGCCCAAGGCCAUACAACUAGUCAGCAGCUGAAAUGAGUUUCAAGUGCUCUCUGGCUCUAGAGCCUAUGCCUGUAACAUCUCGUUUUUGGAAAUGCAUCAUGUUUGAGUGCCUACUUGGUAUUAGACUCUGUGCUGGGAAUGGGGAACAGGGGUAUGAGCUAAGAUCACUGCCCCAAAGGAGCUGACAAUGCAGAUGGGAAGAGAAGUGCAUAGACAUGAAAAGGAUAAAUCACUUUCCCAGAUGAAACUAUCCUAAACUGAUUGGAUUGUGGACAGUGGAUUCGACGUAUGUACAAGGUAUUUGAAAAACCAUAAAGUGUGUUGUAUAUAUAAAAUAUUAGCAGAAUUGUUAUAAUAAUAACAUUUUAUUUAUUUUGAAGGAGGGAAAAGAUCUGGACAGAAGUAGUGACUGUAGAUAAUAAUAAUCUUUUAGUACUUUUUGGUUUAGAUGACGAUUUUAUAUAUUUUAUUAUGUUUAUUUUUCUCUACCAGGCUGAGAGGUUUAUACGAUUCAUAUUAUUAUUAUUCCCACGGUCUAAAUGGGGAAACUGAGGCCUAAAAGGGUAAAGGAUUGGCUAAAAGGCCCCACAGCUAGUACGCAAUUGAACCAGAACUGAAAUCCAGGAUUUCUGAUUCCAAAGCCACGCCUUUUCCCCUAGUCUCUCCUGUCCCUUAAAGGAGGCAGACUUUUAACUGGGUGAGGGGAACAGGAAGGAGGUUCUAGGCUUAGGGAACUGAGGGAUCAUUGCUUGGAAACAAGUCUUCCCAGGAUAUUUUAGGAAGGUCAACUGGGAGAGCCAGGCCACAGCACAGGACUGGGGUGGGGUCGGGGGUAAUACGGAGGUGAAGGCAGAAGUGGGCUGUGCUUAUUUGUGAUGGAUUUUCAGUGCCCAGGAAAGGAGUCAGGCAUUAUUCCGAGAUCACUGGGAGGCCUUUUGAGGUUUGUGAGCAGGAAAGUGGGCAGAUUACACACACACACACACGCACACAUGCACACUCACGCACACACACACAUAUGUAUUUGAAGAUGAGUCUAGAACUGGUGAUAUGAUGUAAUGGUGGCAAGAGAACCUGGCGGCCUAGAAGCAAGUUGUGACUAUUGAAAAAAUCUUGGUGUAAAACUUCCCUAGAUGAUUGGACAGGUUCUGAUGACUCGUGGGGGCAGGCAGGCUGUUAGAUGCUUAGACUUUACCCCUCAAUGCCCCUGCGCUUUCAGAUCUGUGUUAAAAUUCCCCACAGCACCGCAGGGUGGCUUUCGCAGUGGUUGUGAGUCCUGGUGGCUGGUGGUUCUGAGUCCAGCCCUGGUGGCUCUGAUUCUGCCAUGCAGAGUCAGGGAGAAGAGCAUUGCGUGGGCUUGUAGUUUUUCUUCUACACUGUCCCAUUUAGGCAAAGCAGGAACAGUGAAAUUUCAAACCCCAAGUGGUAAAAGAAGUGUGUAUUAGGGACCAAGUGUGGUGGUUCACACCUGUAAUCCUAGCACUUUGGGAGGCUAAGGCAGGUGUAUCACUUGAGGUCAGAAGUUCGAUACCAGCCUGGCCAACAUGGUGAAACCCCAUCUCUACUAAACAUACAAAAAUUAGCUGGGCAUGGUGGCAAGUGCCUGUAAUCCCAGCUACUUGGGAGGCUGAGGCAGGAGAAUCUCUUGAACCUGGGAGAUGGAGGUGGCAGUGAGCCAGAGAUUGCACCACUGCACUCCAGCCUGGGUGACAGAGCAAGACUCCAUCUCAAAAAAAUAAAAAAAAGAGGUGUAUAUUAGGGCCCAUUUAAGACCUUUGUGAGUUCUAGGCUUAUUUUUUGAGGCUCUACCCCAUAUUAUAUCAAUAUAUUAAAAUCUACUCAGUGUAUAUUAACAAUCACUUACACUGAAUAUAAAAAAUAAUCGGCCAGGUGCGGUGGCUCAUGCCUGUAAUCCCAGCACUUUGGGAGGCCUAGGCGGGCGGAUCACGAGGUCAGGAGAUCGAGACCAUUCUGGCUAACACGGUGAAACCCCAUCUCUACUAAAAAUACACACACACAAAAAUUAGCCGGGCAUGGUGGCAGGCACCUGUAGUCCCAGCUACUCAGGAGGCUGAGGCAGGAGAAUGGCGUGAACUCAGGAGGCAGAGCUUGCAGUAAGUGGAGAUCACGCCACUGCAUUCCAGCCUGGGAGACAGAGCGAGACUCCGUCUCAAAAAAAAAAAAAAAAAAAAAAAAAAUCAUGGUUAAGUCAUCAUAGUUAAGUGUUUGCAGAAAAAAUUUUUAAAAAAUUGGUGUAAAAUGAAGAGGGCCUCAAUUACAGAGAAUAAAAAUGAAGUUCAAAAGGAAGGAGAGAAAACUCAAGAGGUCCCCUAAAGGCAGGACCCAAAGGGCUUUGAUGACUGCCGAGUUUGGGGGGCGAGGAGUCGUCAAAGGAUCCUGCCUGUCAUGCAGACCUCAUUUCAGCCUGGAAUCUAGGGCCACGACACCAGCCCAGAGGAGACACUGAACUGGAGAAAGAUGAGUGUCGAUUUUGGACAUAUUGAGCGUGAGAUGAUGUGGCAGAGAUAAGGGUUCAAAGUUUAAAGGAGAUGUCAAGGCUAGAGAUGUCAUCCUCUAUGUUGGGGGAUAUCAUUUGUCUAGAGGUGAUAAUUUAAACUCUUGUGAAAGUUUAGCGCUCACAGGAAGGCUAGGUGUUGCGGACAUGGGAAGAGGAAAUGAAAACAGAAAAGGAGGAAAAAAGUAAAUAAAAAUAAACGAGGUUCAUUCUGCAAGUAAGCAAAUACCAAGUGAGAAGCAGUAAGAUCUUGCUGGAGUCAGAAGACCUGAGAGAGUCCCCAGCUUACUUCUGCCAUUUUCUGACUGGGGUGAGCCCCCCUCCCUUCUCUUAGCAACUCUGGAGUCUUUCCCCUUCAGCUGCAAAAUCAGAAAAAAUUUUUCUGUUUCUGUCCAAGUCACGAGAAUGAUGCAGGGACCUAAUGAAAUCCUGUCUAUGCCAUCUAGAUGUGGCUAUCUCUGUGUGCAGUCUGCUUCUAUCCCAUCCCAAACUGUACAUUUUCAUGUCCACCCACCCUGACCUGGUCUCAGCAUAUAAUCCACCAUCCCCCAAAAUCUAAAUGAGCAAUGCAGAAUUUACCAAAGAUAUUUUAGGGGAGACAUAGAAGAGGAUUAUAUUACAUACCUCAGAAUACAUUAUCUGUUUCCAUCAGAAAUGUCUGUUCUACAAAGUCCAUUUUUUCUUUACACUGAUGCUGGAUGUCUUUUCCUUUCUUCCUUUCAGGAAUUUCUCUGCACCCCUAGGGUACUCAGUUGAUCCUCUAUUAUGUGGAAUCAUUUAGCUCUGCCAUAGACAUGCAUUUCUACUCUUCUGGUUACUCAGCAACAUAAAAGUCAUCAAAUAAAGAAGACCACUUUCAUCUUUAGAAACAAGUUUGGUCACCACCUAUUUUUAUUCAUAUAGGCCCUUUUUCAGGGGGAAAGGGACUCAUCUUUUUCUUUCUUUUUUUUACAGCUGUAUUGAAGCAUAAUUGAUAUACAAAAAGCUAUACACACUUAAGCACACAAUUUUAUGAGUCUGGACAUAUGCAUGUACCAUAAUCAAGGUAAUAGUCAUAUCCAUCACCUCUGAGAGAUUCCUUGUUUUGGGGUUUCAUCAUCUCUAUUUCAUCACUAUUCCCCCAAGUCCACAGCUCCCACCCCACACUAUCAGCCCACCUCUCUCAAACCUGAGAGGAGUUCUAUGACUGGAAAUUUUCUUCAGUCUUAUUACAAAAUCAUUUCGUCUACUCAAAAGUGAAGGUAACUUUAUUAUUAGUGUCAAAAUAAGUCAAGGGAAGUGAUAUUUUCAAGAGAGAGGCUAUCAUGAAGAGUGCUACAGAGAAGCUGGAGAAAGAGAGGACCAGGAACAGGGCAUUGGAUUGGCCAGGGAGGUGAUCCUGACAGCAAUGUCAGCAGGAUGGUGGGGGUGGCAGAAGGGAUUAAGGAAUGAGCAGGUGUUAAGGAGGAGGAAAAAGUUUUUCUGAUUUUCCUAGGGACACAUCUCUUCACAAAUCACUAUUUAAGAUGCUUUCAGAGGAAAUGUCAAUGUGGAUAGCGCAGUGGGAAGAAGGAGGCAGUAGCAAGGCCAAAUAAGACUAGGAAAAAAAGUGUGAUUGAGGUCACUCCUCAGAAGGCUACUUGAGAAGAAAGGGCAAUUAAUUGUGCUAAUAGUGGGAUCAUACCUCACCCCUUACAACUCAGGCUAUCUCAGGGCUUAUGUAACAGAUGAAAUUUCAAAAAGCAGCAGGACGUUUUCCAGCCAGGAACAGAAAUUUCUGAGUGAAAGUCACAUUGGUGAAUGGCCCCCAUUCAUAUUUGAAUUGCCUAACUAAAGAUUUGAAUGAUAAUAUAGAUUCUGGAACUAAAGGAGGCUUUGAAUAUUGUCUAAAGUAACUCCUACCUUACAGAAUCAGAAAUUGAGGUUCUAGACAGUUUAUCUAAUUCAUGCUAAGCAUAAAAUUAGUCCCCUCUCCAUUCUACUCUCAAACUCAACAGAGCAAGUUUGGAACUCUUUCAAAUAGAAUAUAUAAACUUCUUCACUGCUGGUAUUUAUAUACUGAAAAUGUGCAAAGCAAAAAGUUCAUAGGGGUUAUCAAAAGCAUUAUUUAAAUUGAUUAUUAAAUGUCAAUGAGAAAAGAGACUUAUCACAGUUUUGUAGGUGGGAAAACUGAGGCUUGGUGAGGAUAAAUGACUAACCAUACGGCUAAUAAGUGGCAGAGUGAGAGCUAAAACAAACAUCUUUUGACUCCAAGUCCAGUUUGUAUUUUCACUUGAAGACAGCUGCUUCUGGCUUUACAAGAUCCUGUAAGACACUAAUGCUAUCAGAAUUAUACAUGCUUCUCAGAAUUACACAUAAACUAGGCAUCCUUCACCGAAAAUAACAUGAAGAGAUUGUGUGGAUGACCUGAGAACAUUGUGUUCAGAGAAAAAAUCCUACCAGCUAGGUCUGUUCAGUAAACUGGAGACUUUCCAGCCUGGCUUCAUAGCUUUGACUCAUGUCUGUGAGAGUUAGGAUCUCCUGCUGUUUGCUUCCUACCUUGGGGUCUAUUUGCUGUGUUUUGGUUACUUCAGCUGCUUAAAACCUCAUUAGAGCUAAGGAAAGCAUGAUUGAUUACUUUUAACUACUACCACUGAGGUCUUAAUGUGUCCUAAAAAAGCUUGUUGGAUGCAGUAAAAGUAUGUACUUAUAUCAUUAAAAUCUGCAUGAUAAUGCAGUCACUAAGAAUGGACCUUGACAAUCAGAAUGCUGGGUCACAAAUUCUGACUUCACUAUUUAAGCUACUUGAAUUUGGGCAAGUUACUUAAUCUUUGUCAGCCUCAGUUUUCUCACCUGUAGAAUGGGAAUGUUAACAGUAACUCAGGAGGUUCUUGUGGCAAUUAAGUGAAUUAAUGAAUGCAUGGCAGGUUACUAUUUGGAUGUGACAUGAUAGUUUGGGAAAGGGGAGAGUGGUUGAGGCUAUGUCAACAGAGAACCUUGUGAUUUUGAAAAACAUGAGCUUUCUUCGGUGAACGCACCAACCACUGACAGUGGCAGAGGGCUUUGGGAGCCAAGUCAAUGUCUCCAAUGUUGUUCAUGUCUUUGAUGCUGCUGUCUGGUGAGGCCCACCAGCUGCCAAAGCCUGUCCACUGUCUUUUUAGUCCUCUCAUUCUACCCAGUAUAUGUAGCCAAUUUUCUGUGUAGAUUCAUUCCUCCCCACAUAGCAGUAAAACAAAACAGGGAAGAUAGGAGCCUGGAUAUCUGAAAGUAGGUGACCAACCAUGCCAAUUUGUUUGGGGCUAAGGGAGUUCUUGAAACUUUCCAUUUUAAAACCAGGACUGUCUUGGGCAAGUGGUGGUAAAUUCAUCACUAUACCUGAUAGGUUGUUGGAGGGUAUCAUGGCAAAGUCCUCAAAAUAUCUACCUAAAUUUUGGUUUAAAUCUUUUCACAUUUUUUCCAUGUUUUUAUGUAUUCUUUUUUGUUUGUUUGUUUGAGACGGAGUCUCACUCUGUCACUAUGCUGGAGUGCAAUGGCACGAUCUCGGCUCACUGCAACCUCCUGACAAGACAAGCCUGACCAAGACAAGGAUAGAUGGAAUCAGUUUGAGAUCUUCUAGAAUGAUCCAAGCUACAAUGAUGAUGAAAUUCCCACCUGGAACUGUUAAUUGCAAAACUGUAAUACAUACAUAGGGCUUAGCAGAGAGCUAGCAACAUGGUAAACAUGCAUUCAUUCAUUCAACAUUCGUUGAAACCUUACCAUAUGCUGGGAGGAUUUUAAGUACUGGAGAACAAAAUAGAUAAAGUCACAAACAGAUAUAUCAAUUAAAGAUAAAUGCUCUGAAGGAAAGAAAAGCAGGAUAAGGAAACAGUGGCUGUGUGGGGAAGUUUCUCUGAAGAGGUGAUAUUUGAGCAGACACCUAGUGAAGUGAAUGAGUAAGCCAUGAAAAUAUCAAAGGGCGACAGUAUUUCAGGCAGAGGAAACAAAUGCAAACGCUCUGGGAGAUGGUGGGCCAGUGGGGCAGAGUGAACCAGUAGUAGGGAAUGUAGUGGCAGAGGUAGGCAAGAGCCAGAUGGUUUAGAGCCUUGGAAAUUAAGGUAAGGACUUCGGGUUUCAAAUGUCAGCUGUUGUUAUAAAGGCUGUUUUUUUCCUCCUUUUUCUGUGUUGAGUGUUGGAUCUGUUAACUGCUCUUUUUCUACUCAAUAUUGGUUCAUUCUGUCCAACAAAAUUUAUUGAAUGUCUGCUCUUCAUUCAACAGAAGGCUAAUGAAGACAUUUUUUCGGGAACUGAAGAGAAAGUUUGUUUUCUCAACAACUAUGAUCUAGUUGUGGGGGGGAGGGAGUGGGUCAAAGUGCUGAUAAUGCGUCAAAAGACGGCAGCAGUGCGCCGAGCGCGGUGGCUCACGCCUGUAAUCCAGCAGUUUGGGAGGCCGAGGCGGCGGAUCACCUGAGGUCGAGAGUUCGAGACCAGCCGACCAACAUGGAGAAACGCCAAGUCUCUACUAAAAAUACAAAAAUUAGCCGGGCGUGGUGGCGCAUGCUUGUAAUCGCGGAGGUUGCGGUGAGUCGAGAUCGAGCCAUUGCACCCCAGCCCGGGCAAUAAGAGCGAAACUGUCUCAAAAAAAAAAAAAAAAAAAAAAAGACAGCCACAGUGUGCUUUGAAGGAGACACCCUGGCACUACAGGAGAGAAACGAUGUUUUCAAUUGUCCAGAGAGGAGGGGAGUCACUUCCGGUGCGUCCCAGGGCAUCAUGGGAAGGGUCAGUCUGUGGGAAGGAAAGGCCAGAAGUGACUCCUGCCGUAGCUGCGGCAGGCCUGGAGGCCGUACUGGGACCUGGCCAGUAAGUGUGCAUUUAAGAGUUUGCGAGUGAGCAGGACCUUGUUCGUCCCCGCGAUUUAUUUGUGCUGUGUAAUUCCAGACAGUAGAUCCGUGAAGGACUGUGUGGUGGGGAGGGUAUGAAAUUGAGUGUGGAGAGGGCAUUUGAGGGCAAGUCCCAUGACUGACUGGGCCAGACAGAAAAUUUAAAAUUCUUGUCAACAAAGCCCGUUUGAAAAUUUUCAGUGCAUACAUAGCCAUAUUAUUAUGUUGUACAUGUGGUACACAUAAAUAUUCCUGUUUUUUUUUUUUUUUUUUUUUGAGACGGAGUAGCACUCUUGUCGCCAGGCUGGAGUGCUGUGGCGUGAUCUGGGUUCACUGCAACCUCCACCUCCCGGGUUCAAGUGAUUCUCCUGCCUCAGCCUCCUGAGUAGCUGGGAUUACAGGCACCCGCCACCACGCCUGGCUAAUUUUUGUACUUUUAGUAGAGACGGGGUUUCGCCAUGUUGGCCAGGCUGGUCUCAAACUCCUGACCUCAGGUGAUCCGCCCGCCUCGGCCUCCCAAAGUGCUGGGAUUACAGGCAUGAGCCACCGCACCCGGCUACACAUAUAUUCUUAUAUAAAGUCAGGUUCAGAUACUCAAAUCCGUGGGUACCAAUUGAAUUAUUUUUCCAAAUAGUGGAAAAAGUGAUGAUUUUGUUGCUCAGAAGGUACUACCUUUCCCAUCCAUGUUUUAAACAUAAUUUCUCAUACUUUGAGCCUUCACACUGCGCAGUACCUCAGUUUCCCCAGGAAAGCCACAAGCCAUAGUUUCUGUGAGGAGCUGAGAAGAUAGUUUGCCCUCUUGUGAAGGUCAGCCUAUUGGAAUCUAAGAGAAGCCCUGUUUUGGGUGUGUUCCCCAAGGGAGAUGUUUUUCUCCUUCACCAUGGAGAGGCUUUCUUUUUUCUUGCGGCCUCCGGAAGCGGCAUCUUAGUGGCCCUUGGAACUAGGAGGGAGGAAUCAGGCUGGCAAAUUCUAUCCUUAAGCAAGGUUCUUUCCAUCUGCCCACGGCUGAUUCUUCAGCUUCUCGCUUUGGAAAAUGUGACCGAUGGAGUCUGCGAUGACGGUUCCUAGGGACACCGAUAUGUGGAACAUGUGCCCAAACCUCUGCCACAGCCAGGAGGCAGAAUUUAAGUUUGCUUACUGACAGCUGCUGUGUGUCAGUCCUGGAAUGUUAAUCCUUACAGAGAGCUUGGAUGACAGGCAACAGCUUUUAGCAGCUGUGCUAAUGAUCUCAUCCAUCAAACGACCCUCUCUUCACCUUACUGUUGUCAGUUAUAUCCACGUCUUUGAUGAGAAGUGGAUAUGAAAUCUUAAGAGGCAGGUUACUUUUAUUUAUUUUAAAAACAUGAGCCUUUAAAAGAAUUCCAAAAAUAGUACACACAUUGAAAAACAUAAUCAAACAUACUGAAGGAAAAUUUUAAAUCUUGCCUAAAAUUUUAGCAUAGAAGUCAUCUCUACCUAAAUUUUGGUUUAAAUCCUUUCACAUUUUUUUCCAUGUUUUUAUGUAUCCUUUUUUCUUUCUUUUUUUUUUUUUUUUUUGAGGCGGAGUCUCAUUCUGUUGCUAGGCUGGAGUGCAGUGGUGCGAUCUUGGCUCACUACAACCUCCGCCUCCUGGGUUCAAGUGUUUCUCCUGCCUCAGCCUCCCCUGUACCUGGGACUACAGGCGAGUGCCACCAUGCCCAGCUAAUUUUAAUAUUUUUUAGUAGAAACGGGGUUUUACCAUGUUGGCCAGGAUGGUAUCCAGCUCCUUUUUUUUUUUUUUUUUUUAGAUGGAGUCUCGCUCUGUCGCCAGCCUGGAAUGCAGUGGUGCGAUCUCGGCUCACUGCAACCUCUGCCUCCCAGAUUCAAGUGAUUCUCCUGCCUCAGCCUCUGGAGCAGCUGGGACUGCAGGUGUGUCACCAUGCCCAGCUAAUUUUUGUAUUUUUAGUAGAGAUGGGGUUUCACCAUGUUGGCCAGGAUGGUCUCGAUCUCUUGACCUCAUGAUCCGCCCACCUUGGCUUCCCAAGGUGCUGGGAUUACAGGCAUGUGCCACCACGCCUGGCCAAUUUUUAUGUAUUCUUAAACACAUACACAAUUGAGAUAUCAGUCUGCAAGCACUGUUUUGUAUUCUGCUUUUAGAACACAUUUUAAAAUUUUCUCAUGAUAUUAACUAUUCUUUUAGAUUAUGAUUUUUAAUAGUUACGUAGUGUACCAUGCUUUGAAGAUAACAUAAUUUAUAUAACAAAUUUUCUAUUAUUGGGCAUUUAGGGUGCUCUAAGUUUCUGUUCUUUAAAAUAUUCUGCUAAGUAUAUAUGUGUACAUAAAUGCUUAUGCAUAUCUUUAAUUGUUAAAUCUAUAGAAUAGACUUUCUGGGCAAAGGCUAAAGAUAGUUUUCAGUUUGCAACAGUGGAGUCCCUGUUAUUGGAGCCUUCACAAUAAUGAUAUUGCAUAGGAAAACAAAAAGUAUUCACUAACGAUCUUGUUGAUCAUUAUGUAUUGUAAAUAUGCAAUAAUCAAUUUAAGUUGAAUGCAAAGUAAAAUGAGAAAUCUUGGAACAGUUGCAGAAUUUAGUGAAGUCAGUGAAAGUAGUAAAAAAAAUUGGCUUGAGUUUUGCAAAGCCAUUGACCAGCGUGCAUUCAGCAGUGUUGAACUAGUUAACAAUUGAAGAACUGAAAAUGGACAAAAAUGAUGACCCAAUAGAUGUUUCCCGAGAAUGAAUUCAGGAUCAAAGGAUUAGGAAGGCUCUUAAAAAUAUUGAUGAAGUCAUGCAUUUUUGUGAAAAAGGAUGUAUUUUAUUAUUGCAUUGCAAAACUUAAAGGAUGUCAUAUUAUGUUAUCACAUAUGACUGUGAGAAAUCUGUCCCUUUUGUCCCAACUGCAACAUUUACUCAUUCUUUGUUCUAAGAAUAGCAGAGUUGCAAUUAUGAUCUAAAUCUUAAGAAAUGCAACAGAAGGCUGGGCACCGUGGCUCACGCCCGUAAUCCCAACACUUUGGGAGGCCGAGGCAGGCAGAUCACGAGGUCAAGAGAUUGAGACCAUCCUGGCCAAUAUGGUAAAACCUUGUCUCUACUAAAAAUACAAAAAUUAGCUGGGCAUGGUGGCACGUGCCUGUAAUCCCAGCUGCGCAGGAGGCUGAGGCAGGAGAAUCACUUGAACCUGGGAGGUGGAGUUUGCAGUGAGCCACUGCUCUCCAGCCUGGUGACACAGUAAGACUCCGUCUCAAACAAAAACAACAACAACAACAACAACAAAAAACAAAAACAGAAAAAAAGAGAAAAUCAAUUGUUUCUCUGUAUGUUAGCAGUGAACAUGUAGACAGCAAAAUUAGAAAUAUAAUGCCAUUUACAGUCACUUAAAAAAAGAAAGAAGUUAGACAGGCCGGGAACGGUGGCUCACGGCUGUAAUCCGAGAACUUUGGGAGGCCAAGGUGGGCGGAUCAUGAGGUCAGGAGUUUGAGACCAACCUGACCAACGUGGUGAAACCCUGCCUCUACUAAAAAUACAAAAAUUAGCCAGACAUGGUGGUGCACGCCUGUAAUCCCAGCUACUCAGGAGGCUGAGGCAGGAGAAUGGCUUGAACCCGGGAGGUGGAGGUUGCAGUGAGCUGAGAUUGUGCCACUGCACUCCAGUCUGGGCAACAGAGUGAGACUCCGUCUCAAAAAAAAAAAAAAAAAAAAAAAGUUUGACAUAGAUCUAACAAAAUUUAUAUAUGGCUUGUAUGCUGAAAACUACCAAACACUGAUGAAAGAAAUAAAAGAAGAUCUAAUUAAAUGAAACAGACUGUAGUUAAGAAUUGGAAGAUUCAACAUAGUAAAUAUGUCAACAAACUGAUAAACAGGCUUCAUGCAAUUUCUGUGAAAAAGUAUAGCUCUGGCUUUAAAGUUUGGCAUAUAGUAUUCUAAUUACUAAUUAUCUUCCCAGAGUACUGUAAUUGUGAUAUUUCCCCUAAUGCAGAAUUUUAAAUUUAUGGAGGUAUAAUUGACAUUUAAAAGUGCACAUAUUAAAAGUGCACAGUUUGAUAGGUUUUUACAUACAUAGAUGCCUGUGAAACCAUCAUCUCAAUCAAGAUAAUGAACAUGUUCAUGGACCCCCCUCCCAAAUUUCCUCCUGCUCCCUUGUAAUCCCCUCCACCCUUUCUUUGUGCCCCCUACAAACCCUCCCUCUGCAUCACUAGCCAACUGCUGGUCCACUUUCUAUCACUGUAGUUUUCAUUUUCUAGAAUUUUAUAUAAAUAGAAUAAUAUAGUAUGUACUUUUUGGAGGGGCUGCUGCUUUCAAUCAACGUAAUUAUCUUGAGAUUCACCCUUUUUAGUGUUAAUGGUUUCUUUUGAUAGCUGAGUAGUAUUUCAUUGUAUGGAUAUACCAUAAUUUGUUACCCAUUCAUUUGUUGAUGGAUAUUUUGGUUUUUCUUUUUGGUUUUUGCCCCUAUUACAAAUAAAUGUGCCAUAAACAUUUGUGUACAAGUCUUCAUGUGGACAUACGCUUUCAUUUCUCUUUGGUAAAUACCUAGGAAUAGAAUGGCUAGAUCAUAUAGAUAAUUUGUUAACUUUUAAAGAAGUUGCCAAACUGUUUUCAUAAGUCAUUGUAACAUUUUACAUUAUGACUCUUGGCCAACACUUUGGUCUUUUAGUCAUUGUAGUAAGUGUGUUGUGGUAUCUUACUGUGUUUUAAUUGAUAUUUUUCUCAUGAUUCAUGAUGUUGAAUGAUUUUCAGAUGCCUUUUUAUCAUCUGUAUGUUUAGUGAAAUGUUUGUCUAAACCUUUUGCCUUUUAAAGUAUUAUGUUGUUACCUUUUCCCUGGAUUUUUAGAUUUGUUUAUAUAUUCUGAAUAUAAAUCUUUCAUCAGGGAUAUAAGUUGUAAAUACUUUCAAUCUGUGGCUUGUCUUUUCAUUCUCUCUAUAACAGUGUUUUUCAAAGAGCAGAAGCUUUACAUUUUGAUGAUGUACAAUUGAUCAAUUUUUUCUUUUGUGGCCUGUGUCUUUGGUGUCAUAUCUAAGACAUCUUUGCCUAAGCUGAGGUCACAAAGAUUUUUUCUUUUGUUUCUUUCUACAUGUUCUUAUGAUUGUAGUUUUGAUUUCCUCUUUGAUCCAAAAUUUUGUUUUUUGGAGAUUAUUUAACUUUUUUUUUCUCUUUUUUGUUUUAAACUUUUGUUAUUAACUUAGACACAUUUGAGAUUGCGGUCUACACAAUUUAUAAUGAAAAGAUUGAGGGUGAUAGGGGUUUAGAGGUUGGGGGAGAGUAAAUGUUAGAAGGUAGAGGAAGGAGUGAAUAAAGUACAGUCUUUGUCUAGAUUUCAUUUUUGUUCUGCUGCUUCCUCUCUUUCUGGAGGUUCUACUCCAUCAAGCCUUUUUUUGGUCUUAUUUUCUGUCCCUCUUUUAUAAGUUCAUUCUUUCACUUUGUCUCUCAUCCAAUCUCUCUGACAAUCCUAUGUAUGCUAGCUACCUUCAAUAAAUCUGGAAUCCAUCUACUUCUCUUUGUCUCCCGUUGUUAUUUUUCUGCCCUAAGCCACUGUCAUGGUUUUUAUUGUUGUUGUUGUUGUUAGUUUUUUUGUUUUUUUUUUUUUUUGAGACAGGGUCUCACUCUGUCUCCCAGGCUGGAGUGCAGUGGUGCGAUCUUGGUUUAUUGCAGCCUUGACUUCCCGGGCUCAGGUGAUUCUCCCACCUUAGCCUCCCUCGUAGCUGGGACUACAGGCAUGUGCCACUAUGCCCUGCUAAUUUUUUUCUUUUUUUCUAUUUUUAGUAGAGAUGGGGUUUUGCUAUGUUGCCUAGGCUGGUCUCGAACUCUCGGGCUCAAGUGAUCUGCCCACCUCGACCUCCCAAAGUGUUGGGAUUCCAGGUGUGAGCCACCGCGCCCAACUGCCACUGUCAUCUUUUAACCUUUAUUUUUCAGUAGGCUCCUAACUAGUUUCCCAGUGUCCAUCUUUGCUCCCUUAGUUUAUUCUCAACACAGCAGCCAGAGUGAUUCUUUUAAAAUGUUUGUUAAUAUCACCCUGCUCAAAACCCUCCAAAGCUUUCCCACUUCACUCUGAGUAAAGGCAAAAGUCCUUAGAGUGGCCAAGGGGCCCUACAUGAUCUGGUCUCUCAGUUCCUCUCUUAUGCCUUAACUGUCUCAUCUUGCUCAGUCUCUUCCUGCCCUGCUUGACCUCCUCCCUGCCCCCCUAACAUUCCCUACCUGCCCUUGCCUUAGGGCCUUUGCAUUUUCUGUUUUCUCUGCCUGGACGUGCUGUGCGCCCAUAUACUCACUUGGCUUACCCUCUUGCCUCCUUCAGGUCACUGCUCAAGUGUCUUCUUACCAGAGAUGCCUUCCUUGACUACUGUCUAUAAAAUAGUAAAUGCGGCCGGGCGCGGUGGCUCACGCCUGUAAUCCCAGCACUUUGGGAGGCCAAGGCGGGUGGAUCACGAGGUCAGGAGAUCGAGACCAUCCUGGCUGAGACGGUGAAACCCCGUCUCUACUAAAAAUACAAAAAAUUAGCCGGGCGUGGUGGCAGGCACCUGUAGUCCCAGCUACUCCGGAGGCCGAGGCAGGAGAAUGGCGUGAACCCGGGAGGCGGAGCUUGCAGUGAGCCGAGAUCGCGCCACUGCACUCCAGCCUGGGCGACUGAGUGAGACUCUGUCUCGGAAAAAAAAAAAUAGUAAAUGCUUCCCUCCUACUUUCUAAUUUCCCAUUAGUACUUAUAAUCUGGCUCAUUACAUAGUUAUGAAUUUAUUUAUUGCUUUUCUUUCGUUGUGGAAUAUAAGCUUCUAGAGAGCAGAAACUAUAUUUUGUUCACACAAAACUUAAAUAGUGGCUGGCACUAUUUAUUGAUUUAUUAUAUUGAUGCACAUAGUAGAUGCUCAAUAUCGUUUGUGGAGUAAAUGAAUGGGCCCAUACAGAGGGCAGCCUCAGGGAGUGUUUUUCUUAGUAAUUUGUAACAAUCUAGAGAGAUAUAAUAAAAACAAGCUCAGCAAAAGAUAUUUGUGUGUGUGUUGGUGGGGGGUGAAGAGGUGGGAAAGGGACUGUUGGGUGGUGCUGAAGGUAUAAAAUAUUGAAUGCUCUGCAAAGCCAUAUAUAAUAUUAAGAUAUUAAUAGCUAGGUGAGAACUGUGAGCAUGAAUAGCUUUGCAAGUGAAAAAAUGAAAGUCCGGUUUAAUGUAUACAUUUACUGUAGUUUUUAUUUAUUCAGCUUUAACAGGAAAAUAAACGUCAUAAAGCAAGUGACCAAAAAUAGCACAUUUUGUGCCUUUCUUCAGCCUCUUGAUAGCAUCAGGCAGGUGUGUUUACUCUGCACUGAUUUUUGUGUGAACCUCUCGGCUCUUCACUCGCAAUUUGUUGACCUGGGACUCAGCAAUGUCAGCCCGUUCCUCGGCCUCCUCCAGCUCAUGCUGGAGUUUGCGGAAUUUAGAUAGAUUAGCAUUGGAUUGUUCCUCCUAAGAAUAGAGAUAAAAUUGUGAGAAUUAGACUGUGUGGUUCUCAUUGCACUUAUCACCAGACAGGAUUAGUUCCUCAAAUCAGGUAUUUCCUUCUUAUGGUCUAUUUAGCAUAUCCGACUUUAAAUCUAAACAGAGUUUAUAACUUCAACUACAAUUUUUACUUUAAAGAAUGAAAGGAGAGUUUUGAAGUGGAGGAGACAGCCUCAUAUAAAGCCCAUACAUCCUUUUAUGAUUUAUGUUCUGUGUGGAAAGGAGGAAGAGACCUAUGUACACUUAUAGACAUCAGUAAGUAAAUGUAAGGCCAAAUUAUAAUUGGGGAAAUACCACUUAAUAUAUAUUUUGAUUCUAGUAUAUAAAGAAAGGGAAAAGAUGGGACUAGACAGAAAGUCUCCUCUGUUAAUUGACUCAUUGCCAUUUAUGCCUCUCCCUUUUUUCUUUCCUUUUCUUCCUAUUUACUUCCUACCUAUCACAUGUGUCUGGAAGAGUGGAGGGAUAACCAGGAAGGGUAUAGGUACAGAAUCUUCUAACAUGUUCUUAUAUUAGCUACAGCAAAUGUGGGGGCAAGAGCCCCCACUGAUGACACUAGUGGUGAGUGAAGAAGUCAGGUGGGGUAAAAGAUUGAUGUUUGGCUUUUGAGAACUUGAUUUUUUCUAUGUCUAGAGGGAGAGGAAUAUUUAUGAUGGUAUUAAUUAGAAUUUCUACUGUAUAUCAUUUGUAGCUAUCAAGUAAGUGAGCUGUUUAGAACUUGCCCCCCUCAACCCUUACAAAUUGCUUAAUAAUAAAAAUAUCUCGGCUGGGCGUGGUGGCUCAUGCCUGUAAUCCCAGCACUUUGGGAGGCCGAGGUGGGUGGAUCACUUGAGGCCAGGAGUUUGAGACCAGCCUGGCCAACACGGUGAAGCCCUGUCUGUACUAAAAAUACAAAAACCAGCCAGGUGUGGUGGUGCAUGCCUGUUGUCCCAGCUACUGGAGAGGCUGAGGCAUAAGAAUCACUUGAGCUUGGGAGGCAGAGGUUGCAGUGAGCCAAGAUCACACCACUGCACUCCAACCUGGGUGACACAGCGAGGCUCUGUGUCAAAAUAAAUAAAUAAAUAAAUCUUUUGAAGUCUUAUUCUGUAAUUUGGAUUUGGCGGGACAAAUUCAUAUUUAUAAAAUCAUCCCUCUUAAAAUGAGUGGUAGAUUUUCACUUUGUCUUCUUCCUUAUUGACGCAUUCUCUUAAAACACUUUCUACUGCAAAAGAAAUUUCCUUCUUUCCUCAAGGGCUUAAAGAUACUUACAGCCUCCUCAGCUUGUCUCUUGUAUGAUUUCACCUUCGCCUGUAAUUUAUCUACCAAGUCCUGCAGCCUGAGAACAUUCUUGCGAUCUUCUUCAGUCUGAAAGUUUGAAAAAAAUAAUCUGCAUUCAUUCCGAAGAGAUAAGGCUACUCUGGGUACUAAAAUAAAAUCAUUUGGCAUGAUGGCAGGUGGGCCUGGGGUAAACUUGAUCAACUCUGAGAUUUUCUUCAUAGAAUUAACAGUAGCACUCUUGGUAAAUGUUUCCACUGUGCAGGUACUGUAUUAGAGAAUUGCACACAUCCUCUCCAGUCCUUACCUCCCCAUCCGGGAAAAUAGACACUGUUAUCUCUAUUUUACAGGUGAAGAAACUGAGGUUUAGAGUGUUAAGUUCAAGAAGCAAGAGAGGCCAAACUAGGACUAAUACCCAGUUAAUCUGCCUUUAAAAUCUGUGUUCUUUACUGUCAUGCUAUUUUCUAAACUUUAGAAAUCUGAAGGCCUCCCUAAGUUUUAGUAUAGGUCUGUGAUAAGCAACUGUCUUUACUCCUUACAUGUACCAAGUUAAUGCGUAUUUGUUUGUGAGUGGCAUAUAAAUAAAUAGUCAUAAGGUUUUCAAUUUCCUUCUGGGCAGGAAGAGUGGAUAUUCUGGAAGGCUAUUCCCUUUACCUGGUAGGUGAGUUCUUUUACUCGUCGCUCAUGUUUCCGUAAACCUUUAACAGCCUCUGCAUUACGUUUCUGUUCAUUUUCAACCUCUCCUUCAAGCUCACGUACCUGCAGCCAAGAAAAAUACUUACGCAGUCAGUCUUGGGGGAUAUUAAUUAGCCCAAGACCUACUGAAGGCAUGGGGUGGGUGUUCCCAGCCCCAGGACAGGAUGGGAGUCUUGUGUAGGAAGAGAGAAGGGUAGAGAGAGUGCCCUUUUUCCCUUCCCAGAUUUAGAGAGAUUGAGACACCCACCCUGGCCUCCAGUUUCUGGAUCUGCUUCUUCCCACCCUUCAGCGCCAGCUGCUCGGCCUCAUCUAGACGAUGCUGCAGGUCCUUCACCGUCUGCUCCAGGUUCUUCUUCAUCCGCUCCAGGUGGGCGCUGGUGUCCUGUUCCUUCUUCAGCUCCUCAGCCAUCAUGGCAGCCUAUUUAGGAAAUAAAUUAAGAAAGUAAUGAAACUUGAUGAUAGCAGGUGCAUACGUGUCAGUAGGCCAAAUGUUCAUCUUACAUCAGUGAUGGCCUUCUUGGCUUUCUCUUCUGCAUUGCGUGAUUCUUGGAUUACUUCUUCCACUUCACUUUGGAGUUGGGAAACGUCAUUUUCUAAUUUCUUCUUGGUGUUAAUGAGACUGGUAUUCUGUUAAAAGUAGUCGUGGAAAUUUACAAAAUUUGCAGUUUGCCCUCUUGGGAUUUUACAAGUGUCUUACUUGUUGGUUCGUGCAGGGGAUCUGCUGGCAACAUUUCACUAAACUUUAAUUAUUUGUUCAGUGGAAAAUGUUAAUUAUUUGCAAGGUAGGAACUCCUUUCCCCCAACUUCCCCAGUGUCCACCUGAUUUAUGCAUAAGGACUUCUGAGGUUUGAGAAUGCCUUUAUUGGCAUACAUUAGUUAAUUGUUCUUUUAAUUAUAUUUCAGUCAGACAUCACUAGUUAUUCUAUCUCUGGAAGGUUGGAAAUAGAAAAGAAUAGAUUCGUUUUGUGAGUGGCAGGCACUGAGAGUUUCUUGCUUUGAAAGAAUCUAUUCUCUCUGAAUUUUUAUGAUUUGUUCUGUCGGAGAGCACUGAAUUUGUCUUAUGAAAACAUGUUCUUAAGAUUUCAACUCAGUGUUUCUAGAGAGAAGCAAUAUCGUCUCAACAGGUAUUUGAAAAUGUUUAGGGGCAGAUAUUUUUGGUUGUCAAAAUGACUAGGGGGUGCUACUGCAUUUAAUGCCUGGGCAGGUUAGGAAUGCUAAAUGAGCUGUAAGGCAUGGGGACAGUGAACACAGCAGUGCUAAAUGCUUAAGUGCUACCAAUGAGAAACACUGCAUGGAACAUUUUCAGAUUUUGGAGGCAACAGGUAUCUUUACUCAAUAGUAUUCUACCUCAUGGUUUCCAAAAUAAUCUAAAUAGCCAAAUCUUAUUUUUAAAUAAAAAAGUAAUAGCUUUUUUUUUUUUUUUUUUUUUUUUUUUUUGGUGAGGGGUAGAAACCCCAAGAAAGAAACAGGAACACACACCAAAAAAACAAAAAAAAAUCACCCAUAAUCCACCAAUUACCCUAAGAUAAUAGCAAUGAGUAUUUUUGAGCAUAUCCCCCAUCCAUGUUUACAUACACAUAUUUAUACAAAUUGAGUACUUUCAUGUUAUAAUUCGAAUGCAUCAGCUACCAGUACACCAGCAUUUGUUUGAUGUGAGGGUCUCACCUGGGUGUGGAGGAGCUGGACACGCUCACUGGCAUCCAGGAGCUCCUGUUCGGCGAUUUUCCUGCUUCUCUCUGUCUGUUCCAGAGUGGCCCACAGCUCCUCGAUCUCAGCCUGCAGCAGGUUGGCUCUGCGCUCCACAAUUGCCAGCUGUUCCUUGAGGUCCUCCUGGCCCCGGAGAGCAUCAUCCAGGUGGAGCUGGGUUUCCUAAUAAGUGAAAAACAGAAAGGCCUUAAGUGUUCUGAAGAGGAUUUGAAGAUCCCAGGAGAUGAACUGGGAGAUUGUACUGGUGACAGGAACAGAAGAUGACAUAUGCCUGUCAUUUGAAUGCAUCUGAUUAUGGUUAGGUCAUUUGCUUAGGGUGAGAGAGAAUUAUCAGGAGACAUAGAUUCUUGUUCUAUUUCUACCAUUAACUGGUUACUGUGUCAUGUGUGAGUCACUAAUGUCUGUCAUUUGUGGAGCAGUUUCCAUAUGCUCUAUCAGGACUUGACAUCUGUUAUUUCAUUUGAUCUUCACAGUAACUCAGUGAGGUGGGUAGUUUCAUUCUUAUUUUGAAGAAGGAACAGAGGUUCUGAGAGGUUAAGUAAUUUGCUUAAAAUCAGGCAGCUAGUAAAUGACAAAACUAAGACUCAACCUCAGGCCUGUCUGGUGCCCAAGUCUGUUCACUUUCUUUCAUAUCAUACUGUAAUGCCUAGGCAUCUGUUUGUUCUUCUACAUAACAUUUUCUUAAAAAUAAUAUGUUCUAUGUGUAUUUAAUUCAGUUACCUUUGUGCGGUCAGCUGUAUAAUUUGUUAAGAGAAAAAAAGGAUCGUUUAACAAGGUGUUUGGGAAAUGGAAGACAGGUACUUUCCCUGCUUCAUCUGGGAGGCGAAUGUGGACCCGUUUACCUUCAGGAUUCCUUGGGUGUUCCUGUAGUUCCUUAAACUCUCUGCAGCUAAGCGAUUGGCAUGGUUCAGCUGGAUUUCCAUUUCAUUCAGAUCUCCUUCCAUUUUCUUCUUGACUCUCAGAGCAUCAUUUCUGCUUCUAAUCUCUGCAUCCAGCGUGCUCUGCAUUGUCUCCACGACUCUAGUGUGGUUUCUCUUCAGCUGGUCAAUUUCCUCAUCCUUUUCUGCGAUUUUUCUAUCAACUUCAGACUUGACUUGGUUUAACUCAAGCUGGAUACGCAGAAUCUUUCCUUCUUCAUGUUCAAGAGAUGCCUUAACAAAACAGUGAUCAAUUAAUAAUGGAGAAGAACCUGAGUAUUUGGAGUAUAUUCCCUCGUGAGCCAAACUCUUGUCAAUAUCAGUUUGUCUAAUUUUACAAAGUAUAAUACAGUAGUUCUGGGAAUCUUCUAGGUAAAUCAUUAUUUUGUUUAUUUAGUGACAGAUUAUAUAGGGCAGCUCUGCAAUAAAGGUGCAUUGUGCUAUACAAAUAUUGUUCAUAUUAAUACUAAUAAAAUUAUAUAAUUAAAUUCAUGUAUAGUAAAUAUAAAUUCUCAAUCUGUUUUAGAAAUUAAAAUGUUCUUGUGUGAUAUACUAGCCCCUGACCUAGAAACUAUCAGUUUUAAAAUGUUAAUUUUUUUUCCGAUUACAUAAUAAAUGUUCAUUGUAUAAUGUGGAGGCAAUACAUAAAACCAAAAGAAAACCUAGCUGUUGUUCCCCCAGUAAAGAGAAAAACAUUUUAAUAUGGUGUAUUUUUUCUAGUCUUUUUUCCUACUUCUAUAUAUUUUUACAUAAUCAAAAUUAUAUUGUAUAUGCAAAUUUGUGUCUUUAAAAUUACUGUCUACCGUAAAAUAUUUUUCCAAAAUAAUCAUAUUUCAUGGCUAUAUAAAAUUUCAUCACAUGACUGUUCUGUGAUUUGCUUACUUUUGUUCUUAGAUUGCACAUCUUUGCCUUAAAGCUUUACUCCAUUUGACAUCUUUUGGGUGAUAAAAUCUUAGAAAUAGAAUUGAUAGGUCAGAGUAUUUACAUUUUUAAGGAUUUUGAUAACUAUUGCCAAGUUGUCCUUCAUAAAGAUCCUGUGAGUUUAAAUUAUCACUAGCCCCACUUUUUUUUAACUGAUGUUUGUCUUUGUUUUUCCAUAACAUAAUACAAGGUAAUAUGUACCUCUGCUUCCUCUAAAGCAGCCUGAAUUUCACAUUUCUCUUGUUCUACUUGCUUCUUUAUUUUCUCCAAUUCAUGAAUUUGCUUUCCUCCCUCUGCAAUCUGCUCAGUGAGGUCAGAAAUCUCCUCUGUGGUUGAACAGACAGGAGAGAAAUGGUCAGAAAGAUGGCAACAUGGAAAGGUCCUCCCAGGGAUAUAUGGAGUAGGGAGGACUGUGAGGACUCACGUUGCAAGUUCUUAUUUUCUCUUCUUAGCGUUUCGAGUUGAUCCAGGGAUUCCUCAUAGACAUUCUUCACCUUGAACAGCUCAGUGCUAAGAGAACGUGACUCCUUCUGGGAGGCCUCAAGUUCAGCCUGAGUUUCCUCAUACUUCUGCUUCCAUUCUGAUAGGACCUGAAAAGCAAUAAAUCAUGAGUUGAUCCAAGGAGAAAGGAAGACCGAGUAAAACACUCUUAAAGUUUAAGCAGUCUGGGCCACCUUGUCAAAGUUCCUUUGCUUCUUAUCAAGGGCUGCACAGGCUGCAUUAGACCUUUCCACAUCAAGCAUGAGGUCUUCAACUUCAUUCUGGAGCCGCUGCUUCGUCUUCUCAAGGGAAGCACAUUUGGCGUUCACAGCUUCUACAUGUUCCUCAGCUUCUUGCAGGCGCUGGGCCAACUUUUUCCUGAAAAGUUAGCCAGGCAGUCAGGAGAAUGGCCAAGACCAGAAGCAAAGUGAUAACCUCCUUGGUCCCUUUUCACAGUCCUAUUUCUUUUCUUUUCUUUUGUUUCUUUUUUUGAGAGACGGAGUCUCGCUCUGUCGCCCAUGCUGGAGUGCAGUGGUGCAAUCUCGGUCACUGCGACCUCCCGGGUUCAAGCGAUUCUCCUGCCUCAGUUUCCCAAGUAGCUGGGAUUACAGAUGUGCACCACCAUGCCCAGCUAAUUUUUGUAUAUAUGUAUAUUUUUUUUUAAAUAGAGACAGGGUUUCACCAUAUGUUGGCCAAGCUGGUCUUGAACUCCUGACCUCAGGUGAUCCACCCGCCUUGGCCUCCCAAAGUGCUGGGAUUACAGGUGUGAGCCACUGUGCCUGGCCACGGUCCUGUUUCUAUACUGGCAAAUGGCAUAUGAUUUUCAAAACGGUGGCAGCCAGAACUGCUUUCUAGAUUGGUAAACUGUAUGGAAAGAUCCAAAGUGGUGAAGAGUUGGAAACAAGUCCUGGGAAUAUUAUAGAAUUCUAAGAGGCUGCUGUUAGUGCUGCCAUUGUAUGCGCCUUACUACCUAAGUAACUCAGGAUUUUCAAGACUUCUGAUUGAGUAUGACUGUGGAAAAUUAUUAGCCAGGACAAUCUUGUUGUUUGACUUAUAUAUCCAUUCUCACUCCAAUAUGGAUUUGAGGUUAACUAGAUAUUUUACUGGCCAGAAAUAUACUGAGCAUAUUCAUUUGCUUUCUCAGACUUUUCAUUCCAUUUUAUGUGUUUUUUUCCUAGAGAAUAGCCAGUUUCUUCUAAUCAUUAUAGUUGGACAAUCUCUCCUGGGAAAGAAACUGAUACAUAAAUCAGGACAAUUCGUGCAGUUUAAACAAAGGCAGGUUUUUUUUCCCUCCUGAAUUCUCUACAUUCUCAGUUCAUUUUCAGUUGUGUGCCAAGUACACAUCCUUAUGGUAGUGAAAAACCUUUGGCUUGAUGCCCAGGGAGAUCUACUUGAAGGUCUCCGUUUGUCUAUAUGCAGACUAAGGCUUCACUUUAUUUAGGCCAACCCUAAACAUUAUGUAUGGUUUGGUGGCCUCCAACAUGAGUUUUAAGAGGUAUGUCUUCUACUCAGUGCUUAAGAAGGUGGGCUGUAGAAUCAGAAUGACAGGCUCCAAACCCAGCUGUAUCAUUUAUUAAGCAGAUACUUUUGGGUUAGUUGGUUAACAACUUACAGCCUCAACUUCCUCAUCUGUAAAAUGGGGAUUAGAAUAAUGAUACCAAUAUAAUAUUGUUAUGAAGGUAAAUAAGCUGAUAUACAUGCAUACAUUAUAUAUAUAUAAUACUUGACACAGUAUGCACUCAAUAAAUGUUAGCUUUUGCUAUUGUUAUGUUAUCAUCAUCAUAAAUAUCACAGCUGCUUCUGGGAGUUCCUCUUCUAGAGUUCACAGCACAUACUUGGCCUCCUCCAGCUCCUCUGUGCGCUGGAUGGCAUCCGUCUCGUAUUUGGUUCUCCACUGGGCAACCUCACUGUUGGCCUUGGACAGCGCCCUCUGCAGCUCAGCUUUGCCUUCCUGCUCUUCCUCAUACUGUUCCCGCAGCAGGUCGCAGUCAUGGCGGGAGGACUGCAGGGCGUGUGCCAGGGCGUUCUUGGCCUGCAGAAGUAGCAGUUCAGUGACAUAAAUUCAUGUAUUCAGUGAUAUUUAACUUACACAUCCCAAGUAGAGCCUAACUGGGCAGGUUUAGAUUUGGUUAGUCAAAAAAAUCCUUGGCAAAACUCACUUUAGUUUCUUCCUCUAGUUGAUGUUUCAGCUCUUCAAUCUGCUGAGUAGAUGCUUGCUUGCUCCUUGAAAGCUGAGAGACUAAAGCAUCUUUCUCAUCUAAUUGUCGAGAAUAUUCACCUAGGAAUAAUAGACAUAAGGGAAUUUUUUACUGGCAUAAAAAUAAGCCUAAACCUUUUACAUUUAUAUAUGUGUGUGUGUAUAUAUAUAUGUAUAUAUGUGUGUGUGUAUAUAUAUAUAUAUAUAUAUAUACAAGUUGUAUAUACCUUACCUGAAAUGCUUGGGACCAGAAGUGUUUCAGAUUUCAGAUUUUUGUUUGAUUUUAGAAUAUUUGCAUUACACUUGCCAGUUCAGCAUCCCUAAUCCGAAAAUCUAAAAUCUGAAAUGCUGCAGUGAGCAUUUCCUUUGGACAUCAUGUCAGCCCUCAGUUUUGAAUUUUGGAGCAUUUCAGAUUUUUGAUUUUCAGAUUAGGGAUACUCAACCUGUGUGUGUGUGUGUGUGUCUGUUUGUGUGUGAUGUGUUUAAUCUACACUUCAUCUGCUUCUAAGUAUUUUUUUAGCACUGGUUAGAACCGGAGAUUUAAAAGCAGCAUUGCCAUAGAAGUGUUGUAAGUAAACUUGUCUGCUCAGUCUUGACUUCUUUCCUUUUUGACCUUCUUAGCAAACUCUGAUCAUUUGUUUAUCUUUCUCUAAAGUGGGAAUAUUGCUAUUUAUUAGAACCCCUAGAAUCCAUUUUAUUUAGUCCAUGGUGUUGGGACCCAGAGAAGAUGUCUUUACCCGCUUCUGUCUGCAGGCGCGCUCUCUGUGCUGUGAGGUCAUUGAUCAGCCGCUGCUGCUCCUCUUCCUUGGUCUUAAGCUCACUCACUUGAUCUUCUAGAGAGCGGCACAUCUUUUCAAGGUUUCCCUACAGGAUAUGUAGCAAUGAAAGAUGAGACAUUGAAUGCAAUAAAAAGGUUAAAACUUGAUUCUUAAAAUAUUUGUAGAGUAAAUAAAUUCAUGUCAAGUGUGAGUAGAAAGUUAGGACAUCAACUCUGUGGAACAUGCAAGAAUUUAGGCAUGGCGAGUGCAUAGUGUGCCUAAACUGGUCAUUGUUGGAGACCAUUUAUUCCAAUGAUAUUGACGCUUGCUUAAAGUGGAUUUUGAAAUCAUCUUAAUAGGCCGGGCGCGGUGGCUCAUGCCUGUAAUCCCAGCACUUUGGGAGGCCGAGGCGGGCGGAUCAUGAGGUUAGGAGAUCGAGAGCAUCCUGGCUAACACGGUGAAACCCCGUCUCUACUAAAAAUACAAAAAAUUAGCUAGGCGUGCUGGCGGGCGCCUGUAGUCCCAGCUACUGGGGAGGCUGAGGCAGGAGAGUGGCGUGAACCCGGGAGGCGGAGCUUGCAGUGAGCCGAGAUUGCGCCACUGCACUUCAGCCUGGGCGACAGAGUGAGACUCCAUCCCCCCGCUCCAAAAAAAAAUCAUCUUAAUCGAUCAUAACCAGCAUUUUAAAAAAUACCAUAGAAUGGGAUAUAUUUGGUUAGAAAAUAUUUGAGUAGUGCUGUAAAAUGCCUGCAAACAAUGUUUAGUGAUAGAGAAUAAUGGGUGUUCUUACAGAUGAUUACCUUCAUUUAGAGACAGUAUUGGGUACCUUGGCUUUGGAAAUGGCCUCUGCGUUACUGCUGAGGUCAUCAGUCUCCAUCUUCAGCUCACUCUUCUCCUUCUCCAGCUUCUGUUUGACCCGCUGCAAGUUGUCAAUCUGCUCCCCAAGCUCAGCCAUACUGUCUGCGUGCUUCUUCCGAAGAGCAGCCACCAUAGCUUCAUGCUGCAGGGUGGCCUCCUCCAGGUCCCUGCGCAGUUUCUGAAACUCAGCCUCCCGCUUCUUGUUCAAUUCCACCUGAGCAGAAGUUGCCCCACCGGCUUCUUCCAGCCUCUCGCUGAUCUCCUCCAGUUCCCGGGAGAGGUCAGAGCGCUGCUUCUCCGCUUUGGCUCGGGACGCCCUCUCUGCCUCGAUUUCUUCCCCCAGCUCCUCAAUGCGGGCCUGGGAAUGAAAGAAGCACAUAAACAUAAACUCAUCUCAACUUCAGUGUUUUUUUGGUGUGCAGAAAAAAUAGAGGUGAGAUGACUCACCUGCAACUCUUUGAUCUUCUUCUGUAGUUGAAUUUCUACAGCUUGCUCAUCUUCAAUUUUGCUUAUCAAAUUGCUGAUUUCAAAUUCUUUCCUUUAGACAGAAGAGCAAGACGUAUUAAUACUCAUGUGAAUUGAAAGAUGAUAUCACAUAGAAGUUUUUUUCUAAAAGGCUCCUACUUUUCAAGCUUUUCAUCAAGUUGCUGUUUGUCAUUUUCCAUAUCCAUUGUGGAUUCUUGGGCCAAUUUGAGGUCACCCUCCAGUUUCCGCUUUGCUCUUUCUAGAUCCAUUCGAAGCUUCUUUUCUUGUUCCAGAGACCCUUCAAGCUAAUAAGAAAGUAAAUAUGGUAAAAAUUGAAAGUAUAUAUUUUUAAAAAAAUCUUUCAAAGGGAUAUUUAAAAUGUGCUUACAUCAUCCACUUGCUGUUCUAGCUUGGUUUUAGCUUUGGUCAGGAUGUUGACUUUGUCCUCCUCUGCCUGCAGGUCAUCCAGGGUCUGCUGGUGGGUCUCUUGGAGAGCCUUCUUCUCCUUGGACAGUUUUGCAAUGGUUUCAUCCAGGCCUGCCAUCUCUUCUGUAAGAUUUUUCACCUACAAAGGUUAAGAAAGAGAUUAUUUCUCCUAUAAAGCAAUUUAGUUGGUGGCAGAACCUCUAUACAGUAUUGUAAAAUAUGACUGAUACCUUGUUCUCCGUGGCAUGUUUCUCCUUCUCAACCUUGGCCAGUGUCAGCUCAAGGUCAUCAAUGUCUUUCUUGAGUUCUGAACAUUCAUCCUCCAGUUUUCUCUUCUUGGCUGUCAGCUCAGCAUUGAUCUCUUCCUCCUCCUCAGCUCUUUCAGUCACCUCUUUGAUUUUGGCCUCAAGUUGGAUUUUGUUUUUAAUCAGUUGCUCACACCUUUCCUCUGCAUCAGCCAAGCUAUCUGCUUCCUAUGGAGAGAUUCAUUCAGAUACUUAGAGUCUGUUACUUAUUUUGAAACUUGGUGUUUUUUUUGCGCAAAAAUAAUAGUGUUUUAUUGAAUUCUGUUGAAUUUUUCAGUAUGAAUAUAAAUUUAAUUUAAUCGAACAUUAUUACAUGGUCUGGAGAAAUGCAGCUUAUUGGAAGUGAGACUAUAGCUUUAGAAGCAAACUAGUUUGCAAAGUUAUUGGAUUGGAGCUAUUGAUUAUUUAAAAAAUAAUUUGUAGAAGAGUGGAAAGACCUCUAAAUCGGGCAAAAGGAAGCCUGGGUUCUUGUCCCAAUAUUGUUUGCAUAUGUAUGACUUUGGGCAAAUUGCUUUAUUCCUUUCAUUCUCAAUUUUGUGUAUAUAUAUAUAUGGGUUGGAAUAAAUGAUUGCCAAGAGCUUUUCAGCUGUAAUAUUUAAAGAUUUUGAUUUAGUUAAAUUGGUUAGUUUUGGUUUUGAUCAUUCCCUGUCCCCCUCAAACCAAUAAUUGCUAGGCUGUAUUGAAGAAAGAAAAAGAAGAAAAAUAAUUUAAAUACAUUUCCAUGUAGUAUUUUUUAAUACACUAAAACCUUCCUGGUAGUUCAUACAGUGCUAUAAUUGUUCAAAAUUUACAUUUCCAUUUACAGAAUUACCCAUUAGUCUUAAGGUGAAUUUUAUUUUUUGGAACUUUUACCCCAACUUUUAUUUUGAAAACUGUUAAACUUACCGAAUAGCUGUAUGAAUAAUACAAUAAAUUGCCAUAUACCAUUUACCUAAAUCCUCGUAUUUUUAACAUUUUACUGUUUUUUCUCUCUCUAAACACACACAUAGACACAUAUAUAGGCACAUGUGCACGCACACACACACACACACUCUCCUAAAUCAUUUGAAAGUAAAUGGCAGAUAUCAUAUUUUAGCAUUUCUCUCCUAAGGACAUGAACAUUCUCCUAUAUAACUACAAUACUGUUAUUACAAAUGAAAAUAUUAAUCACUGAUACAAUAAUAUUAUCUAAUAUACAGUCUAUAUUCAGAUUUCCCCAGUGUAACAAAAAUGUUCUUUAAGUUUUGUGGUUUCAUUGUUUCAUUUUUAUACACAACAUGGGCAAUAGGCCUAAACUGCAACAUAAUUUUCAGAGAGUUGUACCAUUGACUAGGCUAGAGGUUCUCAUGCCCAGGACAAUUCUAGUUAAGGAAAGAUUGAUGAACUGUUCUUAGCCCUUUCUGCUUUUGUGUUUUUGUUUGCUUUUGUUUUCCCAUUCCCUUCUAAAUCUGGUUAAUGUGGAAAGUCUAUGUUGAGCCCCUGAAAUUUUGAAAAUGUUCAAACCCAUAUGUCAAGUUAGGAAAAAAAAAUAGAAUGAACAGUGAUAUGUUAUGAACCUAGAUUUACCAGUUGCUAAGUUAUGCCACAUUUGCCUUGUCCAUUCCAUUUGUGGCCCUCUCCCCUCUCCCAAUAAUUAUCAAAAUGAAUUUUAGAAUAUAUGAGAAAAUGUAAUUCUCAGAAACUGUAUAGCUCAAUAAAGUUUUUAUAAGUGACUAAUGAAAGGAUUCAAAUAAAAAUCAAUCCAGUCUAAUUUAUUAGGUUACCUUGGCCUGGGGAAUAUUUUUUAACUCCCAGUGUUUGUUUUGUUCUUGAGUUUAAAAAACGUUUAAAUGGAAUAUAAUGGGAACUUAUUGGGGGAUUCUUUUCUUUUUUCUUUUUUUGAGCUUUACUGCUUAAUAUAUUUAUUUUUAAUAGUGAUACACUCAAUACAUAUUUACUCACUGACUAAUGAUAACUGUGAAAAGAUGGUAAGAUAGAGAGGCUAUGGUCCUGUGCUUUUGGAAAAAUGUAACCUUCAUAUAAAUGAAGGUAUCAGAAGGAAAAAUUGAAAGUUGCUGAAAAAAAGUGGGAAAACUAUCCUUUUCACAGGUUAGUUUAUGAUAUUGUUAGGUUUGCUGAACCAAGGAAAUGGGAGGUUACCUUUGACCAAAGUGUUCAUGCCAAACCUACUCCCCACCCCAACUGCCCCUCCUUCCUGCACCAAUAAACAGACUCUAGGAACUAGAGAUUUGUAUCAGAGGAAGAAUCAGGAGGACACAUUGCUCUGCCUGACAUGCUGGUAGUUCAGUUCCAUUAAAUACAGAUAGAUUUAUUGAGCUAAAUCUUGGGGGUUGGGGAAAGGAGAUACAGAAAUAAAUAAGUUUGAAUUUAAAUACAAUCUCAUAGACUUGCAUUUAGAAAAUAGAGCUAUACUUUUAAUGCUGGGCUAAAGUAGCCCAGGCAAAGGGGUAAAAUAUUUGACUGAGACUUGGGGGAUUGGCUUUAAGCUACUUCCUUCAUGGCUGUUAAAUUUUGUGAUAUUAUUUAAACAAAUUCUUCAAUCUUUCCUUUUCCCAUUGUAACUUGGAAAUAAUUGUGCCUUUUCUUCCCCAUAGAAUACUAAAAGAUAAAUGAGGUAUUAAAAACAGCAACUUGAGAUUUUUUUUCAAGUAGAGAUCAUUUGUAAAUCCAAAGUAUAUGUGUGUUUCAAAAAAGCUUCAGUAACAUGGUGCAUUCAGAAUAUGGAGUACUCACAGAUUGAACCUGGAGUUGCAGGUCAUUUUUCUCUUUUAAGAGAGUGACCAUUUUUUCCUCUAGCUCCUUCCGUUUUGCCUCUGACUUGGCGAGUUCAUCUUUGGUUUUCUGGAAUUCUUCCUUCAUGGUGGCCAUCUCUUUCUCGGUCUCUGCACUCUUGAGGAGGGGCUUAAUCUUGAAAAAGAGUUUCAUCCAGGGCCAGUGCUUGACGUUCAUGAAGGCACGGACAUUAUACUGGAUGCAGAAAAGUGCUUCUCUGCGAUGACAUGAAAAUAUCAGUGUAGACUAAUCCAUCAGAGCCAAUGUUAUUGUUACUUAUCACACACAAAUUUCCCUUUUAAUGAAUGCCGCUCACAAAUAAAUAUGUCACAUUCUCUAUAUAUUAUAUGCAGGCUUUACACACACACACACACACACACACAUGUACACACAUUCUCGCGCUCACACUCAUGGUCAGUAGCCCUCAGUAUAACCACUUUGCUAAUAUGAGUACGGUUCAUAUUGAGCACAUCUUCUGUGUUCUCAAUCCCUAUCAAACUAGCCAAGAGAGUGACUUUAGGGGUGAAUAUUUUGAAUGUAUGAUCAGCACAUACCAUUUGACAUAUGACAGUAUUAGUGAUUUGAGGGUGGGCAUGGUGAUUGCAUGUUGAUUGUGCUGCCUGUCUGUGGGCAUAUGGAUGAGAACUGUGAAAUGACAUAGGUUGCCUUCUGAAUGGCCCACCUAAACUGAGCGAAUGAUUUGUCAUCUCUUCCUUGAAGUUGCUCCUCUUAUUUUGAACAACACUGAAUUAUCCACUCUAUAAACUUUUUUUGCUAGCUUCUUCAGAUAAUACACUGGCUUAUCUCAAAUUCUUUCAAGUGCCUCAGUCUUAACUGAUUAAUUGGAUUGUUAAUAUUUGCGAGGCAUUCAGCAUCUGUUGAGCUCUAAAAUUUAUUUUAUUGAAAUAAAGUGAAAAAUAGUAAUAAAAGGUACCCCUACUGCAAACUAUAGCCAUAGACUGGCUAGGUUUGACUACUUGUAGCAAUGUGUAUGUUUCUUCAAGCUUGUUAAAAUGGAAAUUCUAUCUCUAUAGGUCCAGUUUUUAAGACUUGUAACUCUAUGAAAGCAGAUACCUUGACACAAACCAUAACGUUCACACAUGGGAAAGACUCAGGAACACUUCCAGUGCAGGCCUAAAUGAUUACAGAUAAGAAAAAUGAAUGCACAGUGUGUGUGUAAGUAGAGGGAAUGCAAUAGUGUUGGGUAGAUAAACUGGGUGAGAUUAGUUACAGAAAGGGGAAAUUAAAGUUUUAAAUUGGUAAAUAGAUAAAUUAGGAUGAGGGGAGAGAUGAGAUAAGAAGAUAAGCAAAUGAGAGAUUAGUAGAUAAGCAAAUUGUUUAGCCUGGCUGGAAAAGGCUAUGUGCUUGGAAAUGAUAGAUGAGGUGGGGAAUAGAGAGGGCCUUGACAGGCAAGCAAGCAACUAGCUUGAUGAAAAUACUGCUUACUGCAAACUAUUCCUGUGGCUGUAUGUGAGAUGGCUGGAGGUAGGAGAGAAGUUUUGAAAGGAAUCCAAGUGUGAGAGCUGAAGCAAAGGCUGCUGUGUUGUAGGAGUGAGUUCUGAAUUGGGUGAGAGGAACUAUUAGCCACCAAAUGAAAGAAUUAAUGAAUGAACAAGACUGAUUGAUAGUCCUUAAGGGACCUUAUAAUUCUGAUAUUCUGAAUGAUUGUUACCUCCUUUGCAACAUCUUCUGAUAUUCUACCCUCAUUAGGAAUCCCCUACAGACAGCUUGUGUUCUUGUUAUAAUUUGGGCUAAUUUUUCAUCUCUCAUUUCUUCCAGAAGACCCAGAAGUCCAGCUUUGAAGAAAACCUGGAGAAAGAGAGAGUCACAAAUCAUCUCCAUACUGCAGGAGAUGCAGAAAUGGCAGAAGGUACUUGGAUCAGGUGUAAAUAAAUAACGAUAUACCUUGGUAUGUCCAAAUUUAUAUUGAGUAUGAUCAAUAUCAAUAGAUGCAAGAAGUUUCUCAGAAGCCUUCUUGCUGUCAAUGAACUGUCCCUCUGGAAUAGCACUUGCAUUUAAAACCUUGUAUCUGCUCAGUUAAAGAAAGAAAGAAUGGUUAGGAAAAUGUGACCACAUGCCAACAAAAUGACACCAAAAAGAAAUAUCAACAAACAUCUGAGAGUAGAAAUAAAAGUGGAAAAUCCAACUGCCGUUUAAGGACAGAUAGUAAAACAAUAUGAUUUUCUGUUGCAUGCCUGCUUCCUGUUAUCCUUCUAACCUGUUGUAUUAUCCUACCACCACAAGACUAUAUUAUUCGACUUCUUAAUUUUUUAAUACAUACUAAUUCACAGUGUUAAUGAAAUACAUCAAAGAAGACUGACCUUUGUUUGAAAUCACCAUAUAAGAUUCUGCUUGGGAAUCCUUUCCUACAGAUGCGGAUGCCUUCCAGCACACCAUUACACCUCAGCUGGUGCAACACAAGUUCAUGUUCCAUUGCCCCUAAAAAUAUAGAACAGUACUUAUUAGUGGGCAUUUAACUUUCAAACCUGUGCCCGUUUGAUUAUUUCACUCUCUGUGUCUUACCAGGAGUUUUGGUUUCAUUGGGAAUGAUACACCGUACGAAGUGAGGGUGUGUGCUCCUCAGAUUCGUCAUCAAUUUAUUUAAAUUUUCCUAGAAAACCAGACAGAAAGGACUUGAUGAAAAAGUUCUAUUUCAGGUUGUUUUUUGUAAUUAUAUGGAAUGAACCUAGACAGUCCUUUAACUACUAGGCAUGCAUCUGUGAGGCUUCAAUUGCUCUGUAUUUUGAGGGUCUCAAGAGUUCUAGCCUGCCAAAUAACAAAAAGGCCAAAGUGGUUGGAAGGAAUGCACAUCUCCAAGGUAUUCCUUUGUAACACCAGGGAUCUGUCUCAUAAACAAAUUGCAAUUCAGUAACCUUGUGAUGUACAAGGAAGGGUUCUCAACCGAGAAUCACAAGACAAAACAUGAUGGCUUUGCUAUGCCACUAAUGAACUGCCUGACUGUAUAAAAUCCAUUUUUUCUCUGGGCAUUAUCUGAGAAUAGUUGAGAUUGUUUGUGAGGUCUCUUUCAUCUCUCUCAGUGCUAAUAAUUUUCACAGUAGCAGUUUACAGUGGUAACCUAAGUUAGCAAUUGUCCUAACUUUUGCCUUUCCUUCCUUGAGUGUAAUAUUUCCUGGGACCUCUUACCCUCUUGUUUUCUUUUGAUUUUUGAAGAGUCUAAAAUUGUGAAACUGGCCAGGCAUGGUGGCUCACGCCUGUAAUCCCAGCACCUUAGGAGGCCAAAGCGGGCGGAUCAUGAGGUCAGGAGUUCGAGACCAGCCUGGGCAACGUAGUGAAACCCCAUCUCUACUAAAAAUACAAAAAUUAGCCAGGUCUGGUGACGGGUGCCUGUAAUACCAGCUACUUGGGAGGCUGAGGCAGGAGAAUUACCUGAUACCAGGAGGCAGAGUUUGCAGUGAGCUGAGAUUGUGUCACUGCACUACAGCCUGGGUGACAGAGCAAGACUCUGUCUCGAAAAAAAAAUAAAUAAAUAAAAUAAAAUAAAAUUAUGAAACUAUAUAACCUUGGGUUGGUGGGUGUUGGGUACCUGAGACUAGAUAUACUCUUAAGAAGGCAGAUUUUUUUUUUUUUUUUUGACAGAAUCUCGCUCUGUUGCCCAGGCUGGAGUACAGUGGUGCAAUCUCGGUCCACUGCAACCUCUACCUCCUGGGUGCAAGCGAUUCUUCUGCCUCAGCCUCCCGAGUAGCUGGGACUAUAGGCGUGCACCACUAUGCCCGGCUAAUUUUUAUAUUCUUAGUAAAGAUGGGGUUUCACCAUAUUGGCCAGGCUGGUGUUGAAUUCCUGACCUCGUGAUCUGCCCGCCUCAGCCUCCCAAAGUGCUGGGAUUACAGGUGUGAGCCACUGCGCCCGGCCAAGAAGGCAGAUUUUUUUUCCCACAGCUCAGUUAACCAUUAGGAAAUGAAGAAAAUAAGUAAUGUGAGUUCCUAAUUUUGAAAACAUGUAUGAAAACAAGUUGAUAAAACAAAAGUCUAUUUGGUAAGAUAAUGCAAAUUGGUUGUGAGAAAGAAAAAGAACAAGAGUAGUUUUCUUGUUUAGAUCAUAGGUCGUAUGUCGUGUCUGUAUUUUAGUUUUAUAAGGAAUGAGACUUAGCCAUACACAUUUUGAUUAAAAAGCCAUUAUUAGUCCAUAUAUAAGAACAAGUUUUUAAGCUACAUAGGAAAAUCACAUUACUUUGUAGUGAAAUUAUUAUUCUUUAAUCUCAAGAGAUAUUUCGUAUCUUAAUGAUCCAUUUAAGUCACUGGGCUUGGCUUUAGAUGAUUUUCAGCUGUAAUGAAAAAUUAAAUUCACCUCAGAGGACAAAGAUAUGUUUUGGUGAAAGAUGUUAUGAAGAGUGUAUCUGAGGCUCAUUCUCAAAGAGGAACUCAGGAACAUUUUCAAAGGGCAGCAUUCAAAGCGGAAUAAGAAUAUGACCUUCCACAGGGACAGCUUUGAAGUUUAGCUAUACUUCUUUAGAAAUCAGCCUCAUUAUAUAAUGAGAAAGUUUCUAAGGGCAUUUUGGCAAUCCUGAAUACAUUAGAUAAUCGUAAUAAGGAAUAAUGGGUAAAGCAUCCGUUCCUACAGGAGUAGUAUUUCUUUGGCUAUACUCUGACGAGAGCUGAUAUUUGAAGUGAUUCCUAUUAACAUUUUAUUGCCUCAUAAUUUUUUCUAAAUCCUUAAUUAUGAUAAUUCAUAGAAACUGAGUAGAUAUUUCAAAUUAAAUUUGUACUUUACCCUGAAAAGGGCAGACACAGUCUGGAAAGAAGAGCCCUUUUUCUUAGCACCUUUCUUCGCGCUGCUAUCUGAGGUAAAAAGAAAACCCGUGAAUAAGAAUAGAAUACCAGAGGCUUAUAUGAACAUGUAUUAUAACAUUAUGUGAGAAUGGAUUUAAUUUAGAUUAAGGACACAGAAAGUACCUGCUUCAGCACUAGCAUACGUGGAAAAGAGACUGGCUAGAGUCUUCAUUGCAGACUUCUGGUACAGCCCAACCACAGUAUCAUUCAGGGGGUCCUUAUUUUUGUCCAGCCAGCCAGUAAUGUUGUAGUCCACAGUGCCAGCAUAGUGAAUCAGAGAGAAGUGGGCCUCAGCCUUGCCUUUGACCACCUUGGGCUUCUGGAAGUUGGCAGACUUGCCCAGGUGCUGGUCAUACAGCUUGUUCUUGAAGGAGGUGUCCGUUGCCUUAGGGAACAUGCACUCCUCUUCCAGGAUGGAGAAGAUGCCCAGUGGCUGAAUUCAGAAAAGUAACAUUGGUGUCAACCUAACUUCUCUCAAAAGAUAGAGACAUGGUGGCUGUCAUUUGAUUGAAUUAUGAGCACCCCAAUUAAAUAUAUGUAUGAAAUAAACCAGGGUCACAGCUCGAAGAAGUCCCUUGUUAUCACUAGAAUGACUUUUCCACUAUUCUUCUCACAUUCAAUCUGUAGCAUUACUUUCAAUUAAAAGAAUAGCUGGAUACAAACUUCCUCAACACCGCAUGUUAAAAUGUUAUGUAUUAUUAUACUUUUUUCCUAUUCAGUGAAUAAAUCUAUUGUCAGAGUUUUUCUUCGUUAUGAAAAUAGCUUACUGACUUAUGAUGUUGACUCUAUGCAGUAAUUAAACAGUAUAAACAACCAAAUUUUAUUCAAGAUAUUUUGGGUAUUUAAUUUCUUUAAAAUAGAUUAUAGGCUGAGCACAGUGGCUCAUGCCUGUAAUCCCAACACUUUGGGAGGCCAAGACAGGAGGAUCACUUGAACUCAGGAGUUCAAGACCAGCUUGGGGACCAUGGCAAAACACCGUCUGUACAAAGAAUACAAAAAUUAGCUAAGCAUAGUGGCACAUGCCUGUGGUCCCAGCUACUCGGGAGGCUGAGGUGAGAGGAUCGCUUGAGCCUUGGGGUUGAGGCUUCAGUGAGCUGUGAUUGCACCACUGCACUUCAGCCUGGGCGACAGAGUGAGGCCCUGUCUCAAUAAAUAAAUAAAUAAAUAAAUAAAAUAGAUUAUGAAGUAGCGUAUGCAGUUUGACUUCUUGACUUUGAACAGAUUGGCUUUCAUGAAAGCACUAACUGUGUCAUGUGUGCAUUAAUUUUUAUAUAGAAAAAUAUUUUUAUUGUGGACAUCAUGGAUCAUAAUGGAGAUAGAUCAAGAACUAAUGAGGACAGUAGUUGUAGUAAAGCAGAACAUCUCAAAUAGAGUUUUCAGUGCUGUGUUAAAGUUGGAUUUGAUCCAGUGUCAGAAUAAGAAUGGUUAGAACAGAAUAAAAGUAAACACUGUCAGAUCUUUCUUAUGUAGAAGUUAAAAAGAGGAAGUAAUUUCUAAAUAGUAAUUUUCCAGUUUGUUCAGAUCACAAACCAUUUGAGAUUACAGUAAUACUUUCUAGAAUUGCUUAAGAUUUCUGGAAAGUGAUCCUCACAGUCUGCCCUUCUUUGGAAACCAAACCGACCUUCUCAAUGAGCUCAAUGCAGGCAGCCAGGUCCAUCCCAAAGUCAAUGAACGUCCACUCGAUGCCUUCCUUCUUGUACUCCUCCUGCUCUAGCACAAACAUGUGGUGGUUGAAAAACUGUUGCAGUUUCUCGUUGGUGAAGUUGAUGCACAGCUGCUCCAGGCUGUUAAACUACACAAAAUAAUAGAGAUUUCCAACAUCAAAUGAGUUUUAUAGUAGUAAAAUUCAUUACUGAAAAAAUUCUUUUAUUGAAAAAAUGUGGAAUGUAGUAAUGAGAUACAGUUAAAACUAACGUUGCUCCCUCAAAAAAUGAUCAUUGGCCGGGCACGGUGGCUCACACCUGUAAUCCCAGCACUUUGGGAGGCCGCGGUGGGUGGAUCAUGAGGUCAAGAGAUUGAGACCAUCCUGGCCAACAUGGUGAAACUCUGUCUCUACUGAAAAUACAAAAAAUUAUCUGGGUGUGGUGGCGUGCACCUGUAGUCCCAGCUACUCGGAAGGCUGAGGCAGGAAAAUUGCUUGAACCCUGGAGGUGGAGGUUGCAGUGAGCUGAGAUCGCGCCACUGCACACCAGCCUGGGUGGCUGGGCGAGACCCUGUCUCAGAAAAAAAAAAAAAAAAUCAUUAUUCACGUGAGCCUUUCUCAUGAAUCCCAGGCAUUGUUGAGGGUCCCAGAUAUCAAUGUUAGAACAAGAAUUCUGGUAGAAUUUACCUUUUCUCCUCUAAGAUUGCAUGGGCAAGAAUAUACUUUAAAAGUUCAACCAUGGUCCUGUGUUAUGGUUUCGAUUCAAAGGUAAAAGGGAAAGGAGUUGAUUGGAAAUUCUCACUUCUUUCACCACUCCCACUCUCCAAUUCAAAAUAAAGUUCACAUUUUCACCUUUGGCUGUUACAUUAUUAAGGAAAGCUGAUCUUAAGACCUUUAAUAUAAAGGUCUUGGUGUAUAAAGUGAAAUCAUUAGGGUAAUUUCUCUUCUAUUUAUAUCAGACAUUUAGCAAAUCCCCCUCGUCAGGUGUGUGAAAGCAGGGACCUGAUAUAGUAUAGCAGUUGAAGAUCUAAAAGGUCUUUGUAAUAAUUUACUCCUUUAUUUUAUAGAUGGUGAACUGAUGCCCUGGAGGUAAAAUAGUUUAUGUAAGACAAAUCUGGAAGAGGAGAGACAGACUAUCAUCUGUCUCUAGGCUUCUACCUUUGGGCCUUUUCUUCUCUAUGAAGAAGCCUUGUGUAUGGAUCAAAUGCUGUAGAUCUGGGUUGCUGUCCUGGAUUUGUCUUAUGCACCUGUGGGAUCUUUAGCUAGUGUUUUGAUUUCCCUGCAUCUUAGUUUCUUCUAUAUAAGUUGGGGGAAUAUUAGCUACUCCUUGGGUUGUUUUGAAGAUUAAAUAUGGUAACGUUUUGAAGUCCCUAGUGUACACUGCUGGCCCAGUGAGCGUUAGCUAUUAUUAGUAGUACAUUAUGUUACCUCCUAUUUUGGAGAUAACCUUUGUUCUAGGUGCAGUGUUGGAGCAAGUAAUAUGGACGCUAUAAAUGUGGAUGAAUAAUGAUAAUACCUAAUAUAUCAAAGCCCACAAUUGCCUCCUUCUUAAUUCUUGUUAAUAUAACUCACAUCAAAGAUUUCAAAGCCAGCAAUGUCCAAGACCCCGAUGAAGUACUGCCUGGGCUGCUUGGUGUCCAGCUGCUGGUUGAUGCGGGUGACCAUCCACAGGAACAUCUUCUCGUAGACGGCUUUGGCCAGAGCACCCACCGCAUUGUACACCUUCACAGAUAGAGUAAUGUUUGUUGGUAUUGUUAAAGACAUGCCAUGAAGGCCUGAGAUGUGUGUGAUUCAUUGAGGUCAUGCACUUACCUGCUGCACAGUCUGGCCUUUGGUGACAUACUCAUUGCCAACCUUGACCCUAGGGUAGCAGAGGGCUUUGAGUAGGUCUGCAGAGUUCAGACUCUGGAGAUAGGCUGCCUUGUCAGCGACUGCAGAGACACAGUUCAGGACAUGUUGUUUCAUGAAGGAUAUCCUCUUUUACCUAAUCUUUCCAUUUUUCUCCAAUUCAAUCUAUUAUUUAAAUAAAAAGCUUAAAUAAUUCUAUAAAAGGCCAAAUGAGGUUUUCUAACCUUAGAGCAUGUGGUUGCCAGUAAAUGGUUGAUUGGUUAUACUGAUCUUUAGUGAUUUAUUUCAAGUAGUUUUUAAGAAAUUUUUCAUCAACUGUAAACAUAUGUAGUAUUUAUUGCCGUCUUGCAGUUUUUUGUAAGUAAAAGCCAUAGUCCCUGUUUUUAAGACACAUUAGGUGUAGUUGGAAGGAUAAGAUAAAUAUUCACUGUUAGAGAGGGUAAAAGUCAGAAUAUUUUGAUUCUUAUCUUAGUUUUUCACCUCCCUAUUAAACCUUGCUGGAUUAAUUUCUUUAUCUACAAAUGUGGAGAUUAAAAUUUACUGCAUGAUCCCUACAGAAUCCCUUUCUAAAAUUCUGUCGGUGACUAUAACGUAAAUAAAUGCCACAUGUCAGGUACACCAGUAACUGCUGAAACAUUUAGAGGAGGAAGAAAGAAUGUCAAUUCGAGGUGGUCAGGAAAGGCUUUAAGGAGCGAUAACUGUCUUUCUGGGGUAGAUCCUGUAUAUUGCGUGCUCUUUCCAUACGUAGAAUAUAUGAUCUUUUUUCUCAAUUCCUUUUUUUAACUCUUACUUGCUGCCUAUAUUGUCUAUGGAUUUAUAUACAGACAAUACACACUUGCUUACAGAUGACUCUAGGGGUAUCUUUCUCCCCAGCCCUGUAUUUGGGCAGAUUCUCUGCUGUCAGUUCCUAGGGUCUUCCUAUCUAGUGCUGAAAUAGAGCAGUCUACAGUUAUCUACAUAUACCCACCUUCGUUGCCAAGGCCAACCAGGAGCACUAUUAUAUCUCAUUCUAUCUCAUAGUUUGUGCUUAUAAGUGGCUAUUGGGGUUUGUUUGUGACUUAUUUGGGCUGGAUGGAAAUGAUGGAGACAUGGAGAUGUAAGGAAGAGAGGGGGUGAGGAAAGCAUGCAGUGUGUGUAAAUGUGUAUAUGCCCUUCACAAGUCGCAAGUCCAGCCACAAAGGAGAUGUGAGUGUAAAAUAGGAUUUUUUUUUUUGCUACAUUCUCUCAUUAAACCCAGAUAAAGUUUCAUUUGGUACCUUCUGUGCCAUCUGGCUCAGCUUGCUCCUCACGCUGCUUUUGCUUGAAUUUCAUGUUCCCAUAAUGCAUCACAGCCCCUGUGAGUUUAUAGAUGGACACUUUCUCUUCAGGAGUGAAGCCCAGGAUGUCAAUGGCACUCUACCAGGAAAAAUGAGAGGACAAAAGUUAGGGCUGAAGAGACUAACUUAUAAGAGAAUUUAUACAUAUCCUAAGGUAACCACACCUACAGUAGUUUGCUAUUGUCAUUUCCAUACAUAAUGGAUUUUUAAAAUUAGUGUUUUUGACUUACAUCAGUGGCCAUCAACUCUUCUUGGUCAUCAAUACUGGGAACUGUGAUCUCCCCCUGACUGACGAAGGCAUAGUCAUAUGGGUUGGUGGUGAUCAGGAGCAUUUCUGGGUCACAGAAUUCAGGGCAUACAUUUUACAUUAGACAUUGUUAAUAAAAAUAUUAACUUCUAUCUAUGACUUUAAGUUCUUUCUUACCAAUUAGAUCUGGCUUCUUAUUGGAAGUGAUCUGAUAAAAAAUAUGGUAGCUUCUUUCCGCCUUUAGCUGGAAAGUAACUCUGGACUUUUCUAAAAGAUCUGGAGAGGGAAAUAGAUAUCGAGUUUGAAAAAAGUAUCAAUGCUUCUGAGAUAGUAAAUGAACCUCACGUCUUUGGUCAAAUUUGGAGCAUUACAUUUGGCUCCAAUGAGAUUUCAACUUGAUGACCAAUUGCAGAUAGACAGUGAUUCUCACUGUCUAAGGGCAGCAACUGAAGCAUACCUGCUCUAGGACAAAUAUAUUUUUCACAUGAAGGAUCCAUGACCUCUGUAUUUUAGUUGAUCCCUAAUAUCCCCUCCUUCUUUGGAUCACCUAGGAUUCACUCUGGGUGGUGAGGGCCUACCUUGGAAACAUCUACCAAAACUCAGAUCAGGAGCAAACCACAGAGAUGUAUUGGAAACCCAUAAGUAGCCCAGUUUUUGUCCUGGAAAAAAAUCAUAGUUGCUUCUGAGGCAGGAAUUUCUCUAGGAUGUGUUACAGAAUCAUCAAGUCUGAGAUUGAGAUAAAGGGAGCACUCAGUGGAUUAUGGGUAAGCCUAGCAUUAGCUUACAGGCAGUACUGGCAGCAGACUACCCUUUUAACAGGCUUCAUGCACAGCAAGGGUGGCAAAAUAUCCCUGCAAAUGAAAUCACUUGUCUCUCUGUUUUGAUUUUCAAUGGUCCUGUUACUCACAUGUUUCUAUAUCAGCAGAUGCCAGCUUCCCUGUAGUACCAAAGUGGAUUCUAAUGAAUUUACCCUUGAAAAGAAUAUUUAGUAUUAGAAAACUGAAACACAAAGAGAGAUGCAAAUGAAAUAAUAAUUCAGACGUGGCUACUCUGGAAGUUAGGGGUUGAGACCAAGAGACUCACAAAGCGAGAGGAGUUGUCAUUCCUCACAGUUUUGGCAUUGCCAAAGGCCUCCAGUAGGGGAUUGGCGCUGAUGAUUUGAUCUUCCAGAGUCCCCUGCAAAGGAAGGAGCAGUUCUCACAUCUGGGACUCCAGAUGUCUGAGAGCCUUGACAGAGGUUUUGACUCUGGCUAUCAGACCUACCUGCAUUUUGCCAGAUUCAUCCUUCUUCUUCUCUCCAGUAACUGCAAUUGUUGCAAAGUAUUGGAUGACACGCUUGGUGUUCACAGUCUUUCCGGCACCAGAUUCUCCGCUGUCAAACAGAAAUCAGAGAAGAGAUCAGAGAACUAUGGCCUGCAUUGUCAACAUCUAAGACAAUCCUUGCAAAUCAGAGAAGAAAAAAAAUCACAUACGUGAUCAGGAUGGACUGAUUCUCUCGAUCUGUGAAAGAAUUCAAAAUCAUCCGUUAAAAAAUGCAUAUUUAAUAUGAAGAGUAUUGAAUCAGUUCAGAUCAAACACAGCUUGUUCUUUUUAACUUUUUGAAGAUGUCACCUUUGGUUUUGAUUUUGUGUUUAUCCUCCAAAAUAGCCAAUUGCUUCUCAGUGUAAAAUUUGUGAAAAUGAAAGCAAAGAAUCAUCUCUUCCUUUUUGUAUUUAUUAAUUUUUAAUUGCGAUGAGAUACACAUAACAUAAAAUUUACCAUCUUAACCAUUUUUAAGUGUAGAGAUCACUGGCAGUAAGUACAUUCAUAAAGUUGUAAAAUCAUCAUCACCCUUCAUCUCCGUAAUUCUUUUCACCUUGUCAAACUGAAACUCUGUGUCCCUUAAACUCUUAACUCCCCAUCUCCUACUCCUCCCAUUCCCUGGCGCCCACCAUUCUACUUUCUGCCUCUGUGAAUUUGACUACUCUAGGUACCUCAUGUAAGAGGAAUCAUAGAGUAUUUGUCUUUUUUGUGACUGGCUUAUUUCACUCAGCAUGGUGUCCUCAAGGUUCAUUCAUAUUUUAGCAUAUGUCAGAGUUUCCUUCCUUUUAAAGGCAGGAUAUCUUAUUGCAUGUAUAUACCACAUUUUGCUUAUCCAUUCAUCUGUUGAUGGACACUUGGGUUGCUUCCAUGUUUUUGCUAUUGUAAAUAAUGCUGCUAUUAACAUAGUUGUACAAAUGUCUCUUCCAGACCCUGCUUCCAGUUCUUUUGGGGAUAUACUCAGAAGUAGAAUUGUGGGAUCAUACUGUAAUUCUAUUUCUAAUUUGUUGAGGAACUACCAUACUGUUUCCACAGUGGCUGAUCAUUUUACAUGAUCACUAACAGUGUACAAGAGUUCUAAUUUCUCCAGUUCUUGUCAAAACUUGUUAUUUUCUGAUUUUUUGAUAGUAAACAUCCUAACGAGUGUAAGGUACAUAUUUGAUUAAUUUUUAAAACAUUUAUUAUGGAAAAUUCAAACAUAUACAGAAGUAGAGACAAUAAUAUAAUGAAUCCCCAUGUGCCCAUCAUACAGAUGCAAUGGUUAUUAAUAUUUGGCCAAUUUUAUAUCAUCUAUACCUCAUCCCAAUCUCACUGAAUUAUUUUAAAGAAAAUCCCAGAAUCUUAUAAUUGUAUUUAUAAAUACUUCAAUUAGAAUUACAGAAUUUUGAAGGCAUAAAAGAUCUUAGAAAUUGCUUAGGCCAACUCUUACAUUUAAGGGAUAAAGAAACUGAGACCUGUAAAGGAGGAAGUGACUUUUCUAAUAUUAAGUACAUAGCUAGUUAAGGUCAAAUAUAUCCUCCUGGCCUCUUCCCAGCUUUUGAUGUCACUAGUUUGACUUCUGGCAAUACUAAAUAAGGAAGGGGUCUGGAAUUGUGAAUAUUUGUGUUCAUCUGUUUUAUUUUCCUUUUAAUCUUAUAUGCAUUUCUAAAUAAUAAAAACAAAUGUCACUAAUUAUGUGACUGAUAUGUUGUAUUUACAUCAAUUUGCUGAUUUGUUAAAUCUCUAAUUCUAUAGUGUUAGAUUAUAGAUUUUAGAGAAUUCUAAAACCUAAAAAUCUAUUCAGGGAAAAUAGAUAUAAAUCUGGAUGUUAUUUAGAUGUAGAUAUAGACAUAGACUUUAGAAAACUUUAGCCUUCUCUUCAGGGAAGUCGAUGCAGAUUUUGCAUCCUAUUCAGAUAGAUUUGUUUUCUAGUAUAAGUAAAACCGUGGAAGAUUAUAUCACAUCUAGUGGAAGCACAGAUGAGAAAACAAUGUUCUGGUCUCUUGGCAAUGCUAAAAUAACACUCACCAGCUCAAAGGCUAGAGCUCUGUACCAUUUUGUACAAAAAUCAUGUUUGGGAGCCAUAAGUAACCUUGAAUUUGGAGCAGCCCCAAACCCUGGGGAGCGGGGGGCUUGCUGAGUGGGAGGACAGGGGUGGUGUACAUAGCUGUGUAAAUGCAGCUGUUGAGUAUUAAAACCUCUGAAAUGAGCCAGCGUUUGGAUAAUUUCUGGGAGGUAGUUAGCUUCUGUUGACAAUCAAAGAACAGUUUACUGGCAUAGAAUCCUUGUAGAAUUGAUGGCCAAUUUGUAAUGGGAGAUUCCUAUUUUAUUCCUUCCUCUUUAUUCUCCCCCUCGAAAAGACAAUUUAAAAACAAGUGCAAAAAAACAAACCAAAAAGAAAGAAAAAACACCUUAGUUUCCAAAAUUCCAUGGAACAACAGGAAACUCAGGAAUAGAAAGUAUUUCCAAAGGCAGUGCAUUUGGUGUGUGAAGAUAAAAGGUUUUAAUGCUGUAUUUGGGCCUAUAAUGCGUAUCAAAGCUGGUUGUUUAUGCCUUGAUAAGGCAGGAGUAACAGACUUUGAUACAAUUUAAACAUUUUUCUCAGAAAAGAUUUUUUCCUUUCAUUGUAAUAGGAAAGUGCUUCAAAUCUUUGGGAGGAAAAUCAUAGCUUUCUUUACUCAUGUUUUACCCUUAAAGGCUGGCAAUAUUAGCUGUGUCAUUCAAAAAUAAACAUAAGAAUUCACAAAGUUUUCCAGCUGUGGCUGAUAACUCUUUUCGUUGACUGCUGUGAGCCUGGGUAUUUUUAAAAAGUCUGUUUGAACACUUUUUUCUAUCCAAAUUGGAAAGUAACAAAAUAUGGAAAACAAUAAAUAUGUUUACAGUGGUCUAGUAAUUGUUUCAGCUAGGCUUCCACUUAACUAUCUGUGUUAGCUUGGGAAGGACAGUGAAUUCAGUGAGCUUCACUUUACUCAUCUGUAAAAUGGAGGUAGCUGCUGGGAAGAGCAUAAGAUGUCACAGCUGUGAAAGUUUUUUGAAAACAGUGAAGCCCCAUGUGGCUAGAAUGUAUUAUCAUAACAUAAAGAGGCUCGGAAGAGGUCUGUCUGUUCUGCAAAGAUUCUAUUUACACAUUUCUGUAAAUAGAUGCCUCACUCACUCACCAGUCAACAUGAACUGAUAGGCAUUGUCAGAGAUGGAGAAGAUGUGGGGCGGGGCCUCCUGGCGCUUUUUGCCUCUGUAGGCAGCCACCACCUCGGGCUUGUACACCGGCAGCCACUUGUAGGGGUUGACGGUGACACAGAAGAGGCCUGAGUAGGUCUGGGAAGAUCAGAACAUUUAUCAUUUGGAUCUCGUUUUUACUCAGAGAGAGACAUGAAAUAAAAAGGUGUUUACAGACACUCACGUAGAUCAUCCAGGCUGCAUAGCGCUCUUUGAGGUUGUACAGCACUCCAGGCUCGUGUAGAUGAGUCAUCAUGGCCAUGUCCUCAAUUUUGUCAUAUUUCGGAGGGUUCAUAGGGAAGACUUGGUCUUCCCUGACAGUUAGAGUCUGGUGAGUAAGCAAGAAACCAGUUCGUUUUUGUUUGUUUGUUUGAGAUAGAGUUUUGCUUUUUUUGCCCAGGCUGGAGUGCAGUGGCGCGAUCUCAGCUCACUGCAACCUCCGCCCUCCUGCUUCAAGUGAUUGUCCUGCCUCAGCCUUCUGAGUAGCUGGGAUUGCAAGUGCCCAUCACCAUGCCCAGCUAAUUUUUGUAUUUUUAGUAGAGACAGGAUUUCGCCAUGUUGGCCAGGCUGGUCUCGAACUCCUGAUCUCAGGUGAUCCACCUGCCUCAGCCUCCCAAAGUGCUGGGAUUACAGGCGUGAGCCACUGCGCCUGGCUAAGACCAGUUCGUUUUAAUGGUUGGAGGUAGGGUUUAUGUUUGCCUGUAUAUUUUGGUACAAAACUAUAAUCACACAUACUUCUCAUUAUAUUAUUUAAUGUCCUCUUAAAAAAGGCAUGAAAUAUAUUCAUUUCAGAGUUUAAUGUUAAGAAAACCUGUUUCCUAUGAUGAGCUAGGACACUAUCUUUUUAAAAGAUUUUUUCCUCCCACAUUCUCUUAUCCCAGAUUUAUCAGUUUAUAUCCUUUUUUUCUUAUUUUAGUAGGCUAAAUUUUUAUUUUUUUCUUUCAUUCAUUAAGAAACUUCAUGUUUUUGGAAGUAAUGGGGAUAUUAAUACAUUAUUUAACUAAGUAAAUAUUUAACUUCUGAUAGGAGGAGCUUGUUUUCAUUUCCCUCAAGUUUGGACAUUCAGACUAGGAAGUGGGGAAUUGAAGGGAAAUGGUGAAGGCCAUACAUAGUGGGGUGAGGUCCUGUGCGAAGUUGGGAAGGGAAGACAUGAAGGUACUGCUGUGAAUUUCUUUUGCCUUCCACAUCUAAUGUCUCAACACUGACUAGAAGGGUGUUUGCAUUGGCAACAGGCUUGGAGAUUCCCAGUAAGUUAGGCUUCAACUUUUGAACCAAGAAAUAAAAUGGGGAGUAUUUUCUCCCUGUUUUCACUUACUGCUCCACCUUCAGUCUUUACGGUUACUUUCCCUCCUUCUUUGCUUUGUAUAGUGCUCUUCACAUAGGAUUCCUUGGGCUCCGCCACAAAGACAGAUGUUUUAGCAUCAAACGGCUUGUUUUGGGCCUCAAUCCGCUCCUUUUCUGAUUUUCGAAGGUAGGGAGCAGCUUCGCCAAAAACAGCCAUCUCAGCGUCUGAGCUCGCACUCAUGGCUGCGAUUUAUUUAGCAAAGGAUUCUGCCUAGGGAGGAGAGAAACGGGAGAGAGAGAUAUAAAAAGCAGAAGUCACAAAUGUGAGUUAGGAUUUGAAAUGAAAGAAAUGUUGAACAUAGCCUGUGCUGUAACUAUUCCUCCAAACUGGCACUCCCCAGUGUUCUAACAUAGUCUAAAGGACAAGUAUGGAGUGAGACUGUAAUUUGAGAUUUCAUUUUUAGGACUGUGAAUUUCCUUUUCAGAUCACAUAUCUUGAUCCUCAGGGAUAGGGUACCUACAAUUGAAUUAGAAUGAAACCUCUACAGCUAAAACUAUUGAUGGAUUGUUUUAUAGCAACUGUCAUUAUUUAAUUUCCUCUCCUCUUUCUGCAUAAUGUUUGUCUAUGCCAUAUGCCAGGACAAUCAUAUGGUGAGAAAAGAAAGUUUGUCUUGUUCAAAUGAAGGUUCAUAUUUUCAAAGCUAUCAAAAAAUCUUUGCCUUUUAAGAUGGCCAUUUUCUCUCAUAAAGCAAAUAAUUAUUUUUAACAUCUUUAUGUUGAUAUUUGGUGUUGUAUCUCUCAGUGGAUUGUUAGAAGAACAUAAUACAUUCUAAUACUCUGGAUUUUUUGUAAUUUGGGUUGUUCCCAACAGACUUAGCAUUGCCUUGAUUCCAAAAUCUUUUUUGACAUGAGAGAUUUCAGCUGUCAGUUAACAGAUCUAACCACAGAGGAAUGAGAGCUUCAGCACAAAGGCCCUUCUUCCCACAUAAAUUCCAUGGGUUUCUUUUCUUUCCACCCAGAAAACAGAGAAAAAAGUUUUAAGAGUACAUCACAUGCAUGUAAGCCAUUGUCUUCUGAUUAAUAGAUAGGCCUCUGCAAUGUGGACAUGUUAGAUUGGUUGAGUUUUUCCUUUAUUUUCAAUUAGAAAGUUACUUAGGGAAGGGCAGGAUUCCUCUUAAAUUAGUCAUGGUAUUUAACACCCGGUGGAUGUAAUACUUGCGACCUGUUAAGUAAAUAAUAAUAAGUCUUUCUAACAACAAAUAACAAAUAAUCAAAGGUAGCUAAAAUAUUUAUAUUUAUAUUUCUAGGUAAAAAUCUUUCUGGAGUCUUUAAAAAUGUCUAUAAAAUGUCCUAAGUCCUCAAUGCUUUGCCAUAGAAGAAGACUGGCAUGGACUAGUCUAUUGCCACUGGACAGUUCUAAGCACAGCUGAGAACUCACUGUUGAAGCUAAUUCUGUCCUAAACGGUCUUUGAAUCUUGGAACCCAAAUGAGGAUAGUCUCUGAGAAGAAGACAUUUUGAAAAAGUUAUUUUCUAGCAUUUAUAAACACUCACUCGGAAACACUCUUUCCUGAUAUAACUGCAAAAACAUGGAAAUGGUGUAUAAUUCAGGAUUGUUCACAGCUUCAUUAGACUAUAUCCCCUCUGUCAUCAAUAAAUUAAUAAAGCCAAGUCUUACCUCUGGAGUUCCAGAUAAAAAUGCAGGUUCAGAAGUGUUCCACUCUGUAAAACAACAAGCUUCUUAUUAGUGAUGCUCCGAAAUUCCAAUAUUAUAGUUACAGAAUUGUUAUUAUAGUUACAGAAUUGAAGUUUCCCUACCCCAAAGCUUGGUUCUAUGAAGACAAAAGUUAAGAUUGAGAGAGCAGUUUAAUGCUCACAGAUAACUACGAGGUCAGCUCUUUUCCCCACCUGGGGUUUUUCGAGUUCCAAGGCCUUCAUCACUUACCUCUGGGUUCUUGGUGGAAAUAAGGCACAAGGGGCAGUCCUGCUUAUAUAGGAACUAAUGUGCUGAUGCUGCAACUACCUCCUCUUUGUUAGGGCAAGACAUUUGGCAACAUGAACCCUCAGCAUAGUUUGUAGUGACAUUUGUCAUGUUUGGAUAUAAUUAGAAGUAUUCAUAUCAUUUUGUGUAUGCAAACCAAUCUCCUAUAAAUAAUUUGACAGAGACCGAUCUGCCAGCAGAGAAUGCUUUCUAGUGUGCUGGGAAGGGAAUCUUUGACAGUGCCUGAUGGGGCCUCAGAGUAAGUUCUUAAGAGCUAUAUUCAAUUUGGCAAACUCUUUCAUGCACGCCUGUGGUAGCCAAAUGAUCAGAUACCCGGGGCACACGGCUGUCAGGGCCUUAAGCACGUUUCCUUAUUUGCUACCACGGGAACCCCCCACUGCAUUCCCUUGGGCCACUACAGAUGCUCACUCUUGAAGUCCAGGCUUAGACAGCAGAGAUUCUACCUUGAGUCUCCACCAUUGGGCCAGUGCCCACUCAUCUAACUUUGAAAAACAUUAUUAGUAGAAAAUAAUAUGUUUAUUACAGAAAAAAAUACAGGUAAGUAAAAAAAGUCUCUGUAAUCUCUAAUGCAGAAAUAAGAUAGAGGCGUAUAAGUGGGAUCAUAUUAUAGAUGCAUAUAUAGUACAUGUGUGCCUUGUAAUAUGCUUUAAUAAUUAAUAUAUCAUAUCACUAAUGUAAUUUAUACCCUAUUCUUUAAAUAAAUUAUGAUUUUUUUUAAUUAAACUCUUUCCUUUUUUUAAGGUCAGAUAUAUUGAGGUAUAAUUUACAUAGAGUCAAAUUCACCCUUUUAAAGUGACAGUUUUAUGAGGUUUUUUGCUUUUAUUUUUAAAAAUUUUUAAACUUUAUAAUAAAAUUUACUUCUUUUGUUGUAUGAUUGUAUGAGUUUUUAUACACGUAUUGAUUCAUGUAGCCACCACCACAGAUAGGAUGCAGAACAAUUCCAGGCCUAUGGGUUUGAUAAAUAUAUGCAGGUGUGUAACCUCUUACACUGUAAUUACAUAAAAAUUAAAGCCUUAGAGAUUAGGCUAAAUUUUCCCUUUGAUGAACACUCACAAUGCUGGUAUCUCCCUUUUCUCCCAAGGUAACUACGGAUACCCGUUUAGUUUGUAAUAUUGCAGACCUUUUCUGUACAUUUACAUAUGUAUUUUCUGGGAAAAUAUAAAUUAGUAAAACUGGUCUAAGGAAAUUGGGCCAUAGAAAAUUUAUAAUAUAUAAUAUAGAUGUUUAAAAUAUAGAUAGUAUGAUUAUUUAUUUACAAACUUUCUUUUUUCAUUCUACACUCUUGGAUCAUUUGCCAUGUUAGUACAUAAAUAAUAAUAUGAAAACAUUUCAAACAUAUGCAAAAGUAGAGGGGAUAGCAUAAUGAACCUAGUAUAUUCAUCAUCCAGCACUGAUAAUUAUCAGUUCAUGGUCAGUCUUGUUUCUUAUAUAUUCUCACCAUUCCCUCUAUCACUGGAUUAUUUUGAUAUUACUCAUUUUUAAAUUUCUGUGUAAAAUUCCGUAGGUUUAAGAUUGUAAUAAUUUUGUUUAUACAAGUUCUAAAAAGUUUCUCCUGAUUUAAUAAUGAUCUUUACUAUGCGAUCUCAAUCUUCUAGAAGUUUUACAUCUUUAGGUAGUCAGAGUUAUAAAAAAUUUUCUUUUAUAUUUUUGGUUUUUUGUGUGUAUUGUAUAAGAAAAACUUUCUCUAACUCAAGAACUCAGAGUCAUACAUAUAUUCUUCUGUAUUUUCAAGCUAAUGCUUAUGAAAUAGUGAGAUGUGUAAUCCUGUAUUUUCAAUCUGAUGCUUAAAAAAUAGUGAGAUUUGUAAUCCAGCUGUGUGUGUGUUCGUGUGCAUGUAAUCUGUUUCUGGAUUCCAUAUUUUGUACCGUAUUUCUAUGCCAAUAGCAUAGGUUUUGAUGACCAGUAGGGCCAAUUUUCCCUAAUUAUUCAAAGUUGUCCUGUUAAUUUUUACCUUCUACUAUAUGAGUUUUAGAAUCAUGUUCUUCAGGUUAUGGAAAAUUCUAUUGGGAUUUUGAUUUUGAUUAAAUUGAUUUAAUAGAUUAAUUUGAUAAGAGUUGAUAGCUUUAUAAAAGUGAGUCUUUCAGUUUAUAAGGAUGAUAUAUUUUCCUGUUUAUUCCAAGUCCUUUUCAAAAAUACUUUUUAGUCAUUUUUAAAAGUUUUUUCCAUAAUGAUCUUAUAUUCCUUGUUCGGUGUAUUCCUACAAAUUUUAGAGUUUUCUGUUGAUAUGUUGAAUAGGAUUAUUUUUUCUAUUACACUUUCUACUUGGUUACUACUGGCACGUGGCAGACAAGUUUGCAUAAUCAGAGCUUCACUUUUGUUUGUGGCAGUAGUAUGCCAAACUAUAUAUUAUUAUAUUCAGACUCUCAGCAUAGGGUAACCAUAUGACACUGUUUUGGCUAAUGAAAUGCAAGCAGAAGUUGCUGGGUGGAGCUUCCAGAAAAGCUCUUUUCUAAAAGAGGGUAGACUUUGCUCAUACUACCUUUUUCUUUCCUAUCUCUAUCUUUCUCCUACGUAGAACACAGAUGUAAUGGCUAGAACUAUAGCCUUAAAAGAAAGGUCAAGAGAUUUUUGGAGACCUUAGCCUUGACACCUGUGAGCUGAAUUUCAUUGUGUGAAGAAAAAAGUAAAGCACUAAUUUUUUGAGGCAUUGUUUACUCAGGUUUUUUUUGUUACAUUCAAACACAAUCCCUAACAUACACGGCGUUUCAGAAAGUUACUGACUUUUCUGUGUUAACCGUUAUCUGGCCCUCUUGCCGAACUCUCUUACCACCUCUAAUAAUUUAUUUGAUGCUCUUGGAUUUUCAAUGUGUCAUGCGCAAAUAAUCACAAUUUGUGUCUUCUUUCUCUUGUCAUUUAUAUGUUAUUUUUUUCCCUUCUCUUAUUACAUUGUCUAUGACAUUUAGGACAGUGUUGAAUAGUAUUAAUAUAGUAUUAAUACAGAGAUACUUGUGUACAUAUCCUGUGCAAGAUAAGGGCAUCCUUAUCUUGUUCUUGACUUUUAUUGGAUUGCAUCUGAUGUUUCACCAAACAUAAUAUUUACUGUAUACUUUGUAUCUAGUUUGCUAAUCAUUUUGAUCAUAAAAAUGAGUUAAAUAGUUCUAUUUCUAGGUAUAUGCCCGAGAGAAUUGAAAACAUGUUUAUAUAAAAACUUGUACAUAAAGUUUAUAGCAACAUUAUCUAUAAUAGCCAAAAAGUGGGAACAAUCAGAUGUCCAUCGGGCAACAGGUAGAUAAGCAAAAUCCUGUUUAUCCUAUAAUGGACUCUAUUAAUGCAAUGAAAUAUUAUUCAGCCAUAAAAAGGAGUGAAGUUAGAUGCUACUAUAUGGGUGAACCUAAAAAUAUUAUGUUAAGUGAAAGAAGCCUGACACAAAGGGCCCAUAUUUGAUGAUUCUGUAGAUCUAAAAUGCCCAGAAUAGGCAAAUCCAUAGAGAAAGAAAAUACAUUAGUGAUUGCCAGAGGAUGUGGAGAGAAGAGAAUUGGGGAGUGACUGAAAAUGGACAUGGAGUUUCUUUUUGGGGUGAUGAAAACAUUCUGGAAUUAAUAGUGAUGGUUGCAUAACUUUGUGAAUCUAAUAAAAACCACUGAAUUAUACACUUUAAAUUGUGAAUUUUAUGGUAUGUAAAUUAUGUCUACAAAUAAUGGGUUGAAUUUUACCAAAUUUUUUAUAUCUGUUGAGAUUACUGUUUUUCUCCCCUGACCUAUCAAUGGAGUGAAUUAUAUGGUAGGUUUUUCUCACCUUUACCACCCUAGAAUUCAUGAAAUAAAAGCUAUUGAUAUAAUAUUGUUUAAUUCUCUGCUGCUUUCAGUUUUCGAAUUUUUUAUUGGAAUUUUAAAAUCUGAGUUCAUAUAUGACUAGGUCAAAGUUUUCUUGUGCUAUCAUUUUCUUGUUUUGAUAUUAGGAUCAUAUUAGUCUUGUAAAAUAAACUGAGCAGCUUCCCAUUUGUUUGUGUUUUCUAUAACAUUGCGUUUGAGAUGUGAAUUAUCUGUUCCAUGAUGGUUUGAUAGAGUUCCUCCAUGGAAUUCUUUUGACCUCUAGCCUUUGUGGAAUAUAAUUUUUUUACUCUUAUUGAGUUUUUUUUAUGAUUAUUGAUUAGUCUUUGUAGAGUUUCUACUUGUCUUUUGGCCCAUUUGGAUGAUUUAUAUUUUCCUAUAAAAUUACUUAUUUUGUGUGAGUUUUUAUAUUUUUGGGUCUUUUUUGUGCAUAUCUCUAUAAUAAAAAAUCUCAGUUUAGUAAUCUGUUUCAUUAUUUAUAUUAAUUUUGUUCUUCUUUUUAUUUUAAAUCAUAUUUGCCAAAGUUUUAUCUUUUUCAUUUAGUUUUACUGAUAGCUUUUAUUUUCUAGCUUAUUAUUUUCUUUUAGUUUUAUCAAUUGCUUUAUUUCCUUAGAUUUGUUUUGAUUAAUUAUAAUUAGUUUAAAAUUUUGAUUCUUGUUUCAACUCCCAAAUUAUUUAAAGCAUUUUGUUUUUUAAACUUCCAGGUGUAUGAAUUUGGGUGUUGGGCAGGCGGAUUUCAUCUAGCCGUUAAUUAUUUUUAUCUUUUGUGAGUGUGUGUGGUUGUGGUGUGUUCAUAUCCUAGUACGCCCAAUGGGAAUGAGGAUUAUGGUUCCUGUGAUUGUGUUUGUGUGUGUGGAUGUAAGUCAUAAAACAAUUCAAAUAGUAUCCAAUACCCCACGAAACUCUCAUGAUCUUCUGUAUUAUAACUCAUAUUUUCCUUCCUUAAAAGGUUACUAUGAAUUUAUUUUUAUGAUAAUUAUUUCUCUGCAUUUCUUAAUGUUUUAAAAUUUGUAUAUGCAUCCCUAGUUUAGUUUUGCUGGUUUUGAACUUCAUGUGAAUACAACUGAAUUUAUUUUUUAGUAUCUUACUUCUUUUGCCCAAAAUUAUUGUUGUGAGAUUUUUCCAUGAAGUUGCAUGUAACUGUGUUUUAUAUUCAUUGUGUACAGUAUUACCUUGUCUGAUAAUAUGAUUAUUUAUUCAUUCUACUGCAGACAAAUUUUUGGGUUGUUCCCAGUUUUUGGCUGUAGUUUAUUGAUUGAUUGAUUGCAUGAUGAACAGUGACUGUCACCUGUAUGAUAUCUCAUUUUAGAAUUAGUUGACAUUUCUUUUGUGGCUUUGUUCAUAGAUCAGGGUAUUUUUUUUAAACAUCUUUAUUUAGGUAGAAUUUUACAUACCUUAAAUGUCAUCCAUUUUAAUUAUACAGUUAAUGAAUUUUAGUAAACUUAUAAAAUUGUGCAGUCAUCACCACAAUCUAGUUUUAGAAUACUUUUAUCAAUCCAAAAAGUUUCCUUUUGCUCAUUUGCUGUUAAUUCCCAUUCAACCCCAAACCUUGGGGAACCACUGAUGUGCUUUUUGUCUCUACAAUUUUGCCUUCUUAAGAAAUCGUAUAGAAAUGGAAUCCUACAAUAGGCAAUUUUUCGUGUCUGGCUUCUUUCCCUUAGCAUUUUCAUUUCAACUCCCAAAUUAUUUUAUUUUUUAAACUUCCAGGUGUAGAAAGUUGGUUGCUGGGGAGGCAGAUUUUAUCUAGCUAUUAACUUUUUAUCUUUUGUGAGUGUGUUUGGUUGUUGUGUGUUCGUAUCCUAGAAGGAAAUUCAAUUUUUUGAAUUUCAUCUAUAUGCUGUUUUAUGUGUCAGUAAUUCAUUUCUUUUUAUGAAUGUAUAUGUGGUAGUCCAUUGUCUAGAGGUACCACAUUUUGUUUAUCCAUUAACCAGUUGAUGGACAUUUGAAUUCUUCCUAGCUUUUGGCUUUUAUAAAUAAUGCUGUUAUUAACAUUCCACAUAAGUUGUUGUUCAGACAUUUGUUUUUAUUGGUUUGUUUUCCAGGAAUGGAUGUUGGAUAUUAUAAGAAAUGGCCAGACUGGGAAAUAGCAGACAAAAGAUAUUGCAUCUAUUCUGGUUGGAGAAUUGCAGUAGUGGAGUUCUAAGUAAAAGAAAGCAAGUUUCCAGGAAUAAAAAGCUUUUACCACCCAAUGAAUUAACAGGCCAUCCUACUUGACAUCAAAACACAUCUUUAAAAUAUGGGAUUAAAACAAUAUAUAAUUAAUGUAGAUAAGUAUAAGAGUAGAACAUAAUAUAGUCCAGAAAUGGACUCUUGUAUGUAUAGCAAGUUAGUAUAAGAUAAAGGUGCAUUUCUGAUUCACUAGAGGAAGGGAAGAACAAUUCAGUGAAUUAAAAUUGAGACUUAACAAUUUGAAAAAAAAUUAAAUUACUUCCUUGGCUGACACCAUUUAUAAAAAUAAGUUCUAGAUGAAUUAACAUCUUAGGCAUAAAAACAAAGAAGUAUUGAAGAAAUUAUAGGAGAAUAUAUUGAUACUGUCGGAGUAGGGGGAGAUCUUUAAUAAGGCAAAAAGAUCAGACAUUUGACCACAUCAAAAUGUAAAACUUCUCAAUGAUUAAAAAAAUCUACACAAACAAAUUGAAAGACAAGUGGCAGGCUUGGACAAACUAUUAGCAACUUAAAUAAAGAAGUUAUAUUCAACACACACACACACACACACACACACACACACACACACACACACACACACACAUCUCUUUCAAAUAGAAAAGAAAGGGAGAUACAAGCAAGUAGGAAAAAAUAGCCAAAAGAUAGAAAUAGAUAAUUCAUGGAAGAGGCAAUACAUAUGGCUAAUAAACAUGAAAACAUGCUCAAUCUCAAGAGGUACAAAAUAAAAUAACAAAGAGCUAGUGUAUUUUACCCAUCAAGUUGGCAAAAAAAAAAUAAUAAUGGUAGCAAAUGGUGGUGCAGAGAGGUGAAUGUAAUAUGUUGUGAGUAAAGGUGUAAAUUUCCAGGGCAAUUUGUUAUAUCUUUUGAAAUUUAAAAUUGCAGUGAUUUCACUUCUCACUUUCUUUCCUGCAGAAGCACACUGAAAUAGGAAGGAUGCUCAAGAGUGUACAUUUAACAUUUCUUCUAAUAGCAAAAUUUUGGAAACAACUGUCAAUUCAGUUACUUGUAAGUUAAUUAAGUGGCCACCUGUUAAGUGGUGGUGCUCCGAUGAUGUGGUCAGUGGUUGAAACUUGAAACUCGCCUUAAUCUAAGAUUUGGAUCAGCAUAAUGCAUUUUCCACUGGUUCUCUUUGAGAUAUACUGAAAACUGAAAAUCUUAUUUAAAAUAACAAUAAACAAUGAAGUAAAGAGUUUUUAUAGGUAACAUAUAUAAGAAUACUAAACUGGGAGAUAUAUUUUGCUAAAGCCUAAUUAUUGGUAUAUUUCAACCCUUCUGUAAUGUACAGAUAUCUCUUCUACCAUUCUUGUGUGACAACUCAUUUAUUUUAACUUAGAGUAAAGGCCCUUCCAAGGGUCUGGCUUACAUCCCUUGUCCUUGCUCUUCUUCGCUAGUAUCCACUUACAAUUAAGCCGAGGGUGAACAUUAAGUUACCGUAUCCAAUGACCCUUCUGCUCUAAGAGUCCUUGCCAGAAAUUAGCUUACAAUUCCUAAGAUUUCCUCUGCCCUAAGAGUUCCUCUAUUUUCUCUCUGCAGUGAGUAAAAGCAGAUGAAUUACAGCCACUUUAAGACAUCUCUACCUUUUCUAAAACUCUGUAAUUAUAUUCUCUUCAACCAAAGGAAACAACUGACCUUUCAUAUGACUCAUGCCAAAGAGGAAUGUUAUUUAGAUUCAUCCACAUUCUUGCAUGUAUCAGUAGUUCAUUUCUUUUUAUUGGGGAGUAGUACUCCGUUGUGAGGAUGUACCAUAUUUUAUUCAUCUGUUCUCUUGCUGGUAUAUAUUUUUUAUCUUUUUAUAGACAUAUCUUUCAUUUCUUUCAGUUAAAUAACAAGGAGUGGAAUUGUUGGAUCAAGAGGUAGGUGUCUAGUAACUGUACUGUUUUACAUCCUCGCUAGUGAUAUAUGAGCAAUGUGGUUGCUCAGUGUCAUUAGUCUUUAUAAAUUUAGCCAUUCUUGUUGGUUUGUAGUGGAAUCUCUUUGUGGUUUUAAAAUGUAUGUCCCUAGACAAUGAUAUUGAGCAACUUUUAGUUUUGUUAUUAAGCUUUCAUAUAUUCUCUUGAUGAAAUGUCUGUGUUUUGCCCAUUUUUGUUGGAUUAUUUUUAAAGAAUAUUGUUUUGUUUGUGUUCUUUAUAAGUCAUUUUUUCAGUAUAUGUAUUGCAUAUAUUUUUUUUAGUAGGUGGCUUGCCUUUUUGUGUUCUUAACAGUACUUUGAUGAGCAGUAGCUUUAACUUUGAAGAGGACCAGUUUUAUCAUUUUUUCUUUCAUAUUUAGUGCUUGCUGUGUUCUGUUUAAGAAAUUUUGCACGAGAUUACAAAGAUACUCUCCUAUAUUUUCUUCUAGGAGAUGUAUAAUUUUAGUAUUUACAUUUAAAUCUGUUGUCUACCUUGAAUUAAUUGUUGUGUAUGCGUUAUUAUUUUUUUCCAUACAGAUGUCUAAUUGAUCCAUCAUCAUUUGUUGCAGAGACUUUUCUUUCCACAUUGAAUUGCAUUAGCAACUUAGUAAAAAGUCCACUAUAUACAUAUUGGAUCUAUUUCCAGACUCUCCAUUCUACUCUAUUCUGUUCCAUUCAAGUAUUCUUCUACCCUUACACUAAUACCACACUAUCUUAAUUACUGUAGCUUUGUAAUAAAUUUUAAAGUCUGUAGAGUAAGUUCUCCAAUUUUAUACUACUUACUUUUUAAGACUUCUUUGGCUACUGUAGGUACUUUAUAUACUUAUAUGCAUUUUAAUAUCAAACUGCCAACUUCUACCAAAAAAAAAAGCUUGAUAGGAUUUUGAUUAGGGUUACACUAAAACUAUAGAUCAAUUUGUGGAAAACUGACAGAUUUACAAUAUUGAGACUUCAGUCCAAGAACAUGGUGUCUCUCUCUCUCCUCUCUCUUUUAGUCCCAUUUUUUGACAGAAAGUGUUCACUGUUUUAUUAUUAAGCAAGAUAUCUUAGCUGUGCUUUAUUUGUAGGUGCCUCUUACUAGAUUGAGAAAGUUUUCUUUUAUUGCUUGUUUGCUGAGAGGUUUUUUUUUCAUGGAUGGGUGUUGGAUAUUGUCAAAUGCUUUACUUCAUCUGUUGAGAUAGUUAUAUGAUUUUCUUUUUUAUUCUGUGAAUGUUAUGAAUUACCUGAUUUUUGAAUAUUAAACCUACCUUGCAUUCCUGUGAUAAAUUCCAUUUGGUCAUGAUUUAUUAUUAUUAUUGUUGUUGUUAAUAUUGUUUUCAUAUAUAGUAGGCACUGCAUAAUGACAUUUUGGUUGACAGCGGACUGCAUGUAUUAUGGUGGUCCCAUAAGAUUAUAAUACUGUAUUUUUCCUGUACCUUUUCUAUAUUUAGAUAUGUUUAGAUACACAAAUACCAUUCUGCUACAGUUACCUACAGUAUUCUGUACGGCAACAUACUGUCCAGGUUUGUAGUCUAGGAGCAGUAGGCUAUACCACAUAGCCCAGGUGUGUAGUAGGCUAUACUGUCUAGGUUUGUGUAAGUACACUCUGUGAUAUUUGUACAAUGAGGAAAUUGUCUAAUGAUGCAUAUUUCAGAACAUAUCCCCAUUGGUAAGCAACACACGAUUGUAUUGUUAGACGUUGUUGGAUUUGACUUGCCAAAAUUUUGUUAAGGAUUUUUGCAUCUAUUAGGGAUAUUGGACUAUAAUUUUCUAUAUUGUUUUUCUAUUCUCGAUUUCAUUAAUUUCUCCUCUAGCCUCUAUUAUGUCCUUUCUUCUACUUGCUUUAGAUUUCAUUUGUUUUUCCCACCUGCUGUGCCUUAGGUGGAAAAUUAGGUUAUUAUUUGAGCUCUUUCUUCUCUCUUUAUAUAGACAUUUACAACUGUAAAGUUCUGUCUAAGCACUGCUUUAGCUGCAUCCCAUAUGUUUUUGUAUAUUGUAUAUUGUAUCUUCAUGUUCAUUCAUCUCAGAGUACUUUCUGGUUUCCCUUUCGAUUUUUUCUUUGACACAUGAUUAUUUAGGAGUGUGUUGUUUAAUUUCCACAAAUCUGUGAUUGUCUCAAUUUUUUUCCUAGUAUUGAUUUCUAAUUUCAUUCCAUUGUGGUCAGAGAACAUACUUUGUAUCAUGCCUAUCCUUCUAAGUUUACUGAAGUUUGUUUUAUAGCCUAGCAUGUGGUCUGUCCUGGAGAAUGUUACAUUUGAACUUGAGAAGGAUGUAUAUUCUGUUGUUACUGGGUGGUGUGUUCUAUAGAUAUCUGUUAGGUCUAUUUGGUUUAUAGUGUUUUUCAAGUCUUCCUUUUUUUCUUAUUGAUCUUCAUUAAUUGUUACAUCCAUUAUUGAAAGUGGGUUAUUGACAUCUUCAAUCAUUAUUGUGGAAUUGUCAGUUUCUCCCUUUAUUUCUGUCAGUUUUUGAUUCAUAUGUUUUGGUGCCUCUGCUAUUAGGCGCAAAUAUAUGUAUAAGUAUUAUGUCUUCCUGAUGGGCUUAUCCUUUUAUUAUUUUUUCAUUAUAAAAUGUUUCUCCUUAUCUCUGGUAACUUUUUUUUAAGUCUGUUUUGUCUCCUAUCAGUAUAGCCAUUCCAUUUUAUUAUGGUUCCUGUUUGCAAGAUAAUGUAUUUUUUCAUCUUUUUACUUAUAUUUGUGGCUUCUGUAGACAGCACAUAGUUUGACCAUAUAUUUUUAUACAUUAUGACAAUCUCUGGCUUUUGAUUGGACUGCUUAAUUCACAUUCACAUUGAUUCACAUUUAGUGCUGUUAUUGGUAUAGUUGUAAUUAUUUCUUGUAUGUCCCAUGCCUUUUUUGUUCCACUUUUCUUUCUUACUGCUUCCUUUUGCAUUGAAAAUUUUCUAAUGUAGCAUUUUAACUUUUUAGUAAUUCUUUCACUAUAUUUUUAUUUUAUUUUGAAAUUUUUCUAUAGAGAUGGGUUCUCACUUUAUUUCCUAUGCUGGUCUUGAACUCCUGGCUUCCAGCAACCCUCCCGCAUUGGCCUUCUAACAUGCUGGGAUUACAGGCAUGAGCCACCAUGCCCACUCCUUUCACUGUAUUUUUUUAAUAGAUACCCUAGAGUUUACCAUAUACUGUAAACCUUAACUUAUCAGAACCAGUUUCAGAUUCAUACUAGUUUUAUUCUAGCGACAUAUAGAAAAGUUACUUCUACAUAGCUCUACUCCAUUUUUCCCCAUUUUUGUCAUAUUACUGUUACCUGUAGCUUUUAAUGUUACAAACCCAGCAGUACAUUGUUAAAGUUAUUAUUUUACUAUUUAUAGUCAUUUCCUUAGCCCAAUACAGCUUUGUUCCCACACAACUCCUUUAUGCUGUAUUGGCAAGUAUGUUACACAUAUAUUACAUUUCUUUAUGUUACAGGCCCAACCAUACAAUGUAUAUGUAUUAUUUUAUACAAUUGCUUUUUAAGUCAGUUAAGAGAAGAAAGGAGAAAAAAAUAUGCAUUUAUACUGUCUUGUAAUUACAUACUUACAUUUUCUGGUACUCCUUUUUUUGUGUGGAUAUGAAUUCCUGUCUGGAGUUACUUGCCAUCAGCUUGAAGAAUUUCCUUUAGUAUUUCUUAUCAAGCAGGUUUGCUAUCAGCAAAUACUCUCAGUUUUUAUCUGGGAAACUGUUUAUUUCACCUUCACUUUUGAAAGAUAGAUUUGCUGGAUAUAAGAUUUUUUGGUUGAUGUGUGUGUGUGUGUGUGUGUGUGUGUGUGUGUGUGUGUGUGUGUGUCUUUGACCACUUUGAAUAUGUUAUUUCUCCUGGCCUCUAUUAUUUUGGCUGAGAAGUCAGCUGUUAAUCAUACUGUUCUCUUACAAGUAAUGAGUCAUUUUUCUCUCACUGCUUUCAAGAUUUUCUCCCUGUCUUUAAUUUUCAGCAUUUUUACUAUGAUGUAUCUAUAGAUCUAUUUGCAUGUAUCCUAGUUGGUGUUCAUCGAGUUAUCUGGAUGUAUAGAUAAUUGUUUUUCAAUAAAUUCAGGGAGUUUUCAUCCGUUAUACAUUUGAAUAUUUUUUCUGCUCCUUUCUCUUUGUCCUCUCCUUCUGGUAUUCUCACUGUGUAUAUAUCGGUGUACUUCAUUGUGUCCUACAUUUCUUUGAGGCUCUUUCAUUUUUUAUUAUUCUUUUUUCCCUCACUGUUCUUUGGCUUUCAUAAGCUUUAUCAAUCUCUCUUCAAAUUCACUUAUUCUUUCUUCUGCCAGUUCAAAUUUCCUGUUGAGCUCCUCUAGUGAAUUUUAAAAUUUCAUUUAUUAUACUUUCAACUCGACAAUUCUGUUUUUUUUAAAGUAAUUUCUACGUUUUUAUUGAUAGACAUUAUUUGAUCUGACAUUGUCAUUAUGCCUUCCUUUACAUCUUUCAUCAUAUUCUCUUUAUUUUUGUGAAAAUGUUUAUGAUAACUAGUUUGAUAUCUUUUUCUGUUAAAUUCAACAUUGAUUGCUGUCACAAGCAGUUUCUGUUGCCUGCUUUUUUCAGCGUAUGGAUUAUGCUCUCUUAUUUCUUUGCAGGUAUCAUAAUUUUUUGUUGGAAACUGGACAUUUUAGAUAAUGUAUUAUAGCAACCUUGGGUAGUGUUGCCCUCUCCAGGGAUCGUCAGUUUUAUUUUCUUACUUAUUUGUUAUUAAACAAUUUCUUUAUUACCUUUAUUAUUUUUAAAAAUUUUAUUUUUAAAAUUAGUGCAUAAUAUUUUUACAUAUUUAUGGAGUACAUGUGAUAUUUUGAUACACGAAUACACUGUGUGAUGAUCCAGUCAAGGUAUUUGGGAUAUCCAUCACCUCAAAUAUUUAUCAUUUCUUUGCAUUAGGAACAUUUCCAUUUUUUUAUUCUAGCUAUUUUGAAAUAUACAGUAUACUGUUGUUAAUUAGAGUCAGCCUCCUUUGUUAUCAAACACUGGAACUUAUUCUUGUCAGCACAAGAAUAUUUGUUUUUAACUGGCUGGUUUAUUUUAGUGAAGUUUGUUUCCCACCCACAGUUUAAAGCUUCUGAUAUUGCUCCUCAGGGAGGUGCAGCUUUGGUAUGCCCACAGCCACCCUGUGAUGACAGUGGUUUUGAGAGGGCUCUCUUCCUCUCUUUCUCUGACCACACCCAGAUGUCAAACUCCACUACUUGGUGGCCGAUAGCUUUAUUGAUUUUAAUAAUUCCUUUGGGCAUAAAUUGUUCUAUGAACUAAUCCAAUCAAAUUCUGCCUCCUUUGAAAACAUAAUUUCUGAGGUCAGUGUUUAAUAUUUGUUUUGAUCCCAGGGGGACUUCUCCCAGCUAUCUUAUUACCUGGUUCUCUCCUAAAAACUAGCUGGCAUACAGUUUAGCCUAUAUCUUUAAUUGCAUGGCAAUUUGUUUUUACCACAAUGUGCCCUGUUGUUGAAAGUGCACUUGGGUUUUAAUUUCUCUGCCUUCUGUUGCAAAUGAAAUCAGUUCCUUUGGGCAAAGAUUAGGAGCUCUGUUUUAUGACUCACUUCUCCCCUCAGGCAAAAUCCGAGCCAGGGCUUUGGAGCUGGUGGUGGAGACAAUUUUAAUCUUCUGAUUGACACCUCCAUUCUGGGAACUGAGCACUUGGUGGGGAUGAGCAGCAGCCUAAGGCCCGCUUGGCUUGUCUCUCCUGGUGUGGAACCUCCACCUCAUAAGUCAGGUCAAGGGUGAUCAGGGCCCCAAUAUUCUCAGCACCCGGGGUAGAGCUUCUGUUCCCUGAGUGGUAGCUGGGCAGAAAAGAGAGCCUAAGCCUUUCAAUCACAUUUGCUCGGGUCUUAGCCUCAGAAACGGGUAGCUGGAGGUAGAUGAAAAAUAUUAAUGUCUUGUGCUUUUUAGAAAGAAAGCCCUCUGACUGGGAGCUCGAGGGAAAGGAAAUCCUGUGGUUGGCUGUAGCAAUCUGGAGUGGAGUCCCACCUCUCUGUGCUGGGAUGGUAAGAGGCAGGAAGUGAUUUUGGUUCAAUACCACAGAACCUUUCCUUUCUUACUGAAUUUGCAUGGAUUUUCUUGAUAGAUGUUUUUUCCUUUUCUGUUUCUUUAGAACCAUUUACAGAGACUUUAAAUGUUGUUUUGUUUAAGAUAAUUUUCACCUAUUUCACUGGGAAGAGGAUCGGUGGAGCUCCUCAUGCUGUCAUGCUGGAAGUCAAUCCUCCUUAUAGCACGUGUGUGUAUGUGUGUGUGUGUUUCUUUGUAUGUCAUUUUUAGUAGUUUGCUUUAGGUAUUACAUUAUGUGUGUCUCAUCACUGUCUUCUGUUGUCAUGUUAUCAGUUCAAGUGAAACAUAGAAAUUUUACCUCCCUGGAAGUCCUUUUACCCUCCCAGUUUGUAAUUGUCUUAAAUAUUUCCUCUGUAUACUUUUAGAACCACACCAGAAGGUGAUAUAAUUUUUGUUUCAAUCAUCAGACAUAAUUUAGGAAACUCAAGAACAAAAAACCUUUUAUACCUACUUUUAUUUUUGCUUAUAUAUUUUUUUCCUCUUUGAUGUUCUAGGGUUUCUUUAUUCACUUUUUUCCUUUCUGCUUAGAGACUUUCCUUUAGCCAUUCUUUUAGGGUAGGUCUGCUGGUGACAAUUCUCAUAGUCUUGAUCUAAGACUUAGGUUUAAGACUUAAAAUAGUCUUAAUCUAAGAAUGUCUUGAUCUCCCUUUCAUUCCUGGAGCUUAUUUUUUCUGGACAUAAGAUUCUGGGUUGACUUUUUUUUUCAGCUACUGAAAAAUAUUGUACCAUUUAUUUCUGUCCUUCAUGAUUUCUGAUGAGAAAUCCCCUGUCAUCUAAACUGUUUUUCUCCUAUAGGCAAGAUGUCAUUUUUCUCUGGCUGCUUCUAAGAUUUUGCUUUACUUUUAGUAUUUAGAAGUUAAUGAUAUGCCUGGGUGUCGAUUUCUUUGAGUUUAUCUUGUGUAGAUAAACUCCUUCUUGAAUCUGUAGGUUUAUGUUUCCUAGCAAAUUUGUAAGUUUUCAGCCAUUAUUUCUUUAAGUACUUUUCAGCCCCACCCUCUUCUUCUAGCACUUUAAUGAGUGUUAGAUCAUUUGUUUUAAGGUUCUGUCUACUAUUUUUUUCAUCUACUGCUUUCAGUUGUUCAGGUUGGAUUAUUUCGAUUAUUCUUAUUCCAACUCACUGAUUUCUCUGUCCUCUUCUUUUUCCUGUUGAGCCCACCCACUGAGCUUUUUAAUUCAGUUAUUGUAUUUUUCUGUUCUAAAAUUUCCACUUUUUUAAACGUCUUCUUUUUAUUUGCUGAGGCUUUCUGUUUUUCCAUUUGUUUCAAGCAUGUUCAUAGUUGCUCUUUGAAGCACUUUUGUUAUGUCUGUUUUAAAAUCUUUGUCAGAUAAUUUAACAUCUCUAUCAUCUUGGUUUUGGCUUUUUUAACUCAUUUAUCUUCUUUUCAUUCAGUGUGAGAUUUUCUUGGCAUAAUGAGUGAUUUUCAGUUGAAACUUGGGCAUUUUUGUACUGUUCUUGGAAUCUGGAUCUUAUUUAAACCCUUUAAUUGGCUUUCUAUUACACUUCUCUAAUAAGGGAAGUGAUAUGGUUUGCUGUGUCCCCACUCAAAUCUCACUUUGAAUUGUAAUAAUCCCCACAUGUCAAGGUCAGGGCCAGGUGGAGAUAAUUGAAUCAUGGGGUUGGUUUCCCCCAUACUGUUCUUGUGGUAGUGAAUAAGUCUCAUGAGAUCUGAUGGUUUUUAUAAAUGGGAGUUGCUCUGCACAAACUGUCUUGCCUGCUGCCAUGUAAGACAUGACUUUGCUCCUCAUUUGCCUUCUGCCAUGAUUGUGAGGCCUCCCCAGCCACGUGGAACUGUGAGUCAGUUAAACCUCUUUCCUUUAUGAAUUAUCCAGUCUUGGGUAUGCCUUUAUCAGCAAUGUGAGAACAGACUAAUACAGGAAGCAGGGCUGGUGAUGCUACCUUACUGCUUCCAGAUAGAGUUGAAAGUCCAGUUUCCCUUCUGUUAGCACUUGAAUGGGGAGUAUCUUUUCAUUACUGUUGCAUGGGGGUAAGCUCAUUACUACUGAGCAACAGUGAAAGUGCUGACUUUCCUCUAGGCCUCCUCUGAUGGUGGGAAGGACAAGGGGUGCCUUGUUACUCCCAGUGCAUGGGAGUCAAAGAUCCCAAUGUUGUCACUACUGAUAUAGAGUAGGAGGGCAUUACUGACCAGCAGGGAUGAAAAUCCCAUUUUCCUGCUUGGUUGGCAUCAUCAUCCUCUAGUGCAGGUGUUGGGCAUCUUAUUAUAGCCUCCUAAAGGCAGAAGUAUAGGCUUUCCACUCAUCUUUUGCUGGGGGUGGGGAGGGGUCACAGUCUUAUUCUCUUUUCUUUGAUUCCACUAGAGAAGCUAUUGUCUAAAAAGCUAUUGUCUAAGUUUUCUGUCUUGCUAGGCUGCCUGUUUCUUUGUCCUCUGGCUAAAGAGAAAGGCCUUUGUUGGGCUUUAAAAAUCUUCAUCCACUUGGGUUUCUCUAUUGUCUGCUUCUUCAGUUCCAAGUCUGGGGCAUAUAAGUCAAAAAGAAAACUCAGGGAAUUUAUGUCAUUCUUUGGGUCCUAAGGUCCUGUAUUAGUUCAUCCUCAUGCUGCUAAUAAAGACAUAUCAGAGACUGGGUAAUUUAUAAAGGAAAGAGGUUUAAUUGACUCACAGUUCUGCAGGAUUAGGGCUUGCACCCUCUGAAGCAACAUCCUUAGCUGUACUUUGGCUCCUUUUAGCCAUGGCUGGAGUGACUGGCGCACUGGGCACUAAGUUCCAAGGCUGCACACAGCAGGGCCCUGGACCCAGUCCAGGAAACCAUUUUUCCCUCAGGAAACUUACAAUUGUGGCAGAAGGGGAAGCAAACAUGUCCUUCUUCACAUGGUGACAGCAGGGAUAAGUGCUAAGCAAAAGGAGGAAAACCCCUCAGAAAACCAUCAGAUCUCAUGAGAACCCACUCACUAUCACAAGAACAGCAGCAUGGGAGUAACCACCCCCAUGAUUCAAUUACCUCUCUCCCAUGGCACGUGGGGAUUAUGGGAACUACAAUUCAAUAUGAGAUUUGGGUGGGGACACAGCCAAACCAUAUCAGGUCCCUGGCUUUUCCAUCUUUUCUCCAUCUUCCAGAAUCUCUUAUGUAAGUUUUAUGUAUAAUGCCCAGGGUUUUUUUGUUGUACUUAAUGAGAGGAAUAGGGAAAAGUACAAAUACUCUAUCUUCCUAGAAGUGGAAGAUUCCUUGUAGAUUUUUUUUGUAGUUCCAUCAAUUACUGAGGAAAAGGUGUUAAAAUAUACACUGCUUUAGGAUUUACUUAUGGAUCGUAUGUGUAAGAUACCUAGCACUGUGCAUGGCACAGGUUAAGUUCUUAUUAUUCAUUCACCCAACAGAUAUUUCUUGAGCAACCAUUACAUGUCAGGCAAUGUUCAUCAGAUAUUCAACAGUGAGCAUAACAAAGUCCCUGCCCUUAUGGAACUUAUAUUUUAGCAGAAGGAGACAGAUAUUAAACAAAUAAAUUACUAGUUAAGUGGUGCCAUGGACAGAUAUGAAACAAAUCAAGGAGAUAAGAAGCAUAACUGGCAGGGUAGGGAGAAAUGGUUGUUUUUUUAUACUGGGUGGCCAGGGAAGGUCUCUCUAAUAAGGUGUAAUUUGACCAGAAUCCUAAAGACAUUAAGGAGCAAGCCACAUGGAUAUCUGGGUGAAGAGCCUCUGCUUUGGUGAAAUGACAGAUUACUGACCUUAUUUGUAAGGGAAGAAUGUCAUCAGAACCUUUUGCUUGUCAGGGUAUGGUGGAACUCAGAACAGUGUAUUGUUUCCAGAAGGAAGAAUUAGAUGAUCAUGCCCUAGGUCUGGCUUUCGCAUCUAUUAGUCAUACAACUUUUGACAAAGCACAAUCUUCUUUGUACCUCAUUUUCCAAAGGAUUCUGUUAUCUCACAUGGUUGUGAGAAUUCAGUGACUGACAAAUUGCACAUGAAAAAGCAUUUUACAAAUGAAGCAAAGGGUUCUAUAGAUAUAAGAUAUUAUGAUUGCAUCAUUAUUACUGCCAGUGCUAUCUAACUUGGAAUCAAAAACAUUUAGAUUAGAUUUUAGAGAUUAUUUUUAGCUCAACCUCCUAAUUUCAUGGCUAAAGAAACAAGCCCAGAGGAGCUGCAGCCUAAUUUAUAGAUGUAAAUGUGGGGCUAUAGAAUACAGCAUCUGAUUUCUUUGUGAAAAAAAAUGGUAAUAUAAAGCUGUGGUUUUCAGAAUGUGGUCCCUGCAUCAGCAUGACGUAGGGAAUUGUUAGAAAUACAUACACAUUCUUUGGCUCCAGUCUAUACCUACUGAGUCAGAAAUUCUGGAGAUGGGGCCCAGCAGUCUGUGUUUUAACAAGCCCUCCAGAUGAUUCUGGUGCUUGCUAAAUUUAAGAACCAUUGAUUAAUAGGGAGGUUCACAAACCCCUUCACUCAUAAAGAAUGACACUGGAGAAUUUAAUGCCCAGGGUGAGCCUUCAGCAAAAUUGUGAUUAAAUGGCCUUUGUAGGGGCAUUUAAAAAUCUUCCCUCUUUUCCUGCUUCAGGGUUACCUUUUCUUCAGGCACAUCUCAAGGAACCUCUUUCCUUAGAUGCUUUCUUAGUUGUUUGGCCAAUAACUCUAGUCAGGGUGUUAGUUGAAAUUACUACAUCUUCAGAUUAAUAAGAGAGUAAAUAAAAUGACCAUCCUUUAGGGUCCCAAGAAUUCAGAUUCUAAUAGAUUUGGAUAUAAGACACAUAGAAGAGGUAAUGCUCUGGAGUAGAAGGAUCCUGAGAUUUCUCCUAUUCUUAACACCUGUUUGGUUAUUUGAACACUUAUGAAUGGAGUGGAAAGAAGAUUUAUGAUAUUUCCAGUAUCAGUCACAGAAUUUGCUUCUAGUAACCAUGGUUUUUAAGUUCUCAGAACAUAGAGAAAAAAAGGGAUUGGCCUUAUUACAGAUUCUUUUUUUUUUUUUUUUUUUUUUUUUUUUGAGACGAUGUCUUACUCUGUUGCCCAGGCUGGAGUGCAGUGGCGCGAUCUCGGCUCACAGCAAGCUCCACCUCCCGGGUUCACGCCAUUCUCCUGCCUUAGCCUCCGGGAGUAGCUGGGACUACAGGCGCCUGCCACCACGCCCGGCUAAUUUUUUUGUAUUUUUAGUAGAGACAGGGUUUCACCGUGUUCGCCAGGAUGGUCUGGAUCUCCUGACCUCGUGAUCCACCCGCCUCGGCCUCCAAAAGUGCUGGGAUUACAGGCGUGAGCCACCACGCCCGGCCAAGAUUUUUAGGUUUUAUUAGCGUCAUGAUGCUUGACUUACCAAAAACACUAGGGUGUGGUCAUCUUUGCCUAGUUCUCUGUGUGUACACUUUAAAUAGUUUUAUCUGUAAGUUAGAGAAGAAGUCCCUUGCUUUUUUUUAACAUUUCAAAGUCUUUUUCCAGUCUCGUUUUCUUUCUGUCACACUAAGUGUUAGUGUUACAAUCAGGUAGGAAUUGAACUUAAACUACCUCUAUUUGUCCUAAUUCAGACUUGUGUGUUCUUGGAGACAGCCUCUGCCUUCUCCUUGCAUGCAUCCUGUUUAGGUUCUCAGAUCCAGCAGCACUAGAUUAGAAACAGUCACCAAAUCUCACUAAUACCUCGUAUCAAUUAAAGGAAAGUUGAAGAGUGCUAUAAGCUGUCCUAGAUUAUUAUGUGUGGCUUUAUUUUAGUAGAUAAGGAAAUACGUCUAUAAAUCAGCUAGUCUGUGAGGAAGAUGAGGAAGAAUAUUGACCAGAAUAACUGUGACUCUAUAUGCUUGCUCCUUUAAUCAGGAAACCCGUAAUAAUUGACCCAUAUGUAAUAGAAUACACUCUUGACUCUCUACAUAAGCAAUUAUUUAAGUUAGGAGUCAGAAUAAUAAAGCAAUUGCCCAGUGCUUUUGAGGUCAGUAGAUUAACUCUACAGAGCUUAAUUAAAAAGCGAUAAUAAAUGCUUGCUCUAGGGAGGAUAUUUCAUUAGUCUUCAUCAUGGCCUGGGUGAAGUAUUCCUGAUAAUUAUUUUCUAGCCCUUUAAAAUUCUCCUCUUACGAAGCAAACUUCUCACUACUAGUUAGGAUUCCCACAUUGGGGAAGGAGAUUUCCCAAAGCAGCUCCUCCAUUAGAAAAGACUAAGUUUGAAAAGACAGCACCACUAUAAAGAAUAAAUUGGUAUUCUCUUAUUUUUGGAAGAAGCAAAAUUUUAAACUAAGAAAAUAUCAAAGAAAAGAACACUAUGGCAAUGGCUAUGAUAAAAUUUUGGAAAUACUGUUUUUGAAAUUAAGAAUUAGAUUUCCUUUAUGGUUCCUCCUUAAAAUAUGCAAGAUACUGAGAAAAGUCAGGCUCCUUUUCUGGAGCAAAAAUGGACAGAACUUUUUGGAUAAAUCUUUCUGUUGACCUUCUAAUUCUACAUACCGUUAGAUUUUUGGAUAAAUCUUUCUGUUGACCUUACAGUAAACAGAACUUCAUCUUCAUCAUGGCCUAGGUGAAGUAUUCCUCAUAAGUAAGCAGAACUGUAUGUAGAAUUAGAAGGUCAACAGAAAGAUUUAUCUAAAAAGUUCUGUUUUUCUUGUAGAAGGAGAAAGUUCAGAGGAAAAUAACUUCUUCCAAAAGGAAAUGAAAUCUGUAACCACAAAGUAACUGGGAUGUUUGAAUGCUGUGAAACUGUUUAACUUCUUCCAUUCUUUCAAGCCCUUUUCUUUAUACUGUGUUAGAACUGUGCUUUCCUUCUGCAUUCUUGUUUAUUUCCAUCACCAUCAUCUCUAAUUUUGACCAUUUUAAUAGCCUCCUAAACAGUCUUUGAAGGCUUUGAUCUUUCCCACCUUACUCAUUCCUCCAUACUGCUGCCAUAAUUGUGUCAAUUCUCCUCUUCAAGAAAUUGGACCAAUUUGAUGUGUGUCCUUGUUCCUUAGCACUACAUAUGAGGACAUACCCUUCACAAUCAGGCCUUAUCUUCCAUAUCUGGCCUCAUCUGCUCCCCUUUGCUCAUGAAGCCUGUGCUAAAACUAUGCUGAAAUCUCAUGCUUGUUUUCUUUUCUUAGAAUGAUCAUAAUUUUUUUUCUCUUUCACCUGAUAACUGUCUGGUCCUCUUUUAGGAAUCAGCUCAUAGUCUCCUUUGAGAAGCCUUUCUGGAUUUCCAAAGUUAGCAGCUCACUCUAUGUUAUUGCCACAUUUGUUUUUCACACUCAUGUCAGAGUAUGUAUGUUGCACAUACAUACAGCGUAUAUCUUUUUGAACUGCCGUCUUCCACACUGGAUUGAACUUCUCAAAGACAGGGAUAACUGUCACAUCUUUCGUGUCCAUUUCUGUACCAGACAUAUAGUUGAUACUCAGUAAAAUUGGUUGAAUGGAAUUGAGAGUGCGUUUGUCACCUUCAUGUCUUCUCAGAGCACCUUAUUUCAUUUACCUUCCAUUAAAGUUGGGUUCACUGCCUACAUUCAUUUUUGUUAUUAUCUCUGAUUGCACAUAUUAGGAACUCCACAAAUGUUGAAUAAAGGAAUUAGUUCUAAUAGCACUAAAGAGCUUAUAAUUAAGAGACAAAUGUAUUUUUAGAUGCAAAAUUAUCUAAAGAUUUUAUUUCCUUGAUAUACAGGACAGUGACAAAGAACUUCACAUUUCGUGCAUUUCUUUGGUCACAUUUUCUUUCAUUAGAAUGAAUUACUCUUCACUUAUGACUUUUGUGUGAACCUCCCGACUCUUCACUCUCAGCUUGUUGACUUGGGACUCAGCAAUGUCAGCCCGUUCCUUGGCCUCCUCCAGCUCGUGCUGGAGCUUGCGGAACUUGGCAAGGUUGACAUUGGAUUGUUCCUCCUGAGAACAGAGAUGCAUUUGAGAUAACAAGAAAAUUGGACAUUUCCUGAUUGUUAUUGCUUUUGUUACUUCAGGAUUUGCCUCAUGAAUGAGAAAGAAAAAGGCUCCGUUGUCCAGGCAUGGUGGCUCACACCUGUAAUCCCAGCACUCUGGGAGACUGAGGCGGGUGGAUCACCUGAGGUCAGGAAUUCGAGACCAGCCUGGCCAACAUGGUGAAACCCCCAUCUUUACUAAAAUUAGCCCAGCGUAGUGGUGGAUGCCUGUAAUUCCAGCUACUCAGGAGGCUGAGGCAGGAGAAUCUCUUGGACCCAGGAGGCAGAGAUUGCAGUGAGCUGAGAUUGUGCCAUUGCACUCCAGCCUGGGCAACAAGAGCAAAACUCUGCCUCGAAAAAAAAAAAAAGAAGAGAAAAAGGCUUUAUUAUUUAGUAACAUAGUUAUUUGAGAGCAAGGCAUCCCACAAACUCGCCUAUGUAAAUGAAUGUGCUUAUGACCCUCCUCAAGUCUCUCUCUCACUUGACUCUCUUUCUGGCAAACUGAAGAGGCUGCAGUGAUAACUGGAAGAACAAAGUAGCAGGGAUCUGAAUUCAAUCUUGUUUCUAAAAAAGAAACUUUAAAAAAUAGGUGCAGUAGUGGCAUUUGGUGCCAAGAACCCUAAGGAAGGUUUCAGAAUUAACAGAAUGAAAAAGAUAACUGCAGCCAAAUUGAAAAAAAAAGUCCCAAGAUGGAUUUAUCAUGAAGUUAAAUGAAGCUUAGAAUUCAUACUCUCAUUUGCACAGGUCCAUAUGAGUGCUGGGGGUUGUAGAAUGUUCUAGAUAGGGAGGGAAGUGGAUUGCAACUAAGAAACAUUUGUAUGUUAACAUGUCUGGAAAAUUGCUUAAAGAGGUCUCAGAAGAAAUAAACUCAAAUCUAUAAGGCUCCAGUAAUUUAUGGUUCAUUUUUCUCAUUCUAAAUAUUCAUGUUCAUACCUAAUUAUGUAUUCCCAAUUUAAAGAAAACCCCCUAAAUUCUAUAAACUUUAGGCCCCAAAAAACCUGGAUGUGCAUCUGAACCUUUCAUUUCCACUGUGGAGAUACUCACAGCCUCUUCAGCUUGUCUCUUGUAAGCUUUGACUUUGGUUUGCAAUUUGUCCACCAAGUCCUGCAGCCUGAGAAUAUUCUUGCGGUCCUCCUCAGUCUGAAAGAGGUGCAAGUAGAUGGUGCCAUUAUUUUAAAACAACUCAUGAUUUUCUUGAAAACUAUAGGCCUGGAAGAUAUGAAAACACUGGUCACCUGGUAAGUGAGUUCCUUCACUCUUCUCUCAUGUUUGCGAAGACCCUUGACAGCCUCAACAUUGUGCUUCUGUUCACUUUCCACCUCACUUUCAAGCUCUCUCACCUGGAAGGGAACAAAGACGUUUACCAGUUUGGCUGUAACUGGCCACAAGGAAUUGAGUGAAGUUGUGGAGACCUACCCUGGCCUCCAGUUUCUGGAUCUGCUUCUUCCCACCCUUCAGCGCCAGCUGCUCAGCCUCAUCCAGACGGAGCUGCAGAUCCUUCACGGUCUGCUCCAUGUUCUUCUUCAUCCGCUCCAGGUGGGCGCUGGUGUCCUGUUCCUUCUUCAGCUCCUCAGCCAUCAUGGCAGCCUAGUUAGCAAAUAAAUUUUGAAAAUAAUGAAUUCUGAUGAUAGCAGGCAGCAUGCAUGUGUCAGUAAGACAAAUGCUCAUCUUGCUUACAUCAGUGAUGGCCUUCUUGGCCUUCUCCUCUGCAUUGCGGGCUUCCUGGACGAUGUCCUCCAUCUCUCCCUGGAUUUGGGAAAUGUCUGUUUCCAGCUUCUUCUUGGUGUUGAUCAGGCUGGUGUUCUGUUUCAAAUUAAUGAAAGAGAAGAGAAGCACAUUUACUUAUAACAACUCACAUUGUCAUUUUACCUAGUGUACACAGGCAAAAAUUAUUGAUCAUAAGAAAUGUUUAGAAUAAAAACCAAAUUAGAAGAUAAUUCUAAGUUUAUGCCUUUUCUCCUUUCUAUAUAUAGCUCUUUAAUCAAACUUCUAAAUUUAAUUUUUGAUGUCAAACAUAUUCAACUAUUACCAUUGCCAUUUGUAAGCAUGAAACACAGCCCACAAAACUCAAAGUGCUGUACCAUGGAGCACCACACCACAGCUCAUUUAAAAUGAAUCAGUAAUUUUUAGCUAUUAACUCAUGUUGGUUGACUCCAUAUUUAUAAAUGCAUAAAUAGUUGUCUUGUUGGCUGGGCGCAGUGGCUCAUGCCUGUAAUCCCAGCACUUUGGGAGGCCGAGGUGGGCAGAUCACGGGGUCAGGAGAUCGAGACCAUCCUGGCUAACACGGUGAAACCCCGUCUCUACUAAAAAUACAAAAAAUUAGUCGAGUGUGGUGGUGGGCGCCUGUAGUCCCAGCUACUCGGGAGGCUGAGGCAGGAGAAUGGCGUGAACAUGGGAGUCGGAGCUUGCUGUGAGCCGAGAUCGCACCACUGCACUCCAGCCUGGGUGACAGAGUGAGACCCCUUCUCAAAAAAAAAAAAAAAAAAAAAAAAAUAGUAGUCUUGUUGGGAUAAAAAUGAGCCAAGAAUCCCUUCUGUUUUUGGCAAGUUGAUGGUGUUUGGAAUAGUCAACUUCAGAUACUGUUAAUAAGAAAAAUGUUGCAUAUUAAUUUGAUUUUAAAAUUAUAUAAAGCAUGCAAUUUUAACACUUCUAUAAUAGUUAUGUUUAUAUAGUGCAACUUUCUGAAGUAUACAGUACUAUAUAUUUAUUGUAAAAGAUAGUAGAACAUACAAAUUAGCAGACAAGAAACAAAAAAUAAUUACUGUGCUCUCACCAGAGAUAAAGGAUAAACUUUUAUUUAUCUUUCUGGAUGUUUCCUAUAUGUUUAUACGGGAAAAAAGAUCACACAGCCUAUAUUAUUUUUAAGUUGCUUUUUUAACUUACUAUAAUAUAAACAUCUUCCCAUGGCAAUAAAUUCAUACUACAGUGGUUACAUAUUAGCCAUUGUGAGGAUAUACCACCAUUUAUUUAACAAAUUCACUAUAUACAACAAAUGCUAACUAGUAUUAAUAAUGGCCUCCAUGAAUUUGAACUAAAGAGCUUCUCUUUGUAUCCCAUGAGGUUAGCAUUCUGUGCAUAUGUGAUACGUAAAUAUUAUUUAGUGGCUUUUUGUUUUUCUCCUCUAUUUUAUUUGCCUAUCUUUUUGUAGCUUAGAGUUGCAUAAGACAAGACAGCUACAAAUGUUGUGUGUAUGUUUAUUUGUAGAUGGUCUUCUGUGCUUUUUAAAUAAAAGUUUCUAGAAUUCCAGAUUAUUUCAACUCAACAUGAUUAUGCCAGCCCAUAAAUAUACUCGUGAACCAGCUAGGUCCCAGUAAAUCCUUACAGCACCCUGUACAUUUUCCAGAGCUCCAGGAAGGGACGAAGAUUACUUUUUACUUUAUAAACAAGCUUAUCUUCUCAAAUUAUCUUCAGCUUCAGGGAGUACAUUUUCUAAACCAUAGUCUUGAACCUCACCUGAGUGUGCAGAAGUUGCACACGUUCACUGGCAUCCAGAAGCUCUUGCUCUGCCAUUUUCCUGCCUCUCUCAGUCCGUUCCAGGGAUGCCCUGAGCUCUUCAACUUCAGCCUGCAUCAGGUUAGCUCUGCGCUCAACCAUUGCCAGUUGUUCCUUAAGGUCAUCUUGGCCUCUGAUGGCAUCAUCCAAAUGUAGCUGAGUGUCCUACACAGAAAGAGAAAAAGCCUCUUACUCAUGCUGCACUUAAAGCAAAUGCAAACUUAUGGUCAUGUACACUCUUUGAUCUUAAUGACUUAGAGUAUGAUUAGAUAGGAGCAAUCGGCAAGUACCUUUAAUAAUAAAUUCUUUGUAGCUGAGGGUUGCAGUUCUACUCAAAAGAACAUGAUGUUUUAUUAUUUUAGACCCUGAAUCAUUAAAAAAUACCAUGGCUAGCUCUACAAAAUUUUGGAUCAGGAAAGUAUCCUUAGACUUCAGCGAGUCCAGUGGUGCUAUUUUACAUAUUAAGCAAAUGAAGUCCAGAUUAAUGAAGUGAUUUAAGCAGUGGCAUGUAGCCAAACUCUUUCAUCACUUCCUCUAUCUCCCUACCCCUCACCACAGUGCUUCUCUGCAGAUAACAAAGCAAACUCUGUCCUGGGCCUUCCAGAAUUAAGCUCUUUUUCAGUUGUGUGUGUAUAACUUUGAACUUUGAACUGAUUACCAUGUUGCUUAGGUGAUUUAUGACACAUAGUCCUCGUAAAACAUUAAAAUUUGAGUUACACAGUAGCACUGAGACUGUACAACACUAUGUGUAUUUACCCCAGCAUACCUUCAGUAUUCCUUGUGUGUUUCUAAGAUUCCUUAGUGCCUCAGCAGCCUGGCGGUUGGCAUGGUUCAGCUGGAUUUCCAUUUCAUUAAGAUCUCCCUCCAUCUUCUUCUUGAUCCUCAGAGCAUCAUUUCUGCUCCUGAUCUCAGCAUCCAGUGUACUCUGCAUUGACUCCACAACUCUGAGAUGGUUCCUCUUUAGCUGAUCGAGUUCUUCAUCUUUUUCAGCAAUUUUUCGGUCAAUCUCAGAUUUCACCUGAUUUAGCUCAAGUUGAAUGCGAAGAAUUUUGCCUUCUUCAUGCUCAAGAGAUGCCUUAAUAAAAGCAACAUUUAUUUAGGUUACCUAAAGAGCUUUUUAUUUCUUUCACAUUAUGAUAAUUUCCCCAAGAAGGCAUUAAAAAACCCAUAAACUAUCAUACGUCUUAAUGUAGCCUAUUAGCUCUGCAUUCUCAAGGUACAAUUCAGUAUUUUUCACUGAAUUACUUGUGUUAUUCCCUAAAGAUUUGCAACAUGAUAGAGAUCUCAGUUGCUAUUAAUUUUCAAUUUAUUUAUAAUGCAGAGCUAAGCAAAUGAAAAAUGUACCUCUGCUUCCUCUAGGGAAGUCUGUAGUUCACUCUUCUCAUGAUCAAGUUGUUUCUUUACUUUCUCCAGUUCAUGGAUAUGCUUUCCACCCUCUGCAAUUUGCUCUGUCAGGUCAGAAAUCUCCUCUGUAAUAAUAAAGUACCAAAUUUCAGUUAAGUAGAAAGAAAAAUUGAAAAGAUGUCUCCCUACCAUUUUUGAAAUAGAAUGAUUACAGUGACUCACGUUGUAAGUUCUUAUUCUCUCGCUUUAGAGUUUCAAGAUGAUCCAGGGAUUCCUCGUAGGCAUUCUUCACCUUGAACAGCUCAGUGCUGAGAGAACGCGACUCCUUCUGGGAGGCCUCAAGUUCAGCCUGAGUUUCCUCAUACUUCUGUUUCCAUUCUGCCAGAACCUGGAAGUAUAUAGAAAAUAAGCCUUUGAAACCAAGAAUGAUGUCAGUUUCCCCCAAGGGGAGCUGGUACUGUGGACCACCUUGUCAAAGUUUCUUUGCUUCUUAUCGAGAGCUAUGCAGGCAGCAUUAGAUCGUUCCACAUCAAUCAUGAGGUCCUCUACUUCAUUCUGUAGCCUCUGCUUUGUCUUUUCAAGAGAAGCACAUUUGGAAUUCACAGCUUCUACAUGUUCUUCUGCAUCCUGCAGACGCUGGGCUAGCUUCUUCCUGAAAAUUGGGUCAGUAUGAGUGACCAAGAGCAGACUCAGAGUCACCACAGUGCCCUUUAUAAAGCUGCUGACUAGGAAAGCAUAUUUCCCCAAGAGUUGUCUACAAGUUGUUGAAUUUUUCUAAACAUUUUCACUCUCUUAGAAUUCUGUUUUCCCUGUUGAGUUCUUAUUUUUAUCCAUCUCAGGUAUUGCCAAACAUAUUUACGAAGCACCUGUGUGUGUGUAUGUGUGUGUAUGAGAGAAAGAGAAUAUAAGUUAGCACUAGAGCUGAGUGAGCAAUGUGAAAAUUUGCUCCUCUUUCUUUGUUUUUAUUUCACUAAGCUGGCCCUCUAUAGUGUGGCACAUUUUCUUGAACUUUGCCUGGGGUGAGAAGUAGAAAACAGGAAGAGACAGUACAUUUCUCUUUUGAAACCUGGGAUUUAGAGAUCUGUAACUACUUGUGGAAAAGGGCUGAGUUUUAUUUACUUUGAGGAAGAAAUGGCAACCAUGAACAGGAAGCAUAUCACCAAGGAAUGGUAGCAUUGAGUAGUAUCUUUAAGCAUUUUCUAGUAUGGUUCUGUUUAUUUUGCAAAUGAGGAAACUGCGGCCCAGAGUGAUAUGUUCAAGGUCAUACAAUGAAUCAGUAACUUUCUGGAUUUGGUGGCCUUUGAUAAUAAAUAUUACUGCAUUAUUGCAUUUCCCAAAUUUCCUCUAAAAUCUUGUCUACUACUCUUCACCAACCUAUGUAAUUCAUGACCUUUCCCAGCCCACACUCUUAUCUAGAACUCUCUCUGGAAAUGCUUGCUACAAACUCUUUCAUCCUGUUUAAUUCUAACAACUACUGAGAUAAAUUAAAUUUAGAAAGGCUUCUUUCACUAGGAGUAUAAUGCUUUUUUUCCUUCUAUGUGUAAAUCUGUAAAUCUCAUGACUUGUAGUCCGCAAACAGUACGUGUAAUUAGUGAAUACAUCCAUUGAUAUAGGUUGUUAGUUGAAAUAAUGACAGCAUAUGACAACCUUAAUAUAAACAUUCAAUACUCCAUCUGAGGAAAAACUGAUUAUUGUUAAUUGUAAUACUCAUAAUAAUUUACCAGAGAGUCUCAAUGUCUCAAUUUUUCCUUCUAUUAAAAGAUACUAAUUCUAUUUAAUUCAUAAAUAAUAUUCUGAUAAUUAAUAAUCCAUCUUGGUGGAAAGAAAUUUAAGAUGCUUCUGGACAAGAAUGGGUGGAGGGAUCUGGUCUCAUUCCAUUCUCCAGUGGACAUACACUGGGCUUUAAGAAGAAGAAUAUGGUGGAAUCCACCAACCUAUAAUAAAAUAAGCUGAAGUCUUUCAUGUGUCCCCAAGCCCGGAAUAUUCUCUUUCUUCUAUUUUUCCUUCACUGCCUUUACUUUUAUUUCUUCCUGCUCCCCUGCACUAAAAGCACAUACUUGGCCUCCUCCAGCUCCUCUGUGCGCUGGAUGGCGUCCGUCUCGUACUUGGUCCUCCACUGGGCAACCUCACUGUUGGCCUUGGACAUUCCCCUCUGCAGCUCAGCCUUGGCUUCCUGCUCCUCCUCAUACUGUUCCCGCAGCAGGUCACAGUCAUGGCGGGCUGACUGCAGGGCAUGGGCCAGAGUGCUCUUGGCCUAGACCAACCAAAAACUAUGUGAUAUAAGUUUAUCUUCUGAUCAUUGAAAUUCUCUAUGCAAAGUUCAAUAGUGUGUUAUGUUGCACGGUUCAAGUGAUUGAAAGUAUCAGCUGGAGAAUUCUCACCUUAGUCUCCUCUUCUAGCUGCCUCUUUAAUUCUUCAAUCUGUUGUGUAAAUGCUUGUUUGCCUCGGGAUAGCUGAGAAACCAUAGCAUCUUUUUCAUCUAGCUGUCGUGAAAACUCACCUGUGGAAGACAAAACAUCAAUGAUUUAGUUCUGUUGUCUAGGUAAACAAUAAUUUAAAGAAUGGAAUAACAUUGUAACCCUCUUAUUUCAUAUGAUGAAAAAACCCCUCAAGAUUUUCAGUGAUGUUGAGAAGGUUAUUUCUUGCUUUUUAAAAAAUGUAUGAGUUUUCUUUGAUAUUUUAGAAUUCGAGAACUUUUGAGUAAUGCUGAGUCACAAAAAAUCUCCUGAGCCCAGGGAGCUUAAUUCUUUUCCCCAAUUGUCGCUUAGAAUCAUUGCAUUUUACUGUCUCAUAAUAAAAAGAUGGAGGAAUAAGUAAGACAUGAUAAAUGAAUGUACAGAGCUUGAGAAAUUACUUGUAUUUGAUAGGUAGGUAAAGGCUUGUCUUUCAUUCGUCACCUCUCCGAAGGUUGAUGCUAUUUAUUUACUGACCUGAUUCUGUGUGUAAACGUGCCUUCUGGGCUGACAACUCAUUUAUUAAGCGUUGUUGCUCUUCUUCCUUUGUUUUUAUUUCACUAAGCUGGUCCUCUAGGGUGCGGCACAUUUUCUCAAAGUUUGCCUGGGGUGAGAGGUAGAAAACAGGAAGAGACAAUACAUUUUUAUUCUAGAGGCUGGGAUUUAGAGAUCUGUAACUACCUGUGGAAAGGGGCUGAUUUUUAUUUACUUUUCUAUCAAUCUUGCAUGGUGGCUAUAAAGUAGUAGAGGCAUUUAAUUUGGCUAAAUAAUGAACACAUGAUUAUCAAAAUUAUAUUCUCUUUGAAAGUGUGAACAUCAUUUAAAUUCUGCAUCAUUUAGAGUAUGGUUUUUAGAUAAACCUUUUUUGUAAUUACAUUUUUUUUCAUGGUAAUAGUAUCAAAGGUUAAAGUGUUUUCUACAAAGAAGUUAAGAGAACUUAAGUGAUUCAAUACAAUAAUGUGUACUAGGAGUAAGUUUAAGCUUCAGAUGCCAUCUAAUGUUUGUGUAAUUUGGCUAAAAAUAGUCAUAUAUAAACUUGGUCAUUUUGAAUUGUUGCAAAUAAAGAUGAAAAGGGCACAAGUUAAUGAAGACCUUGGCUUUGGAGACAGUCUCCAUGUUACUAGCAAGGUCAUUGAUCUCCAUCUUCAGCUCACUCUUUUCCUUCUCCAGCUUCUGCUUGACCCGCUGAAGGCUGUCAAUCUGCUCCCCAAGCUCAGCCACACUAUCUGCGUGCUUCUUCCGAAGAGCAGCUGCCGUGGCUUCGUGCUGCAGGGUGGACUCUUCCAGGUCCCUGCGCAUUUUCUGGAACUCAGCCUCCCGCUUCUUGUUCAUCUCAAUCUGGGCUGAAGUGGCCCCACCGGCUUCUUCCAGCCUCUCACUGAUCUCCUCCAGCUCCCGGGAGAGGUCAGAGCGCUGCUUCUCUGCUUUGGCCCGGGAGGCCCGCUCUGCCUCGAUUUCCUCCUCCAGCUCCUCAAUGCGGGCCUGGUUGUGAUAUGUCAACAUUAAUGUGAAUUUAUGUCAGUUUUGUUUCCUGUAAUGCCCAGAAAAGGUGGAGGUUAUAACUUACCUGUAAUUCUUUGAUCUUCUUUUGUAGCUGUAUUGCAAGGGCUUGUUCAUCUUCAAUCUUGCCUUGCAGAUUGCUCAUUUCAAACUCUUUCCUAUUAGAAGAGCAACACAUUAGCUUAUAAUCACUUCUCUUACCAAUCUUCUUUUCUAUGUAUAAUCUAAGACUUUUUUUAUACUGCUGGUGUUGAAGGAGUGAGUAGUACAAUGUUUUACAGAUUAAUAAUUGUAUUAGUUUAAUUAAAUAAAAAGGUCAAAGAUGUCAUUAUUUUUUUCCAUAUGUCAUGAUGUAACAUUUUGGAGAUCUUUUUAGCGUAUGUUUCAUUUGCAUUGACAUACAACAAGCAGGUUAUAGCUGAAUUAUACCAUACUUACUUUUUGAGUUUCUCAUUAAGUUGCUGUUUGUCAUUUUCUGUAUCCAUUGUGGAUUCUUGGGCCAAUUUUAGGUCACCCUCCAGUUUUCUCUUGGCUCUUUCUAAGUCCAUGCAAAGUUUCUUUUCUUGUUCCAGAGAUCCUUCAAGCUAAAUUUAUGAUGCAUUUUAUUUAUUUCAGCUCUUAAGCACUGAACCCUAUGCUAGUAGCCUUCAAAGAUACAUAAGAAAAAAAUUUAAAGAUACAACAAAUAGCACAAGAACUUUAUUCACAGACCAAGCGUUAAAGGCUUAUGACUAUCAGUGCUGGUUUCAUGUCACAAUUGUUUAUUUCAUUGCAAGGGGAAACAUUUUCUUUUUCACACUUACAUCGUCCACUUGCUGUUCUAGCUUGGUUUUAGCUUUGGUCAGGGUGUUGACUUUGUCCUCCUCCAUCUGCAGGUCAUCCAGGGUCUGCUGGUGGGCCUCCUGGAGAGCCUUCUUCUCCUUGGUCAGCUUAGCAAUGGUUUCAUCCAGACCUGCCAUCUCUUCUGUGAGGUUUUUCACCUUUAGAUUAGAACAGAUGACCAGAAUGUCAAUGACAACGUAUUAUCUUGAUGAAAAACAUGAUGCUGUAGUAUCUUAGGAUAAUGUCAGCGUAAGAUGGAAAAUGAGAACCAGGAGCUAACCCAGGCCUAUAAUGGCUGAAAAAAUAGGAGGUAAAGGUCAAGUAAGUACAUUGAGGUGGUGAAGACUAAAGAGAUGAAAUAGUUAUGACAGUGGUAUUUUUUAUAUUCAAUCAUCUUAAGAUUAAAUUUUUAAUUAAAAUACUUCAGUAUCAAGGUGCUUAUAAAUAUUCUAAAAUGGAUCAUGAUUUGUACCUUGUUCUCUGUGGCAUGUUUCUCCUUCUCAACCUUGGCCAGUGUCAGCUCAAGGUCAUCAAUGUCUUUCUUGAGCUCUGAACAUUCAUCCUCCAGUUUCCUCUUCUUGGCUGUCAGCUCAGCAUUGAUCUCUUCCUCAUCCUCAGCUCUUUCAGUUACCUCUUUGAUUUUGGCCUCAAGUUGGAUUUUGGUUUUAAUCAACUGAUCACAUCUUUCCUCUGCAUCAGCCAAGGCAUCUGCUUCCUAAAGGGAGAAAUUAAGCAUUUUCAUUUGUCUGAGCUAUAUCUAUAAGCACACAAUAAUUUAUUAUAAGGUGGAAAUUUCAGUGACUACCUGUUUGGUCAACAUGUAUACCAGUUGCUAACUUUUAAAAUGAAACAGACAAAAUGUUAAUACUGUUAUCUACUGAUCAAGUAUAAUAACAAAUUUCCUUCAGAUAUUCAUGUGUGGCAGGCCAAAUCAGGAAAACUAGCCCUUUGGCAAAAAUCUGCCACUUUACUAACCUUUGCAACUUUGGAAAAAUCGCUUGUUCAUUGUAGGACUCAGUUUUCUCACAUUUAAGAGGGGAUUAACUUAGCCAUUUCUCUGCCCUGAUAAAAACAACAUAACUUCUAUUUUAUGCACAAAAAUACACUAAAGAAAGAAUAAUCUGAUCUGAGAGAAAGUUCCAUAAAUAAAGGAAAAUGUCUAUUGAUAUUUUUAUGAAUUUGCUCACUGAUGACCAAACUGUGUGUGAAUGCACAUAUGAACGUGUGCAGCAUGAUAUGUGACUUUGCAUCUAUUGCUUCUUUAUGCCCGAGUCUUGGUGUUUUUGAACAGCAAACAAUCAGAACAAAUGUUUCAGUGGAAACCAUUCAUUUUAAAACGUUAAAAGUAAUAAGAUGUGGCUGAACUGCAAUGUAUAAUACUUACAGCUUGAACUUGGAGUUGUAAGUCAUUUUUCUCUUGCAUUAGCGUCACCAUCUUUUCUUCUAGUUCUUUCCUUUUUGCCUCUGUCUUAGCCAGCUCUUCUUUGGUUUUCUCAAAUUCUUCCUUCAUGUUGGCCAUCUCCUUCUCUGUCUCUGCACUCUUGAGGAGGGGCUUGAUCUUGAAAUACAGCUUCAUCCAGGGCCAGUGCUUCACAUUCAUGAAAGCACGGAUGUUGUACUGAAUGCAGAAGAUGGACUCUCUGUAGGAAAAGAAAAAAAGAUGCAAAUGGAGAAUAAUGUGGAAAGUGAUCAUCACUCAACAAAAGUAAUGACUGCAGUGGAUUCAUUUAUGAAAGUGUGGAGCAGGAAGACUUGUGUGUGGGCUCUCACCUCCUCUCCAUCAUCUUUCUGAACUCCACUCUCAUCAGGAACCCUCUGCAUAUGGCUUGAGUGCGCGUGAUGAGUUGAGCUAGCUUUUCAUCUCGCAUUUCCUCUAGAGUUCCCAGCAGGCCAGCUUUGAAGAAAACCUUAUGAAAGAACAAGUUAAAUAUGUUAUUUCCACUUACAGGAAAGUCUAAAAGUGAUAGAAUUAUGACAGAUAGAAAUUUGGACUGGUGAUACCUUGGUAUGACCGAAUUUGUACUGGGUGUGGUCAAUUUCAAUAGACCCUAGAAGUUUCUCAGAAGCCUUCUUGCUGUCAAUGAACUGACCCUCUGGGAUAGCACUCGCAUUUAGAACCUUGUAUCUGUCAGAAUAAAAAGAAUAUAAAAAUGUGGUUUUUCUUCACUGAAAAAAACAGUAGAACAUUUGGUAGCUAUCAUUGAAAAGAUGAUAGAUUAAGUUUUGGUGAACAAAAUGCCAUUUAAAAAGUCAGUGCUUUAUUUAAAACUUCGGAAGAUAUGAUGAAAAACUUAUGAUAAUAUAAACCUAAGCUUCUUUCUUUUAUGAUCAAUUUUCAAAUAAUUGCAUGUCAUUUUUCAAGGAAAAGUUUAAAAAUGUUGGAAUUAUAUAGUGAUUUUGUGUAGACUAAGACAUUGGAAGGGAAAAAUAAUGAGACACAAACCUCUGUUUGAAGUCUGCAUAAAGGAUUCUGCUUGGGAAGCCUUUCCUGCAGAUGCGGAUGCCUUCCAGCACACCGUUACACCUCAGCUGAUGCAGGACAAGCUCAUGCUCCAUGGCACCUAAGAGAAUGAAUCCACAUGCCAUACUUCGUGGUCUAUCGCACACACACUGGAGCUUGUCUGGAUAUCAGAAAUGUCUUACCAGGAGUUUUAGUUUCAUUGGGGAUGAUGCACCGCACAAAGUGGGGGUGAGUGCUCCUCAAGUUGGUCAUCAGCUUAUUCAAAUUCUCCUGUGGAACCAUAUGAAAAGUUUUAAAAUCAUUUCUAGUUGCAUCGACAUGAGAGUCCCUAUCAAUAUUUGUCUUUCAUUUCACAUUUUAAUGAGCUGUCUCAAGGAAAAACAAAUUAUCAUAACAGAGAGGAAUCAUAUAAGUGGAGCACAGGUAGGAAAUUACAGAUUACACAAAAUCAGUUAAUUUCAGUUUGUUAUUCUCAAGCACCACCAGUCAGAGAAACUUUGUAUUGCGAUUUUUGUCACAUGAAGGAGAUGUAAUUGAAUACAGUGGUUAUUUUUAAAAGAGCAUUUGAUUUCAUGUGAAAUUUGUACAAUACCAGAUCUCUUGGAUGUAGGGCUCAGGGGCAAUGGUUCACGUAUCAUAAAGAUUGAUGUGAAGAGAUAUGUAGUUUGUUUUUUUGUGCUAAUUUUUUUUCCUAAGCCAUUUAAAAAGUUUACAAAACCUUUAGUAGUAUACUAAAAAGUAUACUGUACUACUUUAUUCACUUUCACCAUAAAUAUCUUUUAAAAAAUUUUCUGUUUUGAUGGUUUAGUUUUUUAAUGAAAGUAUUUAUCUGUAAUUCAAGAAUAUACUGUACCCUGAAAAGAGCUGACACUGUCUGGAAAGAAGAACCCUUCUUUUUGCCACCUUUCUUUCCACCACCACCCUCUAAAAAACAAAAUGGGAAAAAUAAAGUUAUUUGCAACUGCCUUUUAAGUACUAUCCAUAAACAUCAGGACUGCCAAAAUUCCCUUUAGAAUUUAAAUUUGCACUCAUUCACUUGCAUCAUUCCUAUUCUUUCCAUAUCUCUCCUCCCUCAAUUGUAGAUUAAGAAAGUCUAAGAUUUGGCUGACUUUAUAGUCAUUCAUGAAAAAACCAACAACAAAAGAAUUGUGAGUGUAAGGGGUAGAUGUGGGUAGGGGAUGGGACUCCCCUACUCCAAGUCAGCAAUGUCUGUUCUCUGAAGGAAGGGCCAAGGAGACAGAGUAGUAAUGCCUUGUUAGUGCAGGCCUCACUUGGACAACAGGCAGAGUUGCACACUUGGUCCCAGGUAGGUGAGCCUCUGCUCACCUGCAGGGAAAUCCUGGCUCCCAUUUGCCUGUGCUUCCAUGGUGUUACUUGCACAUCUGGUCUUAGAACACUUAAGAGAACAGAACUUCAGUUCCCCAAGCACUAGGGCCCUGACAAAGGAUUUCCUUAUCUCCAGCCUAGCUGGAGAACCUUGAAAGAACCAAUACUAUUAAAAUGAUAGAAAUGAGUUUUAUGAUCCUGAGCAAAUCACUUAACCUCUCUGAGAUUCUUGUUUUCUCAUGAGUGAAAUCAGGCUGUGGGCUAAAUGCUCCAUAGUGUCACUUAGCUCUGAAAGUCUGUGACUGUAAGACUGUAUCACAGUUAUUAAAUACACUUUCUUUCAUUAGGCAUGUAUUGGCCAGUGUUUUUGUGUCAGGUUUUGCUGUAACUACAUUUGUCUCUGUUGAACAGUGUAUAUCUAUUUUGUGACUCUUGUAACAUAUUAGUGCUAUUAAACAUGACCUGCUUCAGCAGUUUGUGCCCCAGAGAAGAGGAAAGCCAGAGUCUUCAUUGCAGACUUCUGGUACAGCCCCACCACAGUCUCAUUCAGGGGGUCCUUGUUUUUGUCCAGCCAGCCGGCGAUGUUGUAGUCCACGGUGCCGGCAUAGUGCACCAGUGAGAAGUGAGCCUCAGGCUUGCCUUUGGCAGGCUUGGGCUUCUGGAAGUUGUUGGAUUUUCCAAGAUGUUGUUCAUACAGCUUGUUCUUGAAGGAGGUGUCUGUUGCCUUGGGGAACAUGCACUCCUCUUCUAGGAUGGAGAAGAUGCCCAUAGGCUAAGAAUAGGAAAAAAGGGAUGAUAAUGAUGAGUCCCUCAGAAAGUUAUGCUCCAUGUAAUUGAUGGAAAACUGAAAAUACAAUGUUUCAAAAGAAGACUUUGAAUGAUAAAUUAAAUAGGCAUGACAUGUGAAGCAGUCAUUAUGUACCCAGAACAUAUGGGAAAUAUACUUGCUAGAAAGACUCAGUUAAAAAAAAUACAUCUGAACUAUUUGGCACACUUUAUGUUCAGUGUAUAAAAUCAGAUUCUGAAAACAUCACUUCAAAAUUGAAUUCUUUAUUCCAUAAAUGUAUAUAUCUGACUACUUUCUUUCCUACUGACAAUAUAACUUCCUUUACCUCGAAUCUAGAGGUGACAGAAGUAUGAAGGGAAGAGAGAUUAUGUGUAAGGACUAAAAAUGAUCCAUUCCUAGGAGGAAAUUGCAUCUUAUAUUGUAUCAUUAAAAUUCUGUACUUUAACCUAUAUUCUCUACCACUGUGGAGUUAAGUGAUAGUAAUUUGGUUUUGCUUUCUAAGAGUUUGGCUUUUUUCUUAAUGUAUUUGAUAGGAAAGACUGAAAGAAAAUUCAACAUUGAUGAUUUAACAAAUUCACAAAUUGUACCCCUAAGACUAUUUUGGUGAUACAGAAACUGAAAUACUAGAGAAUAAAAUAAAUGCCUUUUCUGAAGACCAUAAAGUUUUCAUGAAUAGUAGAGAUAUUAUAUCACCAGAUUAACGUAUCUUUUCCCCAAAUUGUGCAGACCUAGUCUGCUUUUAAACUCUUAUCUUUCAUAUUUUUGUGAAUUUUAACCUGAGUAUUUUAAGUUUUCCUAGGUGGCAAUUGCAUUUACGCUUCCUUUCCCACUGCUUAGGGUAGGGUUCACACAUACACUUUAUUGAUAUCAAUAAGUAUAUGACAAGCUCCCAAGAUACUUUUGGAAGUGUUUAACGAUUGCUUGAUGAGUGUUAACAUAUCUAGAUCUGAUGUAACUAUUGCUUCACCCCCUUAGUAAUGGGGAAUUCAGGGCCCAUUUUCUAGGUAAGUGAUACAGAGGUUUGGUGUUUAUUCAGUAGUUAUCAUGAACGGGGAAAGACUUAAUGACUGCAACAGUUGAAGGACUAACCUUCCAAUCUUUAAGACGUGUUGACAUAGCCUGCCUUGUUACACAUGAGGGAUGAUGAUAAAUGCACAAUACACUGUCAUGGGUACACCAGGGUUAAUUACACAACCCAGAGGAAUAGCUGUAAUUUCAUCCCUUUCUCCCAUAUGCAUGAAAUAGUGUAGGAAGAAAAGUGAGGGAGAAUUAAGUUUUUAGAGGGAUAAAUGCGAAUCCAUAUGUGUGUGAGUGAUAAACAUUUUUCUACAAACUGCUCUACUUAUUAAUAACAGAUCACUUGGAACAUACCUCACAACCAAUCAGAAUAUACGAGUGUGUCAGGAAACAGCACUGCUUGUUCUUUGAGAACAGGGAGUGUGAUUAAGCACAGGGAGGCAAGCAAUUUGGUUUUCAUGUUUUGAAAGCUAGAAAAGUCAUAUGAACCUUCUCGAUGAGCUCGAUGCAGGCAGCCAGGUCCAUCCCGAAGUCAAUGAACUCCCACUCGAUGCCUUCCUUCUUGUACUCUUCCUGCUCCAGCACGAACAUGUGGUGGUUGAAAAACUGUUGCAGUUUCUCGUUGGUGAAGUUGAUGCACAGCUGCUCCAGGCUGUUGAACUACAGAACAAGAUAAAUAUAGGAAAUUACGCAUAACAAGUAUUCUAUCUACAGAGUAUCUAUUAGUAUUUUCUUCUGAAUUUAAGGCAUUUUGGUUUAUUAAAUUAUAAACCUUCAGAUUGUUUUCCUAUUAUAUAGUUCUAAACAAAGUAGAAUUGAUUCUUUGAAUACUUAUUUUCCAAGUAACUGCAUGAGAUCAUGCAUACUAGGCAAAAUACUGUUAAAUGAGGACUCUGAAAUAUUUCCUUAGAGUAAUUUUAAAAAGGUGUUCUCAUGCUCAUCUGCUUGGAUCCAGGAUAGAUUUUGACUAUUUUAACCUCUCAGGGAUCAACUUUUGAGACUUCUAGACUCAAAAGAAUAGAAUUUUCUCUUUUCCUAUUUAUACCUAUUUACUUUUCAUAUCUUUUCAAAGACUCCUUUCAGUAGGAAUUACAUUUGUAUAUUUUGUAAGGUACAUUUUGUAAAUGUGAUUUUGUAUGCUCUAACAAGAGGAUUUGCACUGGCUAAUUUUCUGUCAGUUCACUACUCACAUCAAAGAUCUCAAAGCCAGCAAUGUCCAAGACCCCGAUGAAGUACUGCCUGGGCUGCUUGGUGUCCAGCUGCUGGUUGAUGCGGGUGACCAUCCACAGGAACAUCUUCUCGUAGAUGGCUUUGGCCAGAGCACCCACUGCAUUGUACACCUUCAACAGAAGUGAUAGUUUAGUUUUUUAAAUUGAAAACAGUGAUGAACUCCUGAGUCACUUGCGGUUCAAAUAAAUCAGACAAUUUAAGUCAUGUUUACCUGCUGCACAGUCUGGCCUUUGGUUACGAACUCAUUGCCGACCUUGACUCUGGGAUAGCAGAGAGAUUUGAGCAGGUCAGCAGAGUUCAGACUUGUCAGAUAAGCAGCUUUGUCAGCAACUGUGUGAACAAGGUGAGAAUGGUGAAACUGACCAUGGCUUACACAAUUUAAAAUGUAAAUGAUGAUGACAAAGAAAAAAGGUUUCACUCAAAAAGUAAGAUGUGCAAAUGUCAUUGAAACCUUUUCAUUUGUUCAUAUUGCCUCAAAAGCAUUGCCACCACUUGCACUAAUUUUAGUCAUUUCUUGUGAUGAUAAAUUGGAGGUUGGGGAAUCGAUGCUGUCUGUGAUAUUUAACCUGGCAAAAGUAGACCACAGAUAAAAAUAAUUUGAGAAACCCUAACCUAGAGGAGUAGUGACAGAAAUAUUCAGAUCUCUGUUUCUUUCAGUGCCUGUGGGCACACAGAUUAUCCUGAAAUAAAAUAUGUUUUAGUCAAAUAGCAAAUAUGAGCUUAUGAAAAGCCAAUGAAUAAUGGAAUGAGCAGAAAUCACAAAUCUGCUAAAUAAUGUAAAACGUCAGGCAGUGUGUAAUUUCCUUCUCGUAAUACUUUUGCCCUUCACGAGCUAGGUCAGAGAAAGUAAAAACACGGUCCCUGCCUCUGAAAAGUUCACUAUGUCAGCUUUGUCAAGUGGAAGAUACCAACAGGGGGUGGUACCUUCCGUGCCAUCUGGCUCUGCCUGCUCUUCCCUUUGCUUUUGCUUGAAUUUCAUGUUCCCAUAAUGCAUCACGGCUCCAGUGAGCUUGUAAAUGGCCACCUUUUCAUCAGCAGUGAAACCCAGGAUGUCCACAGCACUCUGUCAAAAGAGUUGAAUUUGCUCAUCCCCAAUUAGCACCAUGGAAGAAUCCCUCAGAACACCGGGGCUGUCUCCCACUUUUUUCUCAUCACGCCUUGCCUUAUAUUUGACUAGCACUUUGCCAUCUUCAAAAGGUACUCAUAUGCUUUACCUUUUGAUCCACAUGGCAACACGAAGAGGUAUGCAUCAGUCUUUCCAUUUGAGUCAUGAGUCCAUUUGGUCACAGCAUAUGAUGUGACUUGUCCACACUCACUGAACCAGGACUAAGAGCCAUGACUUUUGAUGCCAAGGCCAGUGCUUUGCCCCUUUUCUCCACCCCAGCCCCCCUUUGCUUCUCAGGCACAUGCUCCUCUUGGUCUUUUGGCUAUUUUUGUUUCUUUUCUCCAGUCUCACGAGUCUCUCUGUUGCUCCUUCUUCUCCUAUUUGUCCUAUCCUAAUGCAUAAUCCCAGUCUACCUUCCCCUGCUAAUGGGCAUGAGUGAUAAAGUUGGAAAGAGGGUAUGAGGAGAACAGCAAUGGUUGUGAGUCUUUCUCCACAUGCCUCUCUGAUAGCAAGCCACAGCUCAGCGACCACGAGAUGCCUGGGGUAGCAAACUUUACCUAGUUAUUUAUUUCUCAUGCAGAGAAGAGACAUUUAUGAAAAGAAGGAAUUUUGCCAUUUAGUAUAAUAUUUCUGUGUCUUUUUUCUCUAUCGAAUUUUGAUUACCUUUUUAGUUGCCCACAUAGGCUUUGAAAAGGCUUAUAAAUGGGGGCAGGAUUCAGAGCAGGCAGAGGAAAAUAUGUUUAUUUACCAUUCUUACCUAAGACUCUUUCCCCAGAUUAUUGACUUCCACUUCCAGCUCACUAACUCUACCUAUUUACAGAAACUAGACAUUAUUACGGAAGUCUUAGAGCAAGACUGCUACAUUUUUUUAACCUCGCAGACCAGGGUGUGUUUCUUAACUCCCUAUCACUUUUGGACAUACAAAGAUAAUAAUAAGUUAUAGAGAGUUAAAGCUGAUAUUUAUAAUAUAAAGCCACACAAAUGAAUUAUUGACUUCUUGAAAAUAAUAUUUUAAUAGAAAAAGCAGUUUUGCAAGCACUGUCAACUCUAACUUGGGGGUAUUGGGAUAGUCCCACUGAUAUUAAAGUUAAAAAUAAGGAAGAUUAUUCAGAAAUCAAAAGAAAGCAUGAAAUAUACAUAAAGUUUACAUAUAAAGAAAGUAAGCCAAAAAGCAAUAAUCCUUAAAAAAGAGGUGAUGGUGGGGAGAGAGUGCGUUGUUUCAAAAAUAAAUAUAAAGGCUUAUGGAGUCCCCAAAAUGAGUGUUUUUGAAGUAGACAACCCACUUCUUCUAAUGCUGCUUAGGGAGUAGAGAGGGAUAUAUCAUUGGCCCACAGAGGUUUAUUCAAAAUAAGGCUUAUGUUUACAUGUGACUGUAGAAGAACAGUGGGAGUUCCAUGUUUAGUUGUAAUAAUAUUGCAGCUCCUUCCCAGAAUCUUGGGUGUGAGGUGUGGCAUAAAAUAGCAGAGAAACAUUAAUAUUGGAGCAUAAAUAUCAACCAAAAAUGACUAAUAAGAAAGAUAGAAUGAAAGGAGCCUACUAGCUAAGGAAUACUAAAGACCCAACAUUUAUUACAGGCAGUGAAAGCUUUUUAACACAUGUAGGGGGAGGGUAUUGAAAUAUCCUACAAUUUUUUUCCAAAAGUAAGAAAGCCCAAAGGGUUGUAUUACCUAUUUAUAGUCUUUCUGCCACUGCUUUCCACCCUAAUAGAGGAGAGUGUUGUACACUGGAAAAUGAAUUUACUUUUUACUACUUUGUACCUAUUACUUACAUCUGUGGCCAUCAGCUCUUCCUGGUCAUCAAUGCUGGGCACAGUAAUUUCCCCUUGGCUGACAAAUGCGAAGUCAUAUGGGUUGGUGGUGAUCAGAAGCAUUUCUGAACACAUGGAAAAGAACAGUAUAUAGACAGCAUUGCUUUGGUCAUCAAAAACAUUUCAGAGAGGCUUCUUAGAAGGGCUGUUAUUCUUUGGUAGAAAUAAAUCAAAGAUGUGUCUUACCAAUGAGCUCUGGUUUCUUAUUGGACAGGAUUUGAUAAAAUAUGUGGUAGCUUCUUUCAGCCUUUAGCUGAAAAGUAACUCGGGACUUCUCUAGCAGAUCUGGAAGUCAGAUUAAGCUCAUUUAAAAGAAGAUGCCACAGUGAAAAAUUAAGUGUUUGAAAAUUUCACACAACAGAAAUAAGUACAAGAUUUUCUAAUAUGUACCCACAAAGAAAAAGAUUCUCAAUCACUAAUAUUUAUUAACUUACAUGUUUCAAUAUCUGCAGAAGCCAGUUUGCCUGUGGCACCAAAAUGGAUCCUGAUGAAUUUACCCUUAAAAAAGAAAAGGAGGGAUUAUUAUACACAUUAAAAUCAGAAACUAUUUCUUUAGCUGUGGACCAAACAGGUGGAAAAAAUAUUGACACCACAUGCACACAAGAAUCAGUGCUGAUCCUCAAGAAAAUGAAGAUCAAGAGACUUACAAAGCGAGAGGAGUUGUCAUUCCUCACGGUCUUGGCAUUGCCGAAGGCUUCCAGUAGGGGGUUAGCACUGAUGAUUUGAUCUUCAAGGGUCCCCUUAAGAGAAAUGAAUAAGACAGACAAAGAAAAAAGUUGCAGUAAAUAAUUUCCCAUUGACCUCUUUCCCUUCCCCAUUGCCCCUGCACAGUAUUCUGUAACUUUGGGAAAGGCUUUCUAAAAUGAGUUAAAAAGAAGGUAAAUCGGGAAGGGGAGUGGGACACUCCAGUGAUGUGGUCUUGAUUUCUGCAUCCCCCAGGCCCAGAAAAGCACCUAAAAAAUGAUUGUGAGAAUUUUUGCCUAUUAUACUUGCCAAUACAUUGCCCUAUUCAUCUCAUUCUCAUGAGCUCUUCCAAGAGUUAUUUUCCAAAUUCUGGCAUCACUUGCAAUUGGCUGCUAUGAUUUUGAAGCACCACAGUCAGUUAAAAAAAUUAACCUUUAUUUUGGAUUCAGGGGAUACAUGUGCAAGUUUGUACAUGGGUAUAUUGCAUGAUACUGAGAUUUAGGGUAUGGAUGAUCCUGUCAUCCAGGUAAUGAGCAUAGAUAGUACCCAAUAGGUAGUUUUUUGGCUCUUGCCUCCCUCCUACCCUUCCCCAUCUAGUAGUCUCCAGUGUCUAUUCUUCCCAUCUUUAUGCCCAUUCAUGCUCAAUGUCUAGCUCUCACUUAUAAGAGAACAUGCUGUAUUUGGUUUUCUGUUCCUGCAUUAAUUCUCUUAGGACAAUGGCCUCCUCAUGUUGCUGCAAAAAAUAUGAUUUUGAUCUUUUUUAAGGCUGCAUAGUAUUCCAUGGUGUAUACGUACUACAUUUUCUGUAUACAGUCUACUGUUGAUGUGCACGUGGUUAGAUUUUAAAAUCUGUUAUUCUGUCCUUAGAUGAAUAUCAUGCCCACCUGCAUUUUGCCAGAGGCAGGUUCCUCUUUUUUCUUCUCUCCAGUAACUGCAAUUGUUGCAAAGUACUGGAUGACACGCUUCGUGUUCACAGUCUUCCCUGCACCAGAUUCUCCACUAUCAAGUUCAAACAGAAGAAAAGGUCAGAAUCUAAGGUAGUAGUAGCCACUACAAUGAUCAAAACAGAAAGAAAGUAACGAAAUCUACAUACGUAAUCAAGAUUGACUGGUUUUCACGAUCUGUAAAAGAGAAGCCAAAGAUAAUAUUUAGAAAAACACACUUAACACAUAGGUCAACGCAGUACUUAUAAACUCAAAAUUGUCUUUUAAAACUCCCCAUUUGCAAAAAUAACUAUAUGAAUUUGUGCUUUGCUUCUCAUAAGGUUUUUCUAAAAAUAAGUAUCAAAGAUGUGCUAAUUAAUAAUCCCAUUACCUUUCUAAUGUAUAGACUAUGUAAUGCAUCAUUUUACCAUUUUGUCCAUGAGAAUAAUCUAUCAAUAUCAGAUUAAUAACAAUUUUGUGUCCCAUCCAGUCACCUGGUUCAUAGUACAAAAUUAUGUCAAUGUCCAAUUUAAAGUUUUGUACUGUGCUUGUGAUAACUUGUCACUGUGAGUCUUCAAAACUUACUUUUUAGGAGAGAUUAUGUAUUAUCUAUAAUCCAAAUGCAGAGUUGAUGCCUAAAUUUAAUUAAUUUUGAGGUGGAACUAGCAUUAGUUAAUUUGGAUUUUAGCAUAGAAAUCUAAGCAAAAUUUCCUCUAUUUUUGGAACUAGUGCUUAGCAUAGAAAUCUAAGCAAAACUUCUUCUAUGUUUGGAACUAGUACAUUUUAUUCUAAAUAUAUUUCCCUAAUUUUAUUAUUUCUGUUAUCAUGUUUGUGCUGAACAGUUAUUCUCAGAAUACUAGCCCUAUGUUUUUUCUGAUAUCAGUAUACAACUAUUUUACAAAUGGCUAUGGAAAUUGUAAUUCUCACUCACCAGUUAGCAUGAACUGAUAGGCAUUGUCAGAGAUGGAGAAGAUAUGGGGUGGGGCCUCCUGGCGCUUUUUGCCUCGGUAGGCUGUCACCACCUCAGGGUUGUACACCGGCAGCCACUUGUAGGGGUUGACGGUGACACAGAAGAGGCCCGAGUAGGUCUGUGGGAAAGGACGGGGUUCCUCGAUCAGCAAUCACCUUGUUUAUCUAUCUUGGAAAUACUGUUUAAGGGCAAGUAGAGCAGGACCUAAGUACUGUGUUAGUUCUCAUAAAGUUUCAUUCAUUUGUUGCCUCCUUCCAUCAUUGCUGCUGCACAAAAUGCUUCAGUUUUUCUUUUUUUUUUUUUUUUUUUUUUGAGACGGAGUCUCGCUCUGUCGCCCAGGCUGGAGUGCAGUGGCGGGAUCUCGGCUCACUGCAAGCUCCGCCUCCCGGGUUCACGCCAUUCUCCUGCCUCAGCCUCCCAAGUAGCUGGGACUACAGGUGCCCGCCACUACGCCCGGCUAAUUUUUUGUAUUUUUAGUAGAGACGGGGUUUCACCGUUUUAGCCGGGAUGGUCUCGAUCUCCUGACCUCGUGAUCCGCCCGCCUCGGCCUCCCAAAGUGCUGGGAUUACAGGCGUGAGCCACCGCGCCCGGCCCAGUUUUUCAACUAAUUCAGUUAAGUAAAUGGUUUUCCACAUGUACAUUUUAAAACAUAUCAGAGUUUACAACAUUAACCAAACAAUUGGUCAUAAAAGAACAGUUCAAUAGCCAAAUGUAUUGAAACCCCUUAAUUUAUUUUAGCUAACAUGUGUAGAAUGUGGAGUGAGUGAGAAAUAGCGUUGAAAGGGUGCUCACGUAGAUCAUCCAGGCUGCGUAACGCUCUUUGAGGUUAUACAGCACAGCAGGCUCAUGCAGGUGAGUCAUCAUGGCCAUGUCCUCGAUCUUGUCAUAUUUGGGAGGGUUCAUGGAGAAGACUUGGUCUUCUUUCACAGUUACAGUCUGUUAAGAAAAGAAAAAACAAGUGCAUAUCAAAUAAGUAGCAGAAAAAGCCAGGUCAAAAAAAUAUCACCUAAAUUAACCCAAAAUGAGGCAGAGUCUAAUUAGCUCCAGGUGUUUUUACUCACAGCUCCAGCUUCGGUCUUGGCUGUCACCUUCCCCCCUUCCCUGCUCUGCACUAUUGCUUUCACGUAGGACUCCUUAGGGUCCACCACAAAGACUGAUGUCUUGGCAUCAAAAGGCUUGUUCUGAGCUUCAAUUCGCUCCUUUUCAGACUUUCGGAGGAAAGGAGCAGCCUCCCCAAAAAUGGCCAUCUCAGAGUCAGAACUCAUGGCUGCAGGUUAUUGAUGGCAGUACUGGACUAGGUAUACCUAGAGGAAGAAACAGAGCCAAAUGAUGAUUCAGGGUUGGGGUGGAGAAUUGUUCUGUUGAUUUCAUAUUAAUGUGCUUAAUUUUCCAUGCUUGUUUCCUCACCCCUGCCUUUAGGGACCACUCCUGUAUACUAUGUCAAGGAGCUGAGAGAUCAGCUCAUUGAUUUGAAAGCACUAUGUUGAUAGCUUAAUUUUUGUGAUACUUUAAGCCUAAGUUCCAUCCUCUAUGUUGUAAACCUUAGUUGAGAAAUGUGGAGGAAUCAACAUUCAAUCAGCAACAUUUGUGAUGCUCCAAGCAUGUUCAGAAUUUUUUCUUUUUCUUGCUACUUUUCUUUUCUUUCUUAUUUCCAACUUCCCCCUCUUAACAUCGUGAUGAUACAAAGAAAUGGACAAUAACUGUUUCCACUGGCUUUACAAUAUAAAUGAACCUGUCUUAAAAACUCAAAUACAGAUCUUUAUGCAAAUUUUCCUCUCAUCCCAAAUUAUUAAAAUUGGAUGUCAGAUUUACUAAAAUUGAAUGUAGACAGAUACACCUGUUCUUUCCGGACAUAAGUCCAGAUCUAAUCAUUACAAAUAAACACCUAGUUAACUGACAGGUAUUAGGUAAGUAAAGGAAAAAAUAACUACAAUGAAAGCUGAAUAUCCAACAUAUAAUUUUGCCCUAAGUUAAAAUUAAAAUCUCCUUUAUUAGUUUUGAAAUUGUUUGAAAGUCAGAAGUAGUAUCUAAACCAAAAACAACUUUAAAAGAUUCUUGGAGAAAAGGAACUUCUUAAUUUUUAAUAAAAUUUUAUAGUGAUUGUAUGUGUUGAUCUGUAUUUCUCUUUGUUUUUAGUUGGAUUUCAACCUAACAUAUUUUAAAAUCUGAUUCUUAUUUUCUUAGGUUUAUAAUCUCGUUCUUUCUUCUCCUCUUUUUAAAAAUACCAACCAGUCUUCUAAAUAUUUUUCUGAAAUGGAUAGCCAGUAUAAAGUUUCAAGCCAAAAUGAACUUAAAAAAUUUUCCCUACUGACAAAUUAAUUAUGAGAAAAUAAAAUAAGUCCUGCUGUCCUGAUGGCAAGGACAGGGUGAGUGGCCAGAAUAAAAGAAGGUGACCUCUGUGGAGCAGAAGUGUCUUGGUUGCCAAUGACAAUGACAGCAAUGAUGGCGACAACAGCAAUAGCCACCACCUUCUGUAGGCUUUCCAGAGUCUUGAUCUUUUGUCAUCAGCAUUAACUUUCCCUCAACUUAAAAUGUUAGCUAUGGAAUUUCCACAUACUCUAUUUUCAAAAUCAGUCUUAUCUGUAAAAGUGUCCUGAUGACACUGUGAAACUUAGACAUAUUUUCAGGGGAUAUAUAUUGGAACAUUUAAUGUCAGGUUUUUUUUCUUUGAAGAAGAAAUGUUAUUUAUAUUACAUUAUAUUUUGUUUCUGUGUUUGUUUUUACACCAGGCAACUUGAAUUAACAACACACUACCACGUGGAGGUUACUAUAAUGCAGUGUAUCCAGGAAACACAGAAAGAUGAUUGCUACCCUUCCCAUCUCCUGUCUUAUUAUAGAUUAAUUGUUUCCCAACUUGGGGAUCAAGCCCCAAUAGAGCCUCAGGUUGUUGCAGGGGGUUCUUGAAUCCACCCACACAGUGAUCAUUGCCUCAAGUUUAAGGAAGGAACAUUUCCACAUGAACAGUGUUUUCUGUUCUUUUCUAAAUGAAUAUAGCUGCUAUGUUAAAUAUAAACUCAUUUAAAAUAAUUCUUAAGUGUAGAAUAGGUUUUCAUGAUUAUAUAUAUCCUUAACAUCAUACUAAAAGUACAUGUCUCCACAUGAACAAUUAGCAGGAUUCCAUUAGUUUUGAUUCUCCAUUAGCAGGGUUCCAUUAAAUGUUUUGAUUCUGUGGAGGAGUCCUUGAAAACCACUGACGUCAAUCACAGUUGGCAAGAGCUGGAAGGACCUUAGCAGUCAAUAGAAUCCAGCCUCCUCGUUUACUGAUGAGGAAACUAAGGCCUAGAAAGGUUCAGGGUCAUUCAGUGUCAUAGUGGUGGGUGAUAAGUGGCGGUACUGGGACAUGAGUCCUGUUCCGCUAAAUGCAGGUUUGUUAAUUCCACUUGCAACACACUGUAUUUCAAGAUACAUAAAGGCUAACUGGCUUGACCCAGGCAAAUAGAAUCAGUGAAAAGCCUGGAUUGGCACCUAGAAAUAUCGACUUCCAGAUAAACACACCUUGAUUUUAUCAUGCGGUCUCUCUGAUAUAUCUUUAUGGGUUAAGUUGGAGUAGUAGUUCACAUUAAAUAUUACAUAUGAUGGCUGCAUUCUUUCUGUAGUUCUAACAACAUGUGAAAGAGAAGUUUCAUUAAGUUUUGUUUGAUUAAGUGGCCUGAAAAGUCAAAAUUUUAUGAGAAGGCAUUUUUAAAGAACAGCUGCCCCGAUAUCCUAUUCCCAAUACUAAACUAGGAAAUAAAAUGGUAGCUCAUUAAGAUGUAGCAAUAUAGAGAUUCCUUUGUUCUUUAGAGUGUAAUAAUAAAUUAUUCUUACCUCUUGUAUUAUCAGAUGAAGAAGGUGGCAGGCUCAAAGCAGACAACUACUGUUGAAAGAAAAAAGAGAAUGUGGGAUGCUUUUUUUUCCCCAUUUAAUCACAAAAUACUAGUAACUAUAUUGUCUACAAUGUCGUCCUUAAGAAUGUUGGAAAGAAUAAUUAAAAUUUGGGAAGCAGUAGACAUCCCUUAAAUGAAAAAUCAUCAUCAUCAGGAAUGUAAAAGUAAGUGUUCUUCCACAUAUACAUACCUUCAAGAAUUUUGAGGAAGGAUGGGAAAGAGGCAUCUCAGCUCCACUUUUAUAGAGACCAUUCUGCAAACACAGCAGCCACCUCAGCUGUCCUAGCUGGGAACCUACUUGGCAAAACCGUUUUUGGCAAUCUCUUUGCACAAUAUUCACUGACUGUGGCUGUGAAUGGAUAUAAUUAGAAAUAUUUCUUGACACCCAUAAAUAAUUUAACAGAGGAUGAUCUAGGGUUCUUUAUAGGCAUUUGAUAGGGGAUGGGGAUUCAGGGCUUCUAACACUGUUUCUCCAGUUUGGCUGUUGCAUCAUUCAUCACAGAAUUCAAAGCCAGAUUCCCACUUACUCCUCUGCCUAUAAAAUUGGUCCAACAGAAUGAGUCUGAUGUGAGGAAUUUAGGAUUAAUUAAUUUGUUGGUUCUUAGAGCCAUUAAGGAGUCUGGAAUGAAUUUUAGACCUGACACUAUGAUUGGAAGCAGUGAGCGAUGGAUUUUAAGACAACAUUCCUAGCCACAGUCUGGAUUUUAGAAAGACUGGCGAUAGAUUCUUUUAAAGUCUGAAAGUCUAAAUAUGAAGGUGAAAGUGAAUUCUCAGAUUAGGCAGUGGUGAUGGACCACUGGGGGAGGCAUAAGGGAUUUAGAAUAGAUAUAAACACUUCUGUUCUUUUUCUGGAGGACUUUCCAUGGAUAUCUCCAGCUUGUAUGUUUUCACUGAAGGAACAACAGGAUGCUGUGUGAUGUUCCAUGCAUGUUUCCUCUGCAUAAUGGAAGGAGACACAAACAUGCAUUCCUAGUUCAUGGGCAGACUCUCAUGACUAGCUAUAGCUCUAAUGAGGUGGGAACCACAUAUUUUUAUUUAAGGUGGGAGGAAAGUCAUGGUAUCCACGAUAUUCUCCCUGUGGAUUGAAAAGAUGGAUGGGCCAUCACAUAUGCCCAUAAUACUCAUAAAUUGGCUUUUGAUGGUUUUGCUACAUACACAGCUGUUACUGAAUAUGGCAGGAAAUAUACCUACUCUAAGUGUGACCCUAACUGAGCUCUGGUGAGAUAUUUUCAACUAUCAUUAGCUGGCUUAAAUUACCAAUUAAUGAGAUCACUGUUUUUAUAAUUCUGUUGACUUAGAAUUUAUCUUUGACACAUUGAUAGAUUGAAUCUUUUAUACUUUAAAAAUUUAUUUUGAUAAAAUUCUAUGAAAUAGGUCAUCAGGCGUUAAAAACAAAAUCUCCAUGAAAAUAACUCACCGAAGUCUAGCGACUUACCCAAAGUGCUAGGCUCUAGGCCAGAAGGAAACUUGUUCUAUUUUUUCUCUCAGAUUUUCACAACUCAUUUAUUUUUACUUCUUUUGGAACUUAACAUCUGACUUGCAGACAUAAUAAGUAUGUAUUAUAUUUACUGUAUUUGAAGUUGAAAGAUGAAAGAAGAAAAUAUGAAUGAGACCAAGAUACAUAGAUGAGUUAUAGGAUUACAGAUAGUGAGGACUCUUUACAUAAUAGUUAAAACUCUGAUCAAUUACAGAUAGACUGAUCACUCAGAUUUUGAAAGCUCUGAAACAAGACCAUAAUAUUCUAGUGGGACCCCUAUUAUGGGCCACCAGGAGUGGAUCAGAGAACCUUGCAGAGCUUGGACAAGGAGAGAAGAGAAGCAGCACUGGGUGAGGGAGUACACAUUUCCCUUAGACUUGCCUCUUAAAGGAUUGUCUACAUAGAAAACACAGGAGAUUAAUGCGAAGGCUUUUGUAUUUGUAUGGUUCUUUGUGAUUAGAUAUGAGUGGGAAGAAUGGCUCCAAUCUAAAUAAGGAGAAUUAUUUUGGAAACUGUCUUUAAGCAGUCUGUGUAAAAGCUGCUCGCUCUCUACUUUCCUCAGAUUAGGAAAUAUUAUAGGCUUCUAUAACCUUGCAUUUCCUUAUCUAUUAAAAACAUAAAUGUGGUGAAAAUCAAAUACUGCCUUCACCUUACGGGGUUGUAUGAAUUAAAUUAGAUUUUAUAUAUAUAGGUAUCAGAAAUUAUAUUAUUAUAUCACAUAUGGGAGAUUAUGUAUACUUUAUUAUAUGCAAUCUUAUGUAAUUCAUACAUGCACGUAUGUAAACUGCUUAGGAUAGUGUCACCAGGGGCAGCUGAAGCAAACAUUUCUUCACUAGAGAUGAAGGUCACAAUGGCUUGCUGGUAUUUCUCCCAAAUAUACCCAGGGAGUUAAAGUGGUAGUAAAGAGCUGAAGACAGAUGGUAGAUAGGAAAUGUCUAAUGAACAAGAUUAUUUUUUUUCUUUUAAAAAUUUUGUUUAAAAAUACAGUUGGGACCUAGGUUGGAGAUGUUCAUGUCUUAGCUUCUAUAGUGUCCAGUGUGGCAGCAUGACAUUAAUUUAAAAAACCCUUAAGAUUCAGCAAGUCAGACUGGUGUUUGUCUUCUUUUAAAUUUCUCUGAGACUCCAAAGGGCCAUCACUACUGAAAAGAGGUUGUAUAGUCACUUUCAAGUCAACUACUUUUAUUACAUUCUACAUAGUUAUAUUUCAUCAUGUGGGUAGGUCAUUGACUCACUUGUUUGCUCAAUACAUACUUACAGAGUGUCCGCUAUGUGUCAGCUGUUGUUAUAGCACAGGGGAUAAUGCAAAAAACUGGCAAAGCCCUGCCCUUAUGGCAAUUUCAGUCAGCAGGGGUGGAUAUACAUAAACAAAUAAACAAGUAAAUAUGUAGUAUGUCAGAUGGUAUUAACUACUAUAAAAGGAACAAUAAAGCAGAGUAAGGAGUAAAGGGAAUACUGCACCAAGGGGAGUGACCUGGAUGGGCUUCUGUAUUAAGGUGUCAUUUGAGUAGAAGUUUGAGAGAAGUGAAGGAGCAGGCCAUAUGAAUAUCUGGAAGAAGAAUUUUCAGACAGAGGGAGCACAAAGUACCAAGUCUCUAAAGUAGGAGUAUGCCUAAAGUGUCUAAUUUGUGAUAACACGUAUGAACCUUGAGAAUAUUAUACUAGUGAAAUAAGCCAGGCACAGAAAGACACAUACAACAUGAUUUCACCUAUAAGUAGAAUCUGAAGUUGAAUUCACGGAAGCAGAAUAGAAUAGUGAUUACCAGGGAUUGAGGGUUGGGAGAAGGAAUUAGAUGUUGAUUAAACGAUAUACAAUUUCAGUUAGGAGGAAUAAGUUCAAGAGAUCUAUUGUACUGCAUCAUAACUAUAAUUAAUAACAAUGUAUUGUAUACUUGAAAAUUGGUAAGAAAGUUGAUUUUAAGUGUUAUCACCACAACAAAUAAGUAUGUGAGGUAAUGCAUAUGUUAAUUAGUUGAAUUAAGCUAUUCCAGAAUGUAUACUUAUUUUAAAACAUCAUGUUGUACACCAUGAUAUGUGUAAAUAUAUAUAAUUUUUAUUUGUCAAUUUAAAAAAGCAGCAAGAAAACCUGUAACAGGAGCAAAAUGGGCAAAGAGGAGAGUGGCAGGAGAUGAGUUAGGAAGGGUCAGGUAAUGUAGGUCCUUAUGGGACUAUAGGGACUUUUUGGCUUUUAAUCUGAGUAAUAUGGGAAGCCAGUGAGAAUUUUAGGAAGAGAAGCAAUAAAAUCUGACAGAAUGUAAAAAUCACUCUGCUUUCUAUGUUGAGUGUAGACUGCAGGCAUCAAGGGUAGGCCAACAGUGGGCAGCAGGGCCAAGGAUAGAUAGGCAUUGCCACAAUGCAGAUGGAAUAGAGUAAUGGCUUGGACUGUGUCCUAGUGACUAUAGCUGCAUAACAAAUUACCCGAAAUAUGGUGGAUUAAAACAGCCAUUUUAGAAGGCACAUGCAUUCUGUGGGUCAAUAAUUUGGAAAGGACACAGUGUUCUCUCUGUUCUCCAAUAUCUGGGGCCCCUAAGAUCCCAAAUCCUGGGGGUGAUUCAACACCUAGGGACAAGUACUUAUAAUAAUGAUUAGAGAAAAAAAGGAUUGUUGAGAAGGAUAACAAAUAAAUGAAGUGGUAUCUGGAGGCAGACAUGGGGUCAAGAUAGGAAAAACUAAGCAUAUUGUUAAAAGAUGGGCAAGAUUAAAUAUAUUUGUGUUGGGGAGAAAAAUUCUGUGAGUUAAACAAAUUGAUAAUGCAAAAGAUGGAGGGGCUAGAAUCCAGAGGCUAAAUGGAAGGGUUGGACUCUGAUGGGAACAGGAACACUUUGUGUAUUAGGAAAGAAGACUGAGAGUGAAGGCAAGUUUUAGCUUAGUAGAUUUGAUGCUGAAAAGAUGAGGGAGUUGGUACUUAUGGGACAGUAGGGACUUUGGCUUUUAAUCUGAGUGAUAUGGGAAGCCAUUGAGAAUUUUAGGAAGGAAUUCUGCUUGCUUCUGUUUUCUCAGUGACGUACGCAGCAAAGUCAUUGACUGAGUGGAAGGCAGGGGAGGAGAUGUAGUGGGUAUAUAGAGAGAAGAUGUGAAGUGUUCAUUUUGGAGAGUGAAAGGUAUACUACAUGUCCCCAGAGUACUGAGAGAUAAUCAUGAAAUUAAAGUGAGACCUGUUUAGCAAAGUUACAUGCUUUUUUCCCACAACUUUGUUUGCUUGGAUGUGUCCACAGAAAAGAUGAAUAUUUGGGUUUAACCAAGGUAAGAGUUUAUCGGGUAAGUGCAAUAGAGGGAGAGAUGGGCAAGGGAGCUAAGAAUCUUUUCAAGUGUGUAAUUGUAAUAAUGUUCCAUAAAAUUUAAGCUUGAAUAAGGAAGGAAGUGAGAAUAUGAGGGGACACACCAGAACAAUGAAAAAGUGGAGGGGCAUCAAUGGAUAGAAGGUCUUGAUGAUAUCAAAGAAAUUGUAGGGAUGAAAAUCUGGAGUAGGUGAGCUGGAAGAACAGAAGGUAUUGGAUAGAGAUUGAUUGUAAUAAAUCCCAAUUGGUUGAGAUGUGUAACUCUUUUUAUACACUGUUGGAUUUGAUUUGCUAAGAUUUUGUUGAGGAUUUUUGCAUCUAUGUUUAUGAGAGAUAUUGGUGUGUAUUUUUUCUUUCUCAUAACAUCUUUAUUUGGUUUUGGUAUGGGUCAUGCUGGCCUCAAAGAAUGAGUCAGAAAAUAUUUUCUCUGCUUUUAUGUUCCUGAAAUUAUUGUGGAUAAUUAGUAUUAUUUCUUCCUUAAAUGUUUCGUGGAAUUCGCCAGUGAAACCAUCUGAGCUUGGUGCUUUUUUAGGGAAUUCUUGAUUCAACUUCUGCAAUAGAUAUAGUCCUAUUUAGAUUAUCUGCUUCUCCUUAUGCAAGUUUGUGCAGAGGCUGAAUAGUAUGAUUGAAAUUGAGGUUUUGGAGAAGGUACACACAUAGUGAUGAUGAUUAAGUCAAGGAUGACUAUGUGCUGAAUCUAAACUCUGGGGAGUCCCAGAGGCCGUUUUCUAUACAUGCAAACACAUUUUUGUGCACACAUAUAUAGUGUAUAUAUUUAUACAAAUGGGAUUGUAUUAUACGGAUGGUGUUUAUACAAAUGGGAUUGUGUUAUACAAGUGGGAUUGUAUUAUACAAAUGGGAUUGUAUUACACGGAUUUUUUUUUCAUUAUACUGUAUUUUGAGCUUCUUUCCAUGUUAGUAUUCACUCGUUCAAUUGGUAUUUAUUGAGCAGAUAUACAAUGGUUUAAAAACCAAAGUGCUUGCUCUGAUAGAACUUACAUUUUGAUGGGGGUGGUAGUGGAGACAAUAUGCUCAUAAAAAUACUUAAAGAAGAAUUUCAUAUUCCAAGUGCUAGACCAUGGAAGGUAUAAAUUAGAGUAACGAGAUAGAGAUUGAUGUGGGGAGAGGACCACAAGAGGUAGGCUUCUUUCAGCUGUGACUUGAAUAAUGUGAAAUAAUUAGCCAUGCAAAAAUCUAAAUGAAGAGCAUUCCAGGUAGGGAAAAUUUGGGGGAAGUGAGUGAGAAAAAAAUAGCUCCGUAUUUUGAAUGCCUACUACAAACCGUGUGUGUAUUCUAAACAUUUGAUAUACAUUGCUUCAUGUUAUCCUCACACAAACCCGAAGAGUAGAAAGUACUAUUAUUACCAUAUACUGAAAAGGAAUUGAGCCACAGUCUGAGUAAGUAAAUUGCCCAGGCCACAUAACUCUGGUGUGUGGUAGAGUUAGUGCUCAGCUCAGGCAGGUUUAUCCCAGAGACCAUGGCAUAUCCUUUUUUCCCUCCCCUCCCCUCCCCUCCCUUUGCCUCCCCUUGCCUCUCCUUUCCUUCCCUCCCCUUCCCUUCCCUUCCCCUCACUUUUUUUCUGAGAUGGGCUCUCACUCUGUUACCCAGGUUGGAGUGCAGUGGCACUAUCUCGGCUCACUGCAACCUCUGCCUCCCAGGUUCACGCGAUUCUCCCACCUCAGUCUCCUGAGUAGCUGACCACAGGCACGCACCACCAUGCCCAGCUAAUUGUUUGUAUUUUUGGUAGAGACAGGGUUUCGCCAAGUUUCCCAGGCUGGUCUUGAACUCCUGAGCUCAGGCAAUCCACAUGCCUCAGUCUCCCAAAGUGCUGAGAUUACAGGUGUGAGCCACCAUGCCUGGUGCUUUGCCUAUCCUUUUACUGUAUGGCCUCUAAGGGCCCUUCCAACUCAAAGAUUCUAUAUUUAUCUAAUGUGGUAUUUUAUUGACACAGUAAAGGCAAUGCCAGAAGUAAAAAGCUAACAGGAUAAUAAGUGAGGGACCUCCUGUAAAAUGACUUACACUUUAUGAAAACCUACAUGUAUGGGAACUUCAUGUGAUGUUAUGGUAUCCAGUUGUUGAACAUACCAUAAUUCUUAUCCACCAGAAGCAGACAUAUUCAAAACCAGGAUGCCACAAAUAAAUUAAAAUCAUGACACAUAGAAAUAUGGAAAUUACAUGACUCUGAAAGAUAGAAACGUAUAGAGACUUAUGUUUUCUUUACUACAGGAUAUAAGUAGAGACUUGAACCUGUUUUUCAAAACUUCUAUCUUGGUGACAUAUUCAUCAUUUGGCCCCAAUACACGAAACAGUUUUGCUCACUCACCACUUACCCCUCCUGGCUGUCUACACCUUUCCUCUUACUUCUUCCAUUGUAUGAAUAGAGAAGUGUAAAUGUGAUGUUAUAAUAACUCAGAGGCACACAUUUUCUUGGGCAAGCAAGUCUCAGUGGGAAAAAAAUUGGAGAGAUAGAAUCUUUCAACUCUUUCUAGUUAUUCUGUGUUAUUAUUUAGGACCUGGAUUCCCAAGGGUCGAUACUUAUUUGUGUGGCUUACUCUUAUUUUCCUUCCUUGUUGUUAUCUGACAUUUCUACCCUAAGGUAUGAAAAAUCAUAUGCUAGCUCCACUGCUCAGGCAACAUUAAUACUUACUAUUUGAGAAUCUGAUUUUCCAAGUAUUGAUGAACAGUAGUACAAAUAAAUCAGUGGACAAAUUUAAUUAUAUCUUCGAUUUCCUUAAAUUCUCACCUCUUCCUCAGUUCCAGUUAGAGAGCAAGACUUGCUUAGGCAUCUUGCUCCAGGAGGUAGACUUUUAUGUUAAAAGUCAUGCUUCCUUUCAAGAAUUUUAUUUGUGUUCAAGUUUUGGGUAUGGCGCUAAGAUACCUUUAAUCAAGAAAAGAAGUACCGGGAAGUCACUGCUGUUCCUGCCAACAGCUAGCAUCUCCUGUAGAGUUGGCAUUAGAGAUAGGAAGAGAAUACACUCUGUUUCCAAGUUGUGGGAUAGCAAUGAAAGAUAACUGUAAAAAGAUAAGAGGCAGUUAUGUUGGGAAAAUGGAUUAAAUGUUUUCUUUUUCAUGUACUAGUUGUUUGUGAGUACUUUGGAUUUUUAUAAAUUUUACUGGGUAAACAGUAGCCUGUUGAUUUUGACAGUGUUGAAACUAAGAGAAAAGAUUGAAAAAAAUAAUUGUUUCUUAAACAUAGGUUGUAGCUGGGGAAAAUGCAGAAGUAAAAUGUGGAUAAAUACAGAUAUUUUUCUUUGAACAAGUAAAAUGAAUGUAUCAAUCUGAAAUCUGGAUUUGCCUUGAGUAACAGGAGAAAUAAGACAGGAUGCAAUAAUUGAAGAGGAGAGGCAAGUCAGGAUGCAAUAACUGAAGGUAAAAGAUAAGACAGGAUGGAAUAACUGAACAGGAGGGAUAAGACAGGAUAUAAUAAUUGAAUGGGAGAGAUAAGACAAGAUACAGGGAUUGGAGAGGAGAGAGAAGAAAGGAUGUGAUAAAUGAAAAAGACAAGACAGGAUGUAAUAAAUGACAGGGAGAGAUCAGACAGGUACAACAAAUGAGAGAGAAAGAGAGAGAAGACAGGAUGCAAUAAAUGGAUAUGAGAGGUGAGACAGGAUGCAGUACAUGAGCAGGUGAGAUAAGACAGGUUACAAAAAUGAGUGGAAGAGACAAGAUGGAAUAACUCAAUGCGAAAGGUAACAUGACACAAUAAAUGAAAAAGAGAGAUAAGACAGGAUACAGUAAGUGAACUGGAGUGAUAAGACAGGAUGCAUGUAGUAAAUGAGCAGGAAAGAUAAGACAGGAUGAAAUAACUAAAUAGGAAAGAUAAGACAAGCAGGAGUAACUGGUCAGAAGAGAUAAGACAGGAUGCAGUAAGUGAAAUGGAAAGAUAAGAUAGGAUGCAAUAAAAGGGCAGGAGAAAUAAGAAAGAGUGGAAUAUCUGGAUUGGAAAGUUAAGACAGGAUGCAAUAACUAAGCAGGAGACAUAAGACUGGAUGCAAUAACUGAACAGGACAGAUAAUCAGGAUGGAGUAAAUCAAUAGGAGAUGUAAGAUAGGAAGUAAUAACUGAAAGGGGGAAAAUAUUAGCUUAUUACAGACAGAUUCUCCUUCCUACUAGGGAAUGCUUUCUGAAGCUGGUAACAUUGAAGGAUGAGUAGGGUGGACUUGCAAAGAGGAGGAAAAAGCAUUACAACAGGAGAAAGAAGAAUAUGACUGUGAUAUUAAAAUAUGGGAAAGGCAGCACUUCAGUCUACCUGGGUAUCAUAGAAUUUAUAAAAGUGAAUACUUUGAUGCCUACAGAAAGCAUGAAAGUUGGGUAAAAAUUGGAGACAUUCAUUUACUUAUACUUUCAAAAUACAAGUAUUGAGCAUAAACUGUUCAAGGCACAAUCCCAAGUGGAAGGAUACAAGAAUGAACAAGUAAGACCCCCAAUUUACACUCAUGUAGCUUGUAUUUUAAUCAGAGAGAAAGACAUUAUUAUAGUUAUUAUAAGUAAUAAA